AGAACUUCACGAAUAAGCAUCCGAUGUGGAAUGAAACCGCCAGAAGGAGCGGCUUCAGGGGAUGCAGGUAAUCCCAGGAAUAGUUUGUUAACUCCUGGAUGUGAAGCCCAAUGAGAGCUCCAACUGUUGAUGAGGUUGUUGGCAUUGCCCAUGCUAUACUGACAAGGCGGAUUGUUGAAAAAUUGCACCCACACAUAAUCAAAGAGGCCAGUUCUGAUAGCAGCGUCGAGAUAAUAGUCAGGAUAGGAACAUUGUGGUGCUGCAGAUAAGUGCACCCUUCUCUCCGUUGUUCUAUAUUCUGAGAGCGCCUUGGCGAGAUCAUCCAAGAAAUCCCUCCUUCCACCUUGGAUAUGAAAGUCUAUACCGUCUAAGACAGCAUCGCCUAAUGGACGAUUUUCUGAUUCACCGCCAAGGAAAUUAUUAUAGAGAUAGGACGCGACUUCCUUAGCAUCAUCGCGUGAAGAAAGGUUUGGAGCUCCGCCGAGAGAAAGAAGCACUUGGAUGCCUCGUUUCUGGCAAGCUUUUAUCUCAGAACUAAGCGAGGAGCAAGCGCUUCGCUCACAAUGCCCAGCUAAGUUCAAUUCUGGUGUCUGGCCAUUGCCAUAAUUUAUCAGAAAGGCAAGAUUCACGUAGUCAUAGGUACCCCUCCGGCAUGCGUCUUCCAGGCUUCCUUCGUCAGUGUUUUGGCCCCAGUAGGUGGCAAUUCCAGCAGCAUCGGAAGACCUGAUCGCUGAAGAUAUCAUCAACAGCAAUGUUAUUGCUAUGACUAGUGCUCUAAAACAGGGAGCCAUUUUUUCUUCUCUCGGUUGUUUUUGCAGGCUUGCUUUCGUGUGUAUUUUUUGGUUUGGUGUGUAUUUGGUUGCCCACAGAUCGACCCCUUUUAUAGAUGAGUUCAGCUACCUGUGUGGCGAAUUGAAGACGUGCCAAAUACUGGCCAUCCCCCUGGAGGUACGUGUAAUAUGUGCGUUAUCAAUGAUAGUUGAUAGUUUACCCAAAGAAAAGUAUUAUUCGUUGCUCAAGUGUCCCGUCGAUACAUCAUUGACAGCAUCAGUAAAUUUCUUCACUCAUCAUUUCAACUAUAGCACAAAUAUCUUUCUUUUUCUUGGUUCUUGGAGAACUUACAAGUGCCAUAAUCUUAUAAAUGGGUAUUGAAAAUGUUUAAAUAAAAACUAAUAGUAUAAAACUCAGUUUUGACUGUUCGAGCGAGCUGAUUGAACUGUUGAUCGAGUAGCUUUCUGAACUAAACCAAGUGUCAAACUAAGAUGGAUCAAAAAAUCGGUCUAGAUAGUAAAAACCAACUAGAUCGUUUGGUCGGACCAACGAACCGUCGACAUGUUUUUACUAAACGGUUUUGAGUCUUGCUUUUCUUUAAAAAAAAAAAAAUGCGGCCCCACAUUAGCAUAUAAUAAUUAUCGGAAACGAUUAACGCACUAUACUUUUUGACAUUUUACUAUUUAGCCCUCAUACUUACUUUUAGAUUUCAAUGUUACCUCAUAUUUAAGUUUCUAUCAUUUCACCUUUAAAAAAUUAUAAUUUAGCUCUAAAUUGUUUACAAAAUCCAAAAUUUCUUACUAUUCGUAUUCCUAUCCACUUAACAAUUGUUAGAAUUAAACAAUGGUUACAUCCCAUUUGUAGUUAAAUAAAUUAUUCGAUCCAUAUUCAUUUUUACUCUAAAAAGUAUGAUUUAAUCCAAACCAUAUUCAUUUUUUUAAAACAAAAAUGGAAUUUGACCCCAUCCAUAUUAAUUUUUAUCACUAAAAAAGUGGUAUUUGACAUUUUUUUUUACAUAAAAAAUGAUUGCAUAUAGGUCACAUGGCGAUCUUUGGCUAAAAAGUAGUCAAAAAUUUAGAUUGCGACCAAAUUUUGCUAACUUGAAUUUGUAAGAGAUGUAAAAUUAAUAUUUUAAAAGUGAAGGAACAAAAAAAUCAUUUAGUGAAAUGUAAGGGACGUAUUGAACGAUUUUUCACAUUAAUUAUUUAUGAUAUAUAUGGUGUCAGAGAUUAAAAAUGACUUGGUAACAUUUAGUCUAACGAUUGAACCAAUAACCUAUGACCCAGUAAGAUUUCCAGCUUUAAAACCUUCUUAAAAACUUGAUUUUCGGAACCACUCAUGGACGAUGGGGUGCAUACUCAAGAGCCCCAUAUAUCAUCAUAAUAAUGUAAUAUUACUUACAUCAUCAUGUGUCACUAAAUGAUAGUGUGCCAAGUUGAGAUAUAGUUUGUGUCAAUUCUCCUUUCAUUUUAGUAUAUUUUGUGUUUUAGUGAUGUCAUAAGAAUUUGGGAUGACAGAGGACUAAAAAGAGUUGCUGAAAAGUCUAUUUGCUAUAAAGUAUGGCGCGUCUUAAAGAGCCUAGGAAAUUGAGAAGUUGUGGGACCUGAGAUUAAUUUCAACAAUUAAAGAGAAUAAUUGAUUGAUUUCUCUGCAGCCUUGAAAACUUUAUUUUUGGAUGGCAACUAGUUAGUAAGGAUAUUAUUAUAUCAUUAUCCACGAAAAUAGAUUAUUCCAGUAUGGAAGAUAAUUCCUUUUAUUGGAAUAAUUUUUAGCAGAUAAUCAUAUAGAUUGUUAGGGUGAGAAUAUCGAUAUUUAAUUCCCAACUCUCUCUACACUUUGUCAUCGUAGUUAGGUGGUUUUUCCUUUUUCUUCUCUCAAGACAAAAACCUAGUUUUCUCCGCUGCAUUUUCUCCAUAAGAAGUGGCUAAAUUUUCUUUCUAGUUAGAGGAUAAUCCAAGACUUGGUUCUACAAACAAUUAUGAUAUCUAAUUGAAGUUUAGUGUUUCAUCUAUUCGUGGGUAUUUUUAUACUUCCUGUAUUACAUGUAUGAUGAUUAUUGUGUGUAAUUAAAUAAGUGGCCAAUAUUUAAUUAUUUACAAUAGUCUGCUACCAAUUGAAGCAAUUAAAUUCGUAAUUGUUUGUCUGUUUUAAUAUUUGUGUAGACUGACAUAAUUGGAUCUAUAUCAGGAAAAAUAUAUGAUAUAAUUUAAAUGAUCUCUCGCAACAUGUUUGUUGAUUAGAAUUAGGCUUUUUUAAUUCUUGAUGCUGUUAAAAAAUUUAAUUCUAUGGUUGUACCUAGAAUUAUCUUUUAGUUAGAGAAGUAGUUAGUGGCCAUACUCUGAUUAUCGAUAAAGUAAGGAAAUAUUGAUUGCCAAAGUUUAAUGAUAAUUAUAACCUAUUUGUUCACUAAUAUUUGAAUUCAUCUUUGCUUUAGUGAUCAAUUGUAGGAACCAAUCCUAAGAUUAUUCCUUUGGCUAGAACUCUAUUAUUAUUGGUUUAUUCUUAGUUAAUUUUCUUUGCAUGUUUAUUUGUGUUUAAAUUAAUUAGUUAGUAUAAUUCUCCAAAAUCCCCCUUUUUAUUCAUUGCUUUGGAAGAAAAUAAAUCAACUCUAUCUUGUGGAGACAAUCCUACUCAUUGCUGCAUACAAAUUCGUAUUUUCUAGAGCAGUUAUUUAUUUUUAAUUAGUUGACACCCUGUCACUGAAUCAACAUGGCUUUUAAGGAAGAAAGAGAAGGAUUUAUCUAUUAGAGGAUGAAUGGCACUUUGUCCGAACCAUGGGGUUCAUCCCAUUUUACCUCUUGAACCAAAACAAUACACACUUCAUUUUCUUUGUGCUAAAUUUUUUUUUAUCUUAUUAAAUCAAUUACAACCAGUGUUACAAUUUCAUACUUAGCUCAUAGGUAUAUGGUUUAGAAUAUUGAUGAUUAAGGAGCAAAUUGAACUUUUUAUAUAUAGUGUUUGUAAAGAGAAAGCCAUUCUUUAUUUAUUGAGUUAUACACUUUACUUUGCAUCUUUGCUUGUGCAUAUGUUGGCUGGCCGAGGAUUGACCAUUUUAUUUUAUAGAUAGAUGAAUUCUGUCUAAAGUAGAGGAUAUAUUGUACCCAAUAGUACGGCAAAGGUUCCUCUUUCAUAACAUCUCUUGUUGCAUUAUCUAUCUGAUUAAUACAUGUUUUCUGUAGUAAUAAAUAAAAAUUCAAGUUUUAAAAUAGGAAUAAUUUCAGAAACUCCUCCUGAGAUUUCUAACUAUUUCACUUAGUUUUCUUGAAGUUUUUAAAAUAACAUUUACCUCCCUUGAUUUGACACUUUGGUAACCAAAUCUUAAAAUAAGCUAAAAAAUUUAAUGAAUACCCUGAAAUGCCCUUAUCUUAUAUAGUUCAAUUCAUUCUUCUAAACAAUUGUAAAGUAAUUUGACAUAAUUAUAUAUAUUAAAAAAGAGUCUCAAAUUUUUCAUGUCAAUAUUUGUUAUUUAAUAAUCAACUGUAACAAUAAAUCUUUACUGUGCUAAGUUAUUUUUUAUAGUGUUUUAUUGGGAAUAUAGAUUCUUUUUAAGAUAGAGAAGAAAGUGUUACCUUGUGUUUUAUAAAUUUAUGGACUAUUGUUUUAGCAAAAGUUUAUGGACUAGUUUAGCGAUGGAACUACCAUAGUUUGGUAGUGAUUUUGGGCCAUUUGUUUUUAAUUAUUGUUGAUUUAUUCUUGAUUUUGAUACAAAAAAAAAAGAGUAACAAAAUAAUUGGAUGAUAUUAAAAGUCAUCAACAAAAUUACUAGUUUAACGUUUGAUCUAGAUAGAUAUUAGCGACAAUAUUGAUAGGUCUUCUAUACUUCUAAUGAAAUAUAAGAGAAAUGAAUAAGAAGGAAAAAGGAAAAAAAUUAUAAAAUCCAUUCUUUGUAUAAACAUGGAAGCAAGAGAGUUUUAUUAAAAUAUUAAAGUUAGUAUUGUCAUUUUAAAUGGGCAAGGGAGUUAGAUAUAAUUUUUGAAACUUUAAGGGAGCCACAUAAAAUUAUCAAAAACCUCAGGGAGGUUUAUGAAAUUAUCCCUUUAAAAUAUUUUUCUUAAUACAACAGUUGCCCUUUAACAAGUUGUAUAAUAUAAAAUAAAAUAGAAAUAGGGUUAAUUGUAAGUUGCACCCCUCAACAAUUUGGCAAUUGGAACUUGCAUUCCAAACUUUAAAUUUAGCAGUCUAUUACCUUCAACUUCUAAUUUUUUGCACAAUUUACAAAUUAAGUUAAAUCUGAUAAAAAAAGAGAGGGUGAUUAUACUUGUUUACCCUCAAAUUUUUACCAAACCUCCAAAAAUACCCUUCCUUUAUUUUCAUCUUCUGAAUAAACUCAAAUUCCUAAACCCUACAAAUAUUCCUCAAAACAAAAUCCCUUUGAAAAAGCAUAAAUUAAUAUCUAAAAAUUCAUCAAACAGAAAUAGAAAUCAAGUCAUAAUCCAUACCCAAAUCUCACAUUAUCAACACCAACCUCUUGAUCAUCCCAUCACCACUAUCAUUAUCCCCCACUAUCACCAUAACUUCUUAAAACUCAUUAAAAAAAAAGUAAUAACAAACAAAGAAAUGAAGGAGAAUAAGAUCUUUGGGAGGCAAGAAAACAAACAAAAAAAAUUCCCAAAUCCAAAUCUCGCCAGAAUAACCUCUUAACUUCUAACGUCUAAGACCCACAAAUUGAUCAGUGUGACUCACAAAUUGAUUACGAGCUCGAGCUCUACAGAUAAACCUAUUUUAUGCAGUGCAUGAUAAGCUGUUAUUUAAUUUCUAAGGUCCUUCUACGCUGACAGUUAGCAAGGUUGGAUUGAUUACGUAAAUUGCCCAAGAAAUCUGACAAAUGGUUGUGUAGAUAAUUAAACCAAGCCUAAUUAUUAAAUUAAAUUACUUAUGUGGCAAGUUUUUUUAUUUGUUGGUUUAGUGAGUGGAAGAAUUUCAAAGUUGAUACAGAAAAGAAAUAUUUCCUAAGGUCCCCGUUAUUAAAGUUCAGCAAGAUAUUUACAUUUAUCAUGUUGGGAGAGAGAUACUCCUAGUCGGUUCAGAAUUGAAAAUUUUUCUGCCAACUGUUAGUUUCCUAUUCCUUUGAGACCCCUGUUUGGCACUUAAGUUUUUUGCCAAGUUUAUCUGCUACAAGUUUUUAAAAAUUUUAACUACAGUAAUCUCAAAAAUUUCUCAAAAUUUUUAAAUUAUACACUUCAAAAUAUUAAAAAAACACACUUCAAAAAUUUUUUUAAAAACUUUUAUAAUAAACUACAGCAAAGUUUUAGACAAAUACCCAAAAAACUCACUUGCCAAACGGGGUCCUAGUCGGUUGGAUACUCUAUACCGUUUCAUUAUUUUCUUGAAGAGAGAGGUAAGUUGUGGAUAUUGAGAGAAAACUUCUAAACUUGUUAUUUGUGAGCAUUAUUGUUGAGUUUAGUUAAUAAAAUUAUUAAGUUAUAUUGUGUAUUUAUUCUCUUUCUCUUUCACAUAUAUUCAUAUAUUUUAAAAUAAUUUUUGCUGAGCAUGAUUUUUUUUUGUGGCAAUAGAUUGGAAUAUGUAAUCAAAUUUGAGGAUGAAUAGGGCCUCAAUCAACCUUCACCCUUCAUUCAUGUUUAUCUUAUACUUGAACAUCCUAGGUUGAACUUUUCUCUAGGCCACAAAAUUGUUUAUGCAAAUUUGAUGAGUAAAAGUUUACAUGUACUUCCUUGGGGGAGCACAAUUUUCGAGUAAAGAUAUUGAAUACGGAUUUGAUGUAUGGAUUUAUCAACAAUCUUUUCUUCUUUUAAUAGUGACGUUGAUUGACACUAACAUUAUUAUUGGACACCCCAAAGGUGACAUUCUUGCCUUGUUUCCAUAGAAUUUUCCAGGCCACCCUAAAUCAUUGUCCUGCCACAGAAUUCUGGGACCAGUCCUUCCUGUGCAUGAAUUGAAGUGGACGCACUAAAAUCACUUAAAAUGGACGGACUAAAACGAAAGUCACUUUAAAGACGCACUACAAUGAAAAGUUACAGUUUGAAUUGUAAGUUUACAGAGUUUGGUUAAAAAAUAUAUUAUGAUAAAGUGAUGCAUGUGAGAUAAAAAAUUGAUUGGUAAAUGUAUCAAAAAAAUAUUUCAAAAUAUCUAAGUGAAAACUGGCAAUCCAAAUAAUGCCAAUCUUGUCGGCUAUAGUAGUAUUUUGUGUGACCAACUUCUCUCUGCAGUUUUCCUGGUUUCAAAUAACACUACUGAGAGCCCAUUGUCAGGUUUGAACAUUUCCAAAUAGAAGCUCUAAAUAAAUCACUCAAAAGGAGUACAAUAGGAAAGCAAAGGAUAGGCUGUGUCCAAAAGACUGAACUUCUUUGGAUUGCAUUUUUCUGAAUUUUUUGUAGAAAAAUUACUAUAGCGAUUUGAUAUAUAUGAGGUAAAAAGAUAAAUGGAAAAUGUGUUUACGGAAAACGUAACAAUUUUGCUUUGGAAAAUUGCUGUCCAAACAAGGCUUAUUUCUUUUUUUUUUGGGUAGGUUAAAUCUGUUCCAAAGCCACAAAAUAUAAGUUACAAUCACUACAAUAAAUCUGAAGUGAAAAUUUUCUUGUAAGGACCCAAAUAAAUUAACUGGUUGUACAUGUUUCGCGAGAUCAAGAAGUUUCACUACAUAGGAUAAGAUUAGGCAUCACAAUCCAGCUGCAGUCUUAUAUGUCUUUUACAUCUUUAAUUUUGACAAUCCACUUGCGAUGGUUACUGAUUUCGCAAUCACUAUCUCAAGAUACCAUCCUAUGAAGCACUUCCUGUUUAUUUCUAUUUGUAACUGAAGAUAAUUCCCAUGGAACUCGCCAGUAAUAAUCCGUCACCAACAGAUGUUUGUGUAAGUGGAAGGGGCUUGCAUCCCUUAAUCAUGAGAUCUCGGGUUCGAAACCAUGGGGAUGGAAUAAAAAACGUUGGGAGAGCUUCCCCCUGCAAAGGAUCCGACGCGGCUCAAACGAGAUUAGUCGCAGACCGUAAAACGGAUGCGAACACCUGUGGGUUAAUACCAAAAAAAAAAAAAAUAAUCCAUCAUGAUCAACUGAAAGAAAACAAAAACACCUACAGAUCAAUUGCAAGUGCAAACACUCCAAUUCAAUCCUAAAUUUUCCUUCCCCUUUCUUCAACCUUUCAAUAUCCAGUUACACCAAAGAAAACAAAACAGUGAACAACACUCCAUGGGGAUGUAUUUAGUUUAGGCAUUUUUCCAUCAUGCUUACAUGCUAUGAUCGUAGGGCAGUUUCCUUUUUCCUUUAAUCAAAUUUGAUGUUGAAUCAAUACAAAAUUCACCACAAUUCAGACUUCCUCAGGUAAACAGAAUAUGUGAUUAAAAAAUUGCAUACGAAUGAUCUAAGGGACAACAAAUUCAAGGAGACUAAUAAUAUGAAAGAUCCAAACAUCCAUAGGUUGCGCAUGUUAAUUCACACAAAUUUCAAGGUAUUAAAAAAAAAAGAAAAUUUGCAAAAGAGGGCUUACUUCGGUGGUGGCACAGUGAACUGCAAGAUUGGGCUACAUGAUGAAAUCUAAUGAAAAAAAUUUGUUCCAAAGACAGUAAAUUUGAUGAUCGAAUGGUUGACGAUGGCUGCUGUAAAGAUGACGAUGGUGAUUUUGCGGGAUUCCUAGUGAGACUUUUUGUAGUUUUUCUAUUUCUUGUGUUAGAUUUUUUUUUGUUUUUUCAAAUUUGAUUUCCAGAUUUGAAAAUUUUUAAAUUUGUCACGUCAGAUUUCACCUUACCAUCCAGGUUUAAAUCAAUUCAUUAGCAUAUUUGGAAAGAAAUAAACCGUACAACUGGAAGCACGCAUAGAUAAUCUUGAUAAUAAAUGUUUUAUCAUUUGAUUUUUGUGAGUUCCACUGCAUAAUAUUCUAUUAAUUUUUCAGAUCUAUAUAUAUUUGUUUGGACAGAAUAUUAUUUGAAAUAAUUAUUGUAGUACUUUUUAUGAUGUGAUGUAUAUGAGAUAAAAAGGUGAUUGGGAAUAUAAAAAGGUGGGUUGGAAAAUGUGUUUAUAAUGCAAGCGAAAUAUUAUUUGAGAUAUUUCUACUGUCCAAACACUAGCCUAAGUAGAUCUGUUUGUAUCCGUAUAUUAUUUAUAUAGUUUCUGCCACUAGUAUAGAUUUAAUAAAAUAAUAACAUUUUUAUCAAAAAAAACAAAAGAAGAAUACAGGAUUAAGCCCGUGCAAAUGUGCCGAAGUUGAGUGCUUGUGUAUUCAUUAGUUAGUGGGCAAGCAAACUGAGCAAAAGGUCAUGGACAAGGUGCUCAAGAAAAAAGUUUGUUCAUUAAAGUAUGAGACUAUCAAUGAACAGGUAUGCUGAAAUGAAAGAGACUUUGAAAACUCAUCUUCACCACAAUUUCAAUGUCAUCCAGCCUGCGAUCCAGCUUAGAUGCUUCGCGUUGAAUGUUUAUUGCAUGUUUAAAAUCCCCAUUUCACCGAAAUCCAAUCUGAUAAUUUCACACUCUCAUUUCUUAAUGAGUUUGAAAUUUGCAUUAAUUAAAGAUUGUUUGUUCGUGUGUCAAUCACUAGUCUUUGUUUUUUUUGCCUUUGGGCCAUGAAGUAAAUUGACAGCGCUAAGUUAAAAAGAAUAUUAAGAAAAGAAUUGUAGAGACAGAAAAAAAAUACAACCUAUUGUUGGCCAAAGUUGAGUUCAUGUAAGUUUCCAUUUUGACAAGUUUUCUAUUAAUAUGAUUUUUCAACAUUUUUAUUCCUUAAACAACUUAAAAUAUUGCCUCUUAUAUUAGUUUUCUUUUUUGAAAUUUAUAGCUGCAAACCAACAUGGCUUUUAAUUGGGAGAAGGAUUUAUCUAUGUGUAAAUCUUAUAUACACUGACAGUAUAUACACUAUCAUCAUUGGAUUCAUCAUAUGUGCAUAAAAAUUAAAUUUUAAAUUCAAAUUUACAUAAUUAUCAUUCAUCCAAUACUAACAGUAUGUAUACUGUCAGUUUUGACAAGUUAAAAAAAAAUAUUAAGAAAAGAAUUGUAGAAACAAAAAAAAAUAUUGCCAUUUUGACAAGUUUUCUAUUAACAUGCUUUUUCAACAUUUUUAUUCCUUAAAUAACUUAAAAUAUUGCCUCUUAAAUUAGUUUUCUUUUUUCAAAUUGAUAGUUGCAAACCAAUGUGGCUUUUAACUGAGAGAAGGAUUUAUCUAAGAGGCGACGAAUGGCACUUUGCCUCUCUGAGCCAUGGAGUUGAUCCCACCAUACCCGCUUCGGACUAUGGGUCGAAUAGUACGGCAAAGAUUCCCUUUUUUUUUAACAAUUUUUGCUGUUAAAAUCUUAUCAUGCUAUCUAUUCGAUUGAUAGGUAUUCCAGUGGCAGAGCCACAUAGGAUUGUGGAGUAGACAAUUGCCUUCCCUCCCCAGCCCCCUCAAUUUUGAUAAAAUUGUACAAUGGCCUUCAAAUUUUUCAAGAUUUUUAAGUUUAUACCAUGUUUGCACCCCUGAAUUUUAUAAAAUUCUCUCUUUCAGUUGUGUUGCCCCAGUCAAAUUUAAGAAAAUUCCCUUCUUUAUAUAUAGGUUAUCUUUUAAAGUUUUAUAUAUUCCUCACUUAUUCUACAUUUACUCCACACACACAAAAAAAAAAAAAAACUUUCUAUUGAUUGCCUCUAACAAAAAUUUAGGAUUUAUUUCAAAUUAAACAAUAAUGGGAAAAAAGAUUUCACUUUUUAAAUCAAAAGCACACUGUAUAUUUAGGAUUAAUCUUUUCUAUACUGACAGUGUAUACAUUAUCAGCGAUGGAUGAAUGGCAAACAUAUAAAUUUUGAAUUUAAAAUUCAACUUUUACACAUAUGUCAUAGAUCCAAUGGUGAUAGUGUAUACACUGUCAAUGUAUAUAAGAUUUACUCGUAUAUUUAUUAUAUAAAUCUAAGAGUAUGAUUUAUACUGAAAUUGCCCAUUGCACCCCUUGUCAUAAGGUUCUGGCUCCACCACUGACAUAUCCGAUGCAAUAAUGACUAAAAAUCCAAAUUUCAGAAUGUAUCCCUUUUUUGUUUUUUUUUUCGGACAGGAUAGAAUGUCUCUCUCGAUGAGUCAUAAAAUUCGGGUAACAUAUAGAAACGCGAAACACAACACCUCAAGGCGCGAAUGGUCCUGACGCUCACUCUUCACACAAACUAUGCAGUUCUAAUAAUAAUAGCUAUCGUUUGGCAUGUAACGCAGUAAAAAGAAUAUUCCUUUCAGAUAAAUGCCCAGCAACUUAAAUGCAAACAGCCGAGUAGGGCUGCAAACGAAUCGAGCCGCUCGCGAGCAGCUCGAGUCAAGCUCGAGUCGAGCUCGAGCCAGCUCGAGUCAAACUCGAGCUCGAACUCGAGCUCAGAAUAUUAAGCUCGUUAGCUCGCGAGCCGGCUCGCGAGCUUGAGUAAAUAUAUAUUUUUUUAUUUUUAUUUUUAUUUAAUAAUAAAAUUACGUAUAUUAUAUAUAUAUAUAUAUUUUAUUUUUUUAUUUUCAUAAUGAAAUUACGUAUAUAUCCUUAAUAUUUUAUUAUUUAUUCAUAAAAAAUAUUAUUUUAUUUAUUUUUUAAAAAAAUAAAAUAAUUUUUUUUUAUUUUUUUUGAGCUCGAGCUCGGCUCGACUUGAUUCGAGUCGAGCUCGAGCUCGAAAAUUGCCAGCUCGUCGAGCUCGAGCUCGAGUUUGGUAAAAUUUAGUCGAGACUCGGCUCGAUUAGCUCAAAACUCGACUCGACUCGGCUCGUUUGCAGCCCUACAGCCGAGUACGAUAAUGAGAAAUGGGUCCCUUUUAAUGCGCAAUAAUGGAUGGGGCAAUUAUUGUACUGACCUAACCUGUCCUUAGGUAUGAAAGUCACUAAUUUCUAAACUCGCGGCUCCAAGUCUCCACGUCGAUACAGAAUGGACAAUUAAAAACAGUACAUCUUUUCUACUCAUCCUCCCAACCAUGCGCCUGUUAUCUUCCCAUAUUUCGUUCUUGGCGUAUCUUUACCUAAUCUGAAUGGGUUUGAAAGAUAUUUUUGGACUCUAUAGCCACCUCAAUUUUUUUUUAUAACCUAAUGCUAAUAAUAUACUUCUUCUGUCUCAUUAAAAUCGCUGUAAUUUUUAUUUUAGAAUGUUCCAAAAUAAUUGUCAUGUAAAAAAAGUCAAAACACCUUUUAAUUUCUCUUUUGAAUAUAGCCUUUCUUUUUAAUUAUAUUCAUGUUACCAUUCAAAUUUAAAAUUUUGAAUUUGUGAGGAUAAUAUUUAAAAAAAAGUACAAAUAUCACAAUCAAAUCACUAUUUUUAAAAGUUAGAUUUGUUAAACAUGACUAAAUAAAUGUGACGAAAAAGUAAACAUACAUCACUUAAUCAAUGCGACUCAACAAUUCAUUACAAGGUCUACAGAUUAAACUUCUGUAUUUUGUAGUGCAUAUGAUAAGCUGUUAAUUAAUUUCCAAGCGCUGUCCUUCAAGGCUGACAAUUAGCAAGGUUGGAUUGAUUAUGUAAUUGCCCAAGAAAGAUGACCAAUGGUUGUGUAGAUAAUUAACCCAAGACUAAUUAUUAAAUUAAAUUAGCUAUGUGGCAACCUUUUUUUUUUUCGUUGGUCUCUAGUGAGUUGAAAAUUUUAGAAGUUGAUGCGGCAAAGAAAUAUUUCCUAAUGUCUGGUUAUUAAAGUUUAGCAAGUUUGCAUUUAUCAUGUUGGGAGAGGGGUACUCCUCGUCGGUUCAGAAUUGCAAUAUAUAUAUAUAUAUAUAUAUAUAACUGUCCAUUGCCGUAUUCCUUUGUGACUAGAGUCCGUUGGAUGCUCUAUAAAUUGAGUAGUACCAUUUCAUUGUUUUCUUGAAGAGAGAGUUAAGUUGUGGAUAACGAGAGAAAGCUUCUAAACUUGUUAUUUGUGAGUAUUAUUGUUGAGUUUAGUUUAUAAAAUUAUUUCAGUUAUAUUGUAUAUUUAUUCUCUUUCUCUUUUCACAUAUUUUUAUAUAUUUUAAAAUAAUAUUCCCUGUCCUUGAUUUUUUUGUGGCAACAGAUUAGAAAAUGUAAAUCAAAAUUGAUAUGAAUAGGUUUAAAUUAGAGGUGUCAAAAUGGGUGAUUUGGACGAGCUUGAAUUGGAUAAAAUGGGUAAUGUGUAUAAGUGAGUCAACCUAUUUAUGUCCAUUUAAUUAGAUGGGUAUAAAUGGAUAAGUCAAAAAAUAAAUUGGGUUACCCAAUUACCCAUUUAUAACCCAUCUAUUUUAACAUUUUGUAAAUUCAUUUGAAUUCAUUUUUGCAAACUAAGUUAUCAAUUUAUACCAUUCUUUGCACCCAUCAUUAGUUUUAAAUAUUUACUUAUAAUGUUUAAUAAGCCUAAUUAUCAAUUUUUUUUCAUCCGUACUCUAUGUCGCAAAAUUACAUAUUAUUUCAUAACUAAACAAUAAGAAUAUAAAAAUUUGAACUAAGUACCAUAAAAAUUAACAUAAAAAUUUAAUCCAAAAAUUUUGAACCCCUAGCAUUUUUUUGUGGGUAAAUUUAAAAUUUUAUUUUGGAAAAAUAAGAAAAGAAGCUAAAACUUGUCAUAAAUUGGUAAUGUUGAAAAAUGAGCAAGUUAAUAAAUUAAAAGAAAAUAAAAUGAUAAGAUAAAACUAAUAAAUAAUAAUAAUAAUGAAACAAAAGUAGUUAACAUCAUGAUAAAAUAAAAAAAAUUUUAAAAAAAAGGGUGGGGGACGAGAGGAGGUUUGGGGGAAAACAAUUUUAAAUGGGUUAAUUGAGUUUGAUGAUUUUAAAUGGUUAAAUGGGUAUUAUUAGAUAACUCAUUUAUACCCAUAUAUAAAAAUUUAAGAUACUCAUAUCUAUUUAUGAACGAAUGUGAAUAAAUUUAAUUAAAUAAAUUUGUUUUACAGUUUUAGUUUAAAUCAACCUUCUCCCUUCACUCAAGUUUAUCUUGUACUUGAACAUCUUAGCCUGAACUUUUCUGUCGGCCACAUCAUAUUUUAUUUGAUGGAUAAGAGUUUACUUGUACUUUCUUGGGGGAGCACAACUUUCGAGUAAAGAUAGUGAAUACGGAUUUGAUGUAUGGAUUUAUCAACAAUAUCUUUUUCUUCUUUUAAUAGUGACGUUGAUUGCCACCAACAUUAUCGCACUUCCGAAUGCGACAUUCUUGUCUUGUUUCCAUUGAAUUUUCCAGUCCUUCCUAAAUUAUUGUCCUUCUACAGAAUUCUGGGACCAGUCCUUCACGUGCAUGAAUUGAAGUGGACGCACUAAAAUCACUUAGAAGGGACGCACUAAAAUGAAAGCUAUUUGGAUUGUAAGUUAUUUGGGAUGGUAAGUUAUUUGGGAUAUUUUUAUUGUAAUAUUUUUUGUGACAUGAUGUAUGUGAGAUAAAAAGUAAUUGAGAAGAUAAAAAAGUGUAUUGAAAAUUGUAAUAAUAAUGUAAGUAAAUAAAAUUGAGGAAAUAAUGCUCAAUCCAAACAAAUCAGUUUGAAUUGUAAGUUCACAGAGUUUUGUUGAAAAAUAUACUAUAGCAAUAUGACAUAUAUAAAGAUAAUAGGAUGUAUAUAAUAAUAAAUAUGACAUAUAUAAGAUAAAAAGGUGAUUAAAAAUAUAUCAAGAAAAUAUUUUAAAGUUUUUCAGUGAAAACUUGCGAUCCAAUUAAGGCUAGUGUCAUCCGCUUAUGACCAGCUUAUCUUUGCAAUUUUCAUGUUUUCAAAUAACGUUGAGAUCCCAUUGUUAGGAACAUUUCCAAACAGGAGCUCCCAAUAAAUCACUGAAAGGGAGUACAAUAGGAAAUCAAAGGAUAAGUAGUAUUCAAAAGACUGAACUUCAAAAGGGAAAAUCUUUCACAAUGUCCCCUAUAUUUUGUCAAAUGAAUUUUUUGUUCUUCAUUUUGAAAAUGUUAGUUUUACGUUCUUUACAAAUUCAAGUUAACAAAAUUUUGUUCGAAUCUAAGUUCUUUUUUACCACCUUUUAGCUUGAAAUCACCAUGUGGCUCACAUGAAAUCAUUUUUUAUAUACAAAAAAGUCAAAUUUCACCUUUUUAGGAUAAAAAUGAACAUGAAUUAAAUCAGAUCCCACUUUUCAAAAGAAAAAUAAAUAUGAUUUAGAUCAGAUCCUACUCUUUGUGUCAAAAUAAUUAUGGAUCCAAUCAUUUGUUUAACUACAAAUGAGAUUUAACCUUUUUGUCCCAAAAAAAUGACCAUAUUUGGGUUAUGUGAUGAAUUCAGGGUAAAAAGUAAUCAAAAACUUAAGUUGAACUAAAUUUUACUAACUUGAUUAUGUAAGAAACGUAAAGUUAUUAUUUUAAAAGUGAAGGAUAAAAAAAUUUUCAUUUAGUGAAAUGUGAGGGACUUUUCAAAUGAUUUUCCCACUUCAAAAUUACUCGAAGGCUUUGCAGCCGAAAUUUACUUUUUUCUUUUUUGGUAGGUUAAAUCUAUCCCGAAGCCACAAAAGGUACGUUACCAUAACUACAAUAAAUCUGAAUUGAAAAUUUACUUGCAAGGACCCAAAUAAAUUAACUGGUUGUACAUAUGAUUGUACGUGGUUCACGUGAUCAAGAUCUAUGAAGUUUCACUAAAUGGAGCACAUAGGAAAAGAUUAGCCAUCACAAACAAACCGGCUGCAGUAUUAUAUAUCUGUACAUAUUUAAUUAUAACAAUCCACUUGCGAUGAUUAUUGAUUUCAUAAUCAUUAUCUUAGGGUACCAUUCUAUGAAAUAUUUCCGGUUAUUUCUAUUUGUAAUUGAAGAUAGUUCCCAUGGAACUCGUCAGUAAUAAUCCGUCAUCAACUGUAAGAAACCAAGAACACCUACAAAUUAAUUGCAAGUGCAAAGACUCAAAUUCAAUCUUAAAUUUUCCUUCCCCUUUCUUCAACCCUUUCAAUAUCUAGCUACACCAAAACAAAAAAAAAAAAUAAAAAAGAAGAAGAAAGAAACAAUGAACAACCAUGAAUUUAGUUUAGGUAUUUUUCCAACAUGCUUACAUGCUAUGGCCAAAUUUGAUAUUGAGUCAAUACAAAUCAUCCAAAAUCAGUCUUCCUCGGGUAAAAAGAAUAUAUGAUUACAAAAUUGCAUACAAAUGACUAAAUAAAUUAAGAAGGGGACAAAUUCAAGAAGCUAAUAAUCUAAAAAAAUCCAAACAUUCAUAGGUUGCACAUAUCAAUCUCACAAAUUUUUAUGAAAAAGAAAUUUUACAAAAGACGGCUUAAUUCAGUGGUGGCAAGGUUAAAAUUUUGCAAGAUUGGGCUCCUUUUUAUGUUUUGGUUUAUACUUUUUAGGAUUGUUAAAAAUUAAAUUUGAUGAAAUAAGGUUGAUGAUAUGAUGAAAUCUGAUGAAACGAAGUUGUUCGAAGGGCAGUAAAAUUGAAGAUCGAAUGGUCGACGAUGGCUGUAGUAAAGAUGAUGUUGGUGAUUUUGUGGGAUUCCUAGUGAGUGUUUUUGUAGUUUUUCUAUUUCUUGUGUGAGAUCUAUUUUUUUUUUUUUAUAUAGAUUUUGUUGUUAGAUUUGAGAUUUCUUAAAUCUAUCUUAUCAGAUCUCAUCUUAGCAUUUAGGCUUGAAUCAGUUCAUUAGCAUAUUUAGGAGAAAGUAAAUGGUAUCGGUGGAAGUAUGCGCCGAUAUCAUUUGAUGUUUUUUGAGUUCCACAAUGUAAUAUGCUUUUGAUUAUUCAGAUCUACAACAUCUAGCAUUUGUUCUUCAAAUCUAUAUCUGUAUAUCAUUGAUGUAAUUCCUCCCACUACUACUACAGAUUCAACAAAAUGAUGAUGUUUUUAUCAAAAAAAAAAAAAAAAAAAAAGACUAGAGAAUUAAGCCCGUCCAAUUGUGCGGGAGUGGGGUGCUUGUGUAUUCAUUAGGUAGCGAGUAAAUUGAGUAAAAGGUUAUGGACAAAAUUGUAGAAAACACAUUGUUAGUUAGGUCACAACACGGCAAAGUUUUUCAUCAAGUGCUCAGGAAAAAGUUGUUCACAGGUUGUGGACAAAUUUGAAGAAGACAAAUUAUUAGAUCAUAACAUGACAAAGUUUUUCAUGAAGUGCUCAAAAAAAAAAAAAAAGUAAUUCAUAAAGUAUGAGACUAUCAAUGGACAGGUAUGCUGAAAUGAAAGAUGCUUUAAAUUGAGUUGACAGCACUAAAGUUAAAAAAAAUAUAAAAGAAGGAAAAAAAGUUGUCACAGGAAAAAAAAUGUAUAGGCCACAGUUGCGUUCAUGUAAGUUUUCAUUUUUGCAAGUUUUCUAUUAGUAUACUUUUCAACAUUUUUAUUCCUUAAACAACUUAAAAUAUUGCCUCUUGAAUGUGUUUUCUCGUUUCAGAUUGAUAGUUUCAAACCCGUCCUGAUUCUUGAUUUUUCAGAAUCACGAGAUUCGUGAACUUUUGCACCAAGUUACCGAAAAUUCAUCUUUGAUACCUAUCUCCACCAGUGACAAUUUCUUCAAAUUCUUUUGAGGUUCAUGCUCUUGCAGAAACUGACAUCUUUUCAAACAUAGCACUGUUAAUGAUGAGUCAGUUGCACCAAGGAUUUUAGGGUCUGGGGUUUAUGCGGUUUGCUAAAUUCUACGAUGGAAAUCCUGAUUACGUUGACAUGUUUUUCUAUUACAGCUUUCUUGAGACACCUGUUUAGAAUCUUCUCAUCCAGUUUGGUCUCAAUCAUCAUCGAUAGAUGCGGCGCCUACCACUUCUGCAGUGCGCUGUUGGCACGUUUCAUGAAGCCCUUUUUGUAAUAUGAUUCAUAUUGAACAAAUGCCAGUCGCUGAAUUUUUUUCUUUCUUUCUUUUUUUUUUGUUUUGUUUGGUAACAAAAUGGACUAUAAAGUUAUAGGUACAAAGUGACAAAUUCCCUUAAUAUCUGCAUCUACUAAAUUUUUUAAAUUAGGAGGGACACUUUCAUAACAUACACAAAUCGUGUCUUGCUGAGCACAUAAUUUCGUCAAUCUAUCUUUAUACUGAUUAAUUUUUCAAUAAGUAUAACUUUCGACAGAACAGAAAUCAGGAACCUACAAUUAGAAAUAAUUGAAACAUACUCAUGAGUUGAGGUAUCAACAGAUUUAAGCAAAUCUAGAGCAAUUUUAGCAUUAACUUCUAAUUCAAUAUUUUGCAAGUUGAGAGAGGAAGCUAAGGAUACCCCAUCCCUUGUUCCCACAACUCAGCAACGAUAUUGGUAAUGGGUCCUAAUUUUUUGCUAAAGGCAGCUACCCAGUGUCCUAGGUGAUUCUAAUCAAGUCACCUAAUCCAGCUGGACCCGAGUUCCCCAUGGAUCGAGGACCCAUCGGUAUUGAUUUUGAAAUAAGAAGGGAAUCUGGUUAGCGAGCACUUCUGUUCUAAGGCGUACUUAGUUCUGAAUAGGUCGUGAAAAGGAGCAUUCGUGGCUGAAUUUUCUUUCCUCGAAGAAGCCGUACGCCUUGAAAUUCUAAUCUAGGGCUGGUUGGAUAAAAUACUCUAGCUUCGACAUAGGGAUGGCAACGGGGCGGGGUUGGGGCGGGGGACCCCUCCCCCAUCCCCCGCCCCGUUGCCUAUUAGUUCCCCCGUCCCCCGCCCCGUCCCCCGCCUCCCGCUCCCCCCGCCCCCGCCCCGCUUCCCCCGCGGGGGCACCUGCGGGGUUAAUAAAAUUUUAUUAUAUAAUUUUAUUAUAAUUAAAAUUUAAUAAAUAAUCAAGUACUAAAAUAUCAACACAUCACCAAAUUAUUAUUCAUUGUAAUUUUACAAUUGAAACUCAUAAAAACAAUCAAACAGAAGUUAUUUGAAUACAAUCCAAUAUGAUGAAAUAAAUAUAACUAAAAUAGUCAAAUUUUCACUUUUAGUACAAAUGCAAUCACUAAUUCAUCAUUGUGUUUGUGCUUUUUUUUGAGAAAAAAGUUUUAUUCUAUUAAGUGUAAUUAGAAAUUUAGUAUAAAUGUAUUAGUAAAUUUAGUAUAACUAAUUAAUAAAUUCUAUUAGUAGACAUGUAUAAUUAUUCAUAUAAUUGAUAAUAUCAAUUAUAUUACAUAAAUUAAUAUACAUUAUAUAAUACAUCUAACUAAUAAUAUCAUUAUCAUAAGUUUAUAACUAAUUAACUUACAUAUAAUAUAUAGUCAUUUAUAUAUUAUUAUUAUUUUGCGGGUGGCGGGGCGGGGGAUGGGGCGGGGGAGUAUACCCCCGCCCCCCGCCCCGUUUCUAAGCGGGGGGAAAAAAUUCCCCCCCGCCCCCGCCCCAACCCCCGUCCCGUGAGCCCCCCGUGGGCAUCCGCCCCAUUGCCAUCCCUACUUCGACAUGGUGUUUCGCAAUCAGGAAAGAAAGUAUGCCAGCUGCCGCCCAAAUCUCGGUUUAUCUCGUUUUUCCGUGCUGAUUUGCACUAGCCUCGUUGAUUGUUUUUGGAACCCUUCCCAAAAAAACCCUAGUUUGACUACGACCUCAUAGUUACCUGUCCGAUAUCCUCACCAGUUGAAAUGAAUCUUUGCAACACAAAUCCCGCUAUUAAAUGGAGGUCUUGGGGACAAAAAAUUUCAUGGUUCAAUUUAAUAAGUUCAACACAAAUUUAUUAAUAGACUAUUUUUCUAGAGUUAAGGAGAUAUUUGAUAACCCCAUUAAGUACGCAAAGUUAUUGCAUUAAGUACUUCUUUCCUGCUACAUUUGUUUGAUAAAAAAUUUGCUUAUAUUUAUGACACAUUUGAUUUAUAUACAAAAUUUUACACGAACGUUAUAUCACUUAAUUUGUUGAACUAGUAUAUGUAUUAAUCAUAUUCACUCAAAAGAAUCAUUGCGCUCACCAAUACACUUUCACACAGUAUACACACACUCUCUCUCGAUCACAUUUUCACACAUCCACACACGUUCUCUCUCGCUAGAAUAUAUAUAUAUAUAUAUAUAUAUAUAUAUAUAUACUAUAUAAUACAUCUAAAUACAAUCUCCCCUUCAAACAUGUAGAAUCUAUAUGCUUUUCUUCUUUCAAACAAACAUUUUACACAAAAAGCACAUGCUCCACGAGUCACACACAUACACAAAAACACACCUUUCAUAUUAGCAUAGAGCUUAUUAGUAUCAAAAAAAUAAUAUUUAAAAAUUAAUCUAACAUAAAACACACCUUUCAUAUUUAGGAUUAAACUACAAAAUACAUAUGGAAUAAAUAUUUCAAUUCAAUGCUUGCAUUAAAUUGACUAUCAAAUAGAUGUGACUUCAUGGAUAUAAGCAAAUUAAGAACUCAGGAAUUAGUUUUCAAUCUUUAUAUUUCAGAAAUCAAUUUUCAGUUUUAUCAAAUGCCGUCUAGGCCAUUGAAUUCUAUAAUAUUUUAUGGUUUCUUUUGACUGAUUCCCAGAAUAAUUCUUUUGAUUAAUUCUACUAAGUCUCUAUCGUGUUCACAAUUCCACCUCAUCUUCUUUUUUUGGGUACAAUCAAAACACAGGAUUCUAAAUUUUAUGAGAUUUUAUGUUGCACUCCUUCAUUUCCUUUUAAUGGUGAAAGAAGAAAUAUUGAACAAAUUGUUGAUCUCUUCCUCAUGGCCAAAAAUUAGGAGCAACACUCCAUUUCUUUUACUUCCCAAACUAGUCCAACUUUCCAAGCUGGAAUGUGCAAGAUACUAAACAAAUUAAGAAGAUUAGGAAAGAUACUACGAAUCACAGAUUCCACAAUGUAGAGUUGUGCAACGUAGGAACUUGACUAAAAAUCAAAGAGUUUGCUCCAAAUUAAAAAUUUUUGAAAGGAGAAAGCAAGAUCUAUAAUAAUGGAUGAUCAUAUAUGAUAUAUCAAAGUUACUGGAAGAGUGAAAUUAAGGAGAGGAUCAAUUACUAAAAUAUGGCCUACUUUAGAGCUAAAUUUAGAUUUUCAUUUGUUACCAAUAAUUUUUACUAUAACUUUAAGCUUUUUUUUUUGGAGCAAAAGAAAAGAAAAAUGUGUUGGUGAUUGUAGUGGUUAAGGUUUAGGCCAUUGAUCUAAGUUGUAACUCAAUCUAAUUAACCAAUAGGAGCAGUUUGUGCCCCUAGUAGAAACUAUUUCUAUUUCCACCUCUCUGUUCUGGAGCUUUCUUUAGAUUACAGAUAUCCCUAGGCUGGAUGGAGGAGCUGCAUCUGUUGUUAUCCUUAGGCUGGAUGGACUAGAUGGAGGAGCUGCCUCCGUUGUGUCAUCAUAGCCCAUCAAAACUCUAGUCCUAUUUAGCGAGUUUUUUGCUAAGUUUUUCAUUUGUAAGUUUUUUUAACAGUUUUAACUACAAUAACAUGAAAAAAAAACUGUUCAAGAACUUUUCAACAUACACAUUUUAAAAUACCUAAAAACACACACAAAAUUUUUUUCCUUCUUUCUUUUCUUCUUCUUCUUCCUCCUUCCCACAUCUCAACCCACCAUCACCAACACUGCUAGCUGGCACUUUGGCGGCGCCUUUGGCAACCUCCUCCCUUUUUUCCCCUCUUCUCUCCUCUUCCCCUUUUUUGCUUCCUCCUUCCUUCCUUUCCUCAUCUCCUCUACCCCUUUUCUUCUUCCUCCUCCCUCCUUAUCCCACUCGCCCCUUCCGGUCCUCCAUCUCCCAAAGGGAGGGAGUAGGAAGGAGGAAAGAAGGAGAAGAGAGGAGGAAAGGGAGGGAGGAGAAGGGGAGAAAGAGAGUAAGAAAAAAAAAUAUGUCUACCAGCAUCGUUGUCGAUUGCCGACAAAGGUACCAGCAAUGGUGGCUAGUAGUGGGAAGAAGGGGGAGUGAGGAGGAAGAGCAAUGGUAGGGUGGGAGAAAAACAAGAGGAGAGGAAAAAGAAAAGAUAAAAAAAAAAGGAAAAAAGUUUUACCAUCCAAACAAGUUUUUUUUUUUUUACAAAUUUUACGAUAACUUAUAGUAAAAUUUUGGACAAACACCCAAAAAAUUCAAUUGCCAAAUAGGACCUCUAUUUGAUACAACGUGAGAAGGAUUAAUGCUCUAUGGUCUCAAUCUCGAAUAUUAACUAAGUAUUCCAGUAGGACAAGUACGGUUGGUAUUAGGUGUGGUUGGCACGAUUAUUGUACUUUUUUGUAAUUUGAUAUACACUCAUAUAACUUUAUUAUUUAUCGUGAAAUAUAAUAAAAAUUAUGUUAGUAUACACCAAAUCAUAAAAUACAGCGAAAUUAUGUGAAUAUAAAUCAAAUCAUGAAAAGGGUAUAACAACUGUAUCAAUUGCACCUGUAGCUGUAGUUGAUCGUACCUGUCCCAUUCCUGUAUUUUAGAGUCUCUAAACUUUGCUGUAAAUAUUUCUUCUUAUUCUCAUAUUGUGAAACUAGGGGUGAACCCAAGCAAGGUGCGGGAGUGAGUACUUGUCGUGAAAUCUUGUAAAAAGUAAAAUUGUAGUUGUGUUGUUCUCAACUUUUUUUUAGAGAAAUUGGAAAUGUAUAAUAUGGUAACUUGUUGUAAUUUAUCAUUGUAUACAUAUUCUACAGCUUUAUCUUUAUUAAUAGAAUUUCUCAAUAAUCUCUCUUGUUUUUUCCUUUUCUUUGAGAGAUUACAAUCCAUAAUUGCUUGGUAAUAAAGACAUUAAAAUUUUACCAAAAAAUAAUUAAAUUGUACUACAAUAAAGCCAACACAAAUUAUAAUCUCUUCCUUGAUUUCUCUACCAGCUGAAUCUUCUUCAUCUUGAAAAAGAAAAACAAGUGGAGAAUGACACUAUUAGGAAAAUCUAAAAACUAAUAAGGCCAAAGAGCUAGAUAAUAAGUACUAUUCUUACCAAUGCUUUUGCAAAUCAAACACUAACAUCUUCAUUUUUAGCAUCAUCAUCAUUAAAUUCCAAGGCUUUCCCUUAUUCUACUUCUACAGCUUUGUCCAAAUAAACUUGUCAAAGCAUUUGAAAUAUCAAAAUCAUUUGAAAUUGAAAAACUAUUUCCAUAUAAUAAACAAUAAAUUCAAGUAUAUCAAAAGUGCACUUAGUUCUUCAAUUUUAGACUUUUAUUUCUAGCCACCCUCUUUGGCAAUUUGAAUAAUUGGAUCAUCAAGUUAUCAUGUCAUAAAAAAGCAAAUAAAAAAAUGUGCUUUUCAAGCUUAAAACACAAUAAUAAGUACCUGGGGGUGUUCAUACCAUCCAUAAACACUUAUGAAGAGGAUUUGCCUCCAUGAAUGAUUUUCUGAAACCCUUCCUAUGUAUACCAUUGCUUUUCGCGCCACGUUUUUGGUCUGUUUUCUAUUUAAGAGUAAUAUAAGAGUAAAAUUUAGUAAUUUUUAUUCAAAAUAAAGUUCAAAUAACAUAAUUAACUACCAACUUAUACAUAUAAAUACACUAUAAUUUAUGCCCUAUCAACAACUCCAGUAGGCCGAAGGGAAAGAUCAUUUUGAAAACACUCAGAUUCUGCAUAUCCUACUUGUUCACAAUAUGGACAAAUAGAAUGCCAAUUUUCGUACUCAACAUGUUGCCAAAAGCCAUAAUCAUCGUCUCCCAUCCAUAUUUGUUUUAUUGGCAUGUUAGAAACAUCCAACUCAAACACACUCGGGCGGCUGAAGGCCGUUUCAAUUCUGAUGUUGCUGAAGAAUUUGGGCCAACUUGUGUUACUAGUCACUUGAAAAAAGAAACAACAAAAAAAGCUAGACACGUAAGGAAAGAAGCUCGCAAAAAAGAAUUUGUAAAGUUGGUUUCUUUUUGAAAUGUUAUUAUUAACGCAAUUUGUGUAACUCUACUUUUCUCCUUCCCUCUUUUUCUUUAAGAACCUGUAGAGAAACAAAGCCAUGCAUGAAACCAAUUCAAAUUAUAAAGUUUCGUUUUGGCCACUUUGUCCUUAUAAUUUUUAAUGUGAAACUAUGAACUGAAUUUUACACCAAUCUUAAGUUUUGACCAUCAUUGUUUUCAUUAUUAAUAAAAAAAAAAGCAUUAUUCAUAACUUUCCAGGGUAAUUGUGCUGCUCAGUCAAUUCACAUUAAAGUCCGCAAGUGAUGGAAGUUUAGUUUUACAUAUAAUAUAAACAUUGAGUGGAAGCAAACAGAACCAUAAAUAUUCUCAACAGUAGAGAUGUGCCGAAACAUAAAAGGUUCUUGUAUGAAUACAUUGAUUUUGGAGAACAUAUAUCUCUAAUGAUAUUGACUUUGAUCUGGUACUUUUUGCAUGUUCUUUUCUUCUUUAAUACCUUUUUUUCCUGAAGAAUAAGAGGAAACUAGAACUAAUGAUAUCGUUCGUGCUAAAUUAUAAUCAAGAACAAACACGAAUUGACAAUCAAACUCUGGGGAUUGAUAACCCAUGUUAUAUUUAUUCACGUUAUCUCUGGCUUAGACAGCCAUGAUUACAUUUAUUUCAUCUCUCAUAUGACAACGAGAGGAACUUAUUUAGUCACAUAAGACUUUAUCUUUAUGUCGCAAUUGCUUGGGGACUUUAGCAUGGACUUGCGAUCGCAAGCCAGCGUUUCAGGGUUAACAUAAGGCCUGAUUGCCUGACUGUAAUUCUCGUCAUAGAAUGCGUUCCAAAGCAUGACGCCUCCAUAGUUGGGAUAGCCCCGGACAUAGGGAAGAAUUUCGCGAAUAAGCACCUGAGGUGGAAUGUAACCGCCACUAGGAGCGGCUUCAGGGGAUGCAGGUAAUCCCAGGAAUAGUUUAUUAACUCCUGGGUAUGAAGCCCAAUGAGAACUCCAACUGUAGAAGAGGUUGUUGGCAUUGCCCAUACUAUACUGACAAGGCGGAUUGUUGUAAAAUUGCACCCACACAUAAUCAAAGAGGCCAGUUCUGAUAGCAGCGUCGAGAUAAUAGUCAGGAUAGAAACAUUGUGGUGCUGCAGAUAAGUGCACCCUCCUCUCUGAUGUGCUAUAUUCUGAGAGCGCCUUGGCGAGAUCAUCCAAGAAAUCCCUCUUUCCACCUUGGAUAUGAAAGUCUAUACCGUCUAAGACAGCAUCGCCUAAUGGACGAUUUUCUGAUUCACCGCCAAGGAAAUUAUUAUAGAGAUAGGACGCGACUUCCUUGGCAUCAUCGGCGGAAGAGAGGUUUGGAGCUCCACCGAGAGAAAGAAGCACUUGGGUGCCUCGGCUCUGGCAAGCUUUUAUCUCAGAACUAAGGGAGGAGCAAUCGCUUGGCUCACAAUGCCCAGCUAAGUUCAAUUCUGGUGUCUGGCCACCGCCAAAAUUUAUCAGAAAGGCAAGAUUCACGUAGUCGUAGGUAUUUCUCCGGCAUGCGUCUUCCAGGCUUCCUUCGUCGGUGUGUUGGCCCCAGUAGGUGGCAAUUCCAGCAGCAUCGGAAGACCUGAUCAGUGAAGAUAACAUCCACAGGGAUGUUAUUGCUAUGAGUAGUGAUCUAAAACAGCGAGCCAUGCUUUCUUCUCUCGGUUGUUUUUGCAGGUUGCUUUGGGUAUAUUUAGUUGCCCACAGAUCGAUCCCUUUUAUAGAUGAGUCCAGCUACCUGUGUGGCGAAUUGAAGACGUGCCAAAUGGUACCCAUCCCUUUACAGAUAUGUGUAAUGUGUGCUUUAUCUAUAAUAGUUGAUAGUUUUACCCAAAGAAAAGUAUUAUUCGUUCCUAGAGUAUUCGCAUCGAUCAAUUAUUGACAACAUCAGUAAAUUUCUUUACUCGUCAUUUCAACUAUAGCACAGCUAUCUUUUUAUUUUUGGCUCUUGGGAAGCUUAAAAGUGCCAUAAUCUUAUAAACCGGGUAUUGAAGACAGGACCUUUAGAAGUUGAAAUAUAACCUUAUAUUUCAACCACAGGCCAAAAGUCUACUGGAAAAUAUAUUUCAGAUGUCAUAUUUUUUAAAAUAUAAAAUUAAUUAAGAAAAAUAAAAAAUACAAGAGAUGGUUGGUAAAAUUAACAAGUAUUCAAUAGAUAUCCGUUAACAAACUCUUUAAAUAAAACUAAUAUUUUAAAAUUCAGUCUAGACUAUUCGAUCGAGCUAAUUGAACCGUUGAUUGGGUAGUUUUCUGAGUUGAGUUAAGCCUCAAACUAAGAGAGAUAAAAAAAAACCGAUCUAAAUAGUAAAAACCAAUUAGAUCUUGGCCAGACCAAUGAACCGUCGCCGAAACGGUGUUUACUAAACCGUAAUCUUGCUUUUCUUUGAAAAAAUUGCGGUCCACAUUAUCGGAUGUCCCCUGAGGGACGGCGGUCCCACGUUAUCAUACCAUCUUCAGACAAGAUCGACAUACUUUGUGACAUUUUCCUAUUUAUUCCUCAUGCUUGCUUUAUUUUAAGUUGUCUUCAUCGAUCAUGAACCAAAGUACUUUAAUACUACUCAUUGAUCAACUAAGUAUGGAUUUACAAGAUUCAUGUUAGUGGUCUACAUGAUAACAGUAAAAUAAAAAAAAACAAAAAAAUGAUAACAGUAAAAUAUAUUUCAGGUAUUAAAUUUUUAAAAAUAUAAAAUUAAUUUAAAAAAGCGUAUAAAUGCAAGGGAAUUAAUUAUGAAAAGUAUAUAAAUGCAAUGGAAGUUAGUAAUUGUUAGUGUGUGUAUAUACAUGAUAGGUUAGGUGUAAUAUAGAUUUGUUAAUGAGUGCCCCUUGGUCACCUGUUAAAAAAUCCUAUAUGAUAAUAAAGAUAACAUUUUAAUUAGGAAAGAUUGUUCAAAAUGUAUCUCACAAUUUAUCAAAUGAAUAUUUUUCAUUGUUUACUUUUAAAAUGGUAACUUUAUAUCCUUUAUAAAAUCAAGACAAUAAAAUUUAGUUCCAACUUAGAUUUUCAAUCAUUUUUAACCAAAAUCCAUCAUGUGACCACAUAUGGUCAUUUUUUAGAGACAAAAAGGUUAGAUUUCAUUUGUAGUUAAACAAAUGAUUGGAUCUAUAUUCAUUUUUACCCUAAAAAAGUAGGAUCGCAUUUAAAUUAUAUGCAUUUUUUCCCUAAAAAAGUGAAAUUUGACACAAUCUAUAUUUAUUUUUGUCACUAAAAAAGUGGGAUAUGACAUUUUUUAUGCAUAGAAAAUGAAAAAAUUGUAAAUUUAGUACCAAAUGUUUGGGAUAUCAGCAGUUUUAUUCCUUAAAGUUUGGACAAAAGUAAAUCUAGUCCCAAAUAUUUCAAUUUUUAAGCACAUUUAGUCCAAUUGAUUGAUUUUUGACAAAUUGUUAUCGGAAUUCAGUCACAUCAACAACAUAUGUCAGUAGCUUAAAUUUUAAAAAUAAAUAGAAAAAAGAAAAGAUGUUGGUGGCCAUAAUCUUUAUUUAAGGGCAUAAUUAGUCACACACAGAGUAGUCAUGUAGUUAAAGAGCAAAGACUAAUUACUAUGCAUAUGACUAAUUAGUGCCCUUUAAUUACAAAAAAUGGCCACCAAUAUCUUUUCUUUUUUCUAUUCUUUUUCAAAAGUUAGUUGUCGAAACGUGCUAUUGGCGUGACCAAAUUCAAGCAAUAAUUUGCCAAAAUCAGUCCUUUGGACUAAAUAUGGUUGAAAAUUAAAACAUUUAGGAUUCGAUUUGUUUUUGUCCAACCUUUAAAUACUAAAACCAUUGAUGGUACUAAAAUUGUAACUUUCUCUAAAAAAAAAAAAAAGACUGAAUUUGGGUCACAUGGUGAUUUUAGGCAAAAAAGUGAUCAAAAAUUUAGGUUGAAACCAAAUUUUACUAACUUGAAUUUAUAAAAGAUGUAAAGUUAAUAUUUUAAAAGUAAAAAACAAAAAAAUUAUUUAACAAAAUAUGAUAGAUGUAUUAAACAAUUUUUCCUAUUAAUUAUUUAUGAUACAUCUCUGAUGUCAUAAAUUAACAAUGAUUUGAUAACAUUUGGCCCAAUGAUUUUUAACCUAGUAAGAUUUUUAGUUUAAUAAAUGGCUUGGAUUUUAAAACCUUCUUAAAAACCUUAAUUUUCAGAACCACUCAUGGAUGAUGUGGUGCAUAUUCAAGAGCCACAUAUAUCAUCAUAAUAAUGUAAUAUUACUUGCAUCAUCAUGUUUCACUAAGGGUCCGUUUGUUUCGGGUGAAAAUGUUUUCCAGGAAAAUAUUUUCCUAAUUUCCCGUGUUUGGUUGCACAAAAGUUACUGAAAACAUUUUCCUAUGUAAAAUAUUUUCACUCAUCUUGUGGAAAACAACUUCCCUUCCAAACUUACUGAAGUUGUUUUCCGAAAUGCAUGCAUCCCGCCUGUAGUAUGUUCCAAACUUACUGAAAACAUCUUGUAAUAUGUUCUUUUUUUUUUUUAGUGCAAACAGGAGGACUCGAACCCAAGACCUCUUCCUUACACUCCCUCCCCUGUACCACCCAACCCAACCCAAACCUCCCCCUAGUAUAUUCAAAAUAAAAAAAAAACCUCAUUCUGCUCAUCCUAUGCUAGUAAUUAAUUGUGUAUAAUAGGGACAUUCUUUUCUAAAGAAACUUUCAGCAGUGAGAGUGCAAGAUAUAUGUCAUAAUAAGCAUUGCAUGUGAUUGAUAUUUGACACUAAAUGGUCAGCAAUUUGUUUAUUGCUUAAGGAGAUAUUUUUUAUUCAUAUAUACAUUUCUCCAAGAUUUUUUAAAGUUAAACAAUGAGAUAAAUUUUCUUAUUUUGCAUGAGAAGAAGUAUGUAGUUAUAAUGUGUAGAAAGUAAAGAUAGAGAUAAAAGUGAAAAUAUUUCAAAAGUUAAACAAACACCAGAAAAAUGAAAUAAGAAAAUAUUUUCAAUAAGCUAACCAAACACCUGAAAAUGAUGAAAGGGAAAUGAUUUUCAUGAAAAAUUAUUUCCACGGAAAAUAUUUUCCCAAGGAAAACAUUUUACUUCUAACCAAACAGACCCUAAAUGAGUGUGCCUUUCAAGGAAGAAAGGGGAGCAUUUAUUUAUUUGUCUAAAGGAUGAAAGGCACUUUGUCCCUUUGAAUGAUGGCGCUCCUCUAAUUUUACCCCCUUGAACCAAAACAAUACACACUUCAUUUUCUUUAUGCCAAAUUUUUUAUCUUAUUAAAUCAAUUUCAACCAGUGUCACAAAUUUUCCUCUUUUACAAAAGUAGUUCCUCUUUUACAAAUUUUCCUGUUACAUUACCUAUCUAUUUAAUUAAAAAUAUCUCUUUCAAUGCGACAACGUCAGUUUGACAAGUUGUGCAAAAUUUAAUAGUACUGAAAAGAAUAUUCGUUUUAGAUACUGCCCAGCCAAUCACAUCCAAACAUCCAAGAACAGGACUGAAAUUUGUGCCUUUCAAUGCGUAAUAAUGCUCGAGGCAGCUACUGUCCUGACUUGACCUGACCUAUAUUAUGAGAGUCACUGAUUUCUAGGUUCGCUGCUUCAAGUCUCCACGUUGAUACAGAACAGACAAUUCACUGUUACCUUUCCCCGCGUCGUUCUUGGCAUUUCCCAACCUAACCUAAUCCAAAUGGGUUUGAAAGAUACUUAGGCAGACUCGAUAUCCCGAACUAGAGCUGCAAACGAGUCGAGUCGAGUCGAGUUUUGAGCUAAUCGAGUCGAGUUUUAGCUAAAUUUUAUCAAACUCGAGCUCGAGCUCGAGCUCGACGAGCUGGCAAUUUUCGAGCUCGAGCUUGAGCUCGAGCUCGAAAAAAAUAAAAAAAAAAUAUAUUUUUAAAAAAAAUAAAUAAAAUAAUAUUUUUUUCUGAAUAAAUAAUAAAAUAUUAAGGAUAUAUCCGUAAUUUCACUAUGAAAAUAAAAAAUAAAAAAAAUAUAUAUAUAAUAUACGUAAUUUUAUUAUUAAAUAAAAAUAAAAAUAAAAAUAUAUAUAUAUUCAAACUCGCGAGCCGGCUCGCGAGCUAACGAGCUUAAUAUUCUGAACUCGAGUUUGAGCUCGAGUUUGACUCGAACUGGCUCGAGCUCGAUUAAUGUCGAGCUCGACUCGAGCUUGACUCGAGCCGCUCGCGAGCGGCUCGAUUCGUUUGCAGCCCUAUCCCGAACCGCUCUUGGACUCUAUAGCCAUAUCGAGUUUCUUUAGAAUCCAAUGCUAGUUAUAUCGACAGACAUCACUUAACCAAUAAUGUAACUCGCCAAUUGAUUACGUGGUCUACAGAUAAAGCCAUAGAUUUAACUUCUGUUAUUUGUACUGGAGGGUGAGCUGCUAAUUAAUUUCUUAGGUUUGUCCUUCCAAGCUGACAUUUAGAAAGGUUGGGCUGAUUAUGUAAUUGCCCAAGAAAGCUGGCCAAUGGCUGUGUAGAUAAUUAAAAUAGGGUAAUAUUAUUUAUACUCGCAUUAUCUCAUUUUUAUUUUGAUGAGGCCACAGAUUACCCCCUCUCUAAUUUUUUCUCCUUGCUUAUGAGUUAACUUUACUAGAUUUUCUCUUAUAUUCUAAAACUAAUUAAUUAUUCCAUUACACACUAUAAUGGCUAAUUUAAAAUUGUCACUAAUAUACAUUAUGUAUUUUUCUACAAAACUUUACGAAAUUAUAUGAUGCUAUAAAUCAAUCUAGCAAUGUAAUAUGAACAAAUUCCAAAAUUCAAGCCCAAAAUAAAUAAAUAAAUACAUAAUUUCAAGUUUCAAAGAUGACUGAAAAUUGAGUAUCACCACAAUGUCUCAUAAAUAGGAUACUAAUACUUCAAAAAAAGUCAACUAAGAAUAGCUCAUAUAACCACCAUAGAGGGAGUGAAACUUUCUAAUAUAUUUCAACAAAAGGAUAACAGCAUCUAACAUCCAGAUAAUGGCAAUGGAACCUCAAUUGUGCUCAUCAAAACCUGCAAAAUUGAAAUUGAAAUAAGAAUAUAAAAAAUAAAUUAAAAAACAGUUAUGUAAAUUUAGAAAAAGAGAAGUAAAAGUUAAUUUUUUUUAACUUUUGGACACAUACGACAAUUAUGCCCAACUUCCUUGCAUGUUAGGAGAAGAAAUUAGGAUAGGAGUAAUAUGGUCUUAUCAAGAUGAAAAUGAGAUAGUGAGAGUGUAAAUAACAUAAGGGAAGUACAAAUUACAUUACCCUUAAAAUAAGCCAAUUAUUAAAUUAAAUUACUUAUGUGGCAAGUUUUUUUAAUUUGUUGGUUUACUGACUUAGAGAAUUUAUAAAUUGAUGCGGCAAAGAUAUAUUUCCCUAUGUUCCGGUUAUUAAAGUUUGGGAAGUUACAUUUAUCAUGGUGACAGUGGGAUACUAAUAGUAUUGCAAUAUAUUUUUGUGCGUUGUCAAUAUUGUUAUAUCUGUUAGUUUCCUACUCCUUUGUGACUGGAAUCUGUUGGAUAUAUACUUUAUAAAUUGAAUUACUGUCAUCAUUUUUUUUUUUAAAGAGAGAGUUGAGUUAUGGAAAUUGAGAAAAUUUCUCUAAAAUUGUUGUUAUCUGCGAGCAUUAUUGUUUAUUGGGUUAUUAUUGUGUAUUUGCCGAUCUCCUCUUCUUCCUGCAUAUUUUUAUAUGUGUUAAAAUAAAUUUAACUGUGCUUAGUUUUUUUUCCUUUGGGCCAACAGGUUGGAACAUGCAAAUCAGAAUUGAUGAUGAAUAGGUCUAAACAAACCUUCUCUCUUGAACAUCCUAGUUCGAACUUGUCUCUGGGCUACAAAAUUGUUUAUGCAAAUCUGAUUAAUUAAUGUUCACUUGUACAUCCAAGUUGGGGCGCACAAUUUUCUAGUUAAGAUAUUGAAGACAGAAUUGAUGUAUAGAGUUAUCAACACUUCUUUUUCUUCUUUUAUUACUGAAUUGAUUGACACCAACCGCAUCGGACAACCCGAACGGGACCAUUGUUGUCUUGUCGAUACAACUUCUGCUGGUACAUCCUAAAUUAUUGUGCUAGCACAGAACUUUGGUACCACUCCUUCCUAUCCAUUCCUUCGUUUUUCAUCAGAUGCUUCACUACAUGCAUGAAUUGCGAAGAGUCGCGUUGAGUAAAGAAAAAAAUCAUAACUGGUACAGCUAUUUAUAGGACAAAGCUAUGCAAUUUCCAUGAAGCUACAUUAAUUUUGUCCCUACUCAAUGAAAAUCACUUAAACGAACGUGCUAAAAUGAAAUCUUGUUGGUUGAAUUGCAAGUUUUCAGAGUUUUUGUUAAAAAAAAAAAUUAUUAUAAUAAUAUAAUAUAUGUAAAAAAAAAAGAUAAUUAAAAAUAUUUUAAAAUUUUUCAGUAAAAACUCACAAUUUUUCUGUAAAAGUUUUUCAAAAAUUAGUUUUUCAAAUACUAAUUAAAAUUUUUAAAAAGUAGUCUAAAUUUUUUAAUAUUUAAAAAAAAUCUCAAAAUAUAUUUUAAAAACUCUUCUACUCUUAAAUAUUCCAAAAUAUUUUCUAAAAGUAUUUCAAAAUAUAUUAUAAAAACUCUGUUACAGUAAAAUUUUUUAAAAAUAUCUCCAAAAAUAGCUAAUCCAAACGCGUAGUUUUUUGGCAUGACUAACUUCUCAUUGCAGUUCUCAUAGUUUUAAUUAACGCUGAGAUUCCAUCGUCAAGGUUAAACAUUUCCAAGUACGAGCUCUAUGUAAAUCAGUGAAGGAGAGUGCAACACGAAAGCCAAGGAUAGACAGCAUUCAGAACCCAAAAGCUUUGCAGUGGAGAUUUACUUUUUCCUUUUUGAGAAAGUUAAAUCUAUUUCGGAGUAAGAGAAUGUACGUAACAAUCACUGUGAUAAUAAAGCUAAAGUGAAAUUUUACUUGCAAGGAUGCAAAUAAUGUAUAACAUUAUAUACGUGUCAUGCAUUCAAAUAUGGGUUGCGUCUACGGUGUAAAGUUCACCUUUCUGCCCAUAGUAGGCAGAACCAAUGCAAGGAGGCCAGCUGUGCUAUGUCGGACGCACAAAGAAGGACAUCCGAACACCACUAGAGAAAGCCGGUUUGGCUUGGAUGAAAAACGUUAUAUAUUUUAAAAUUACAAUAAAAGUCCUCUUAAAAAUUUGUUCAUCAUCUAAUGCCCAAUACUUAUAUUUGAUAAAUUAAAAUAGUUAAUUAAAUAUUCUAUUAUAAUAUAAACAACUAUAUGUCAUUGAGUUGAUUGAAUGAUAUAUUUUUUUUUGUAUUUCAAUUAGUUGUCAAUUAAGUUUCAAUUGAAAUAAAUAUUUUAUAAUUAUUUAAAUUAUCAAUUUAAGAUGAGCAUAAAUAUAAAUACAUUAAAUUGUAUUAUUGAAAUAUUUGAUUUAAUAUAAAAGAAAGACAAGAAGAAAUACAAGAAAUUUUUUAAAAAUUCAUGUGAGUCCUUUAUAUUAGUAAUCACAUUUACUUGUUAUUAUAAUUACAAUGCCUAACCAUAACCAAUUGAAACUCAUAUACACAAGUCAUACAACAAUUUGCGUUAUAAUGUUUACAAUUAAAGUUACUAUACACUCAAAUUAAAAUUCUCUUUUUUCCACUAAAAUUUCUUUUAUAUUAAAUCAAAUAUUUCAAUAAUACAAUUUAAUGUAUUUAUAUUUAUGCUCAUCUUAAAUUGAUAAUUUAAAUAAUUAUAAAAUAUUUAUUUCAAUUGAAACUUAAUUGACAACUAAUUGAAAUACAAAAAAAAAAAAGAAAAUAUCAUUCAAUCAACUCAAUGACAUAUAGUUGUUUAUAUUAUAAUAGAAUAUUUAAUUAACUAUUUUAAUUUAUCAAAUAUAAGUAUUGGGCAUUAGAUGAUGAAUAAAUUUUUAAGAGGACUUUUAUUGUAAUUUUAAAAUAUAUAACGUUUUUAAUCCAAGCCAAACCGGCUUUCUCCAGUGGUGCUCGGAUGUCCUUCUUUGUGCGUCCCCACAUAGCACAGCUGGCCUCCUUGCAUUGGUUCUGCCUACUAUGGGCAGAAAGGUGAACUUUCCACCGUAGACGUAACCUUCAAAUAUGUACGGUUAGAAAUAAAGAGAGCCUUUGUUGAAGGGGGGCCAAGUCCAUUCACUGACAUCCAACCUGCAAUCAAAGACAGAGUCCAAGUGUUCCAUUGUACACGGUUCACGAGAUCGAGAUAUGCGAAGUUUCGCUGAAAGAAGCUCAUAGAAUAAGAUUUGCUAUCACAAUAAAUGUUAUGUCUUCAUAUCUUUAAUUAUGAUAAUCCGCUUGCGAUCAUUACUGAUUUCACAAUCACUGUCUUUGGAUACCAUUCUAUGAAACAUUUCCAGUUUUUUGGUCUACUUGUAAUUGAAGAUAAUUUCCACAGAACUAGUCAAUAAUAAUCCACCAUCAACUGUGAGAAAGCAAAACACCUACAAAUCAAUUGCAAGUGCGAAGGCUCUGAUUUGGUGCUGAAUUGGGCACUUAUUCGUGCCAAUUCAAUCCUAAAUUUUCCUUCUCCAUUCUUCAACCUUUCAAUAUCCAGUUACAAGAAGAACAAAAUAUAGUGAACAACCAUCAAUUCAGUUUUGGCAUUUUUCCAGCAUGCAUGCUUGAUUGCUAUGACCGUAGGGCAGUUUCCUUUUUCCGUUUAUCAAAUUCCGUGAUGAGUCCAUAGAAAAUUCAUCCGAAUUCAGCCUUUCUCACGUAAGAAGAAUAUAUGAUUACAAUUGCAUACAAAUGACCAAAUCAAUUAAAGAGGGACAAAUUCAAGAAGACCAAUAAUAUAAAAUUCCAAAAAUCCAUAGGUUGCACGCAAUAAUUCUCACAAAUUUCAAGUUAUAAAAAAAGAAAUUUUGCAAAGGAGGGCCUACUUCGAUGCUGGCACAGUGACGAUGAACUGCAAAGUUUGGGGUCUCUUUCAUGUUUUGGUUUAUCCUUUUUAGGGUUGUUAAAAAUUAAAUUUGGGGAGAUAAGGUUGACGAUUGAUGAAAUCUGAUGAAAAAGUUGUUUUUUCUAUGGCAUAUUGAAGAAUGGUGGUAUAUUCGAUCAAUGGUAUCCAAUAGUCUUGAAAUAGAAACACAAUUUUUUUUUUAUUUAAAAGAGACUUUUGUUUGUUUUUUAAAUUGAUAUGCAUCACAAAGUUUAUCCUUUUUAAGUUAAUUUUGAGCAAACCUCUAACGAGUUCUUUUGUGAAAAUUUCAUUUAAUAAAUCCAUAUUGAAAUGGCAAAACCUUCUAUUCCGCAGUUAAGGAUCAUCAUUUGUAACCUUAAGACACUAAUCUUACUAUCAUCAAUUUUCAAGAUAUAUCACAUAAAUAUCAUUGUAUCUUUUGCCUUUGAAUACAACAUUAAAAUUAGUAUCAAGAAUCAAAUAUUCACGCCUUUUAAACAAUACAUAAAGAUAUCUAUCACAUAAUUGAUUAACACUGAAUGAAUUAUAGCUUAAGUUAUGAACCAAAAUAAUAUUUUGAAUGAAAGUGUCACCGUUUUUGUCAAUAUCUCCUAUUCCAAUGGUUUUAGCCUUCAUGUCAUCUCUAAAGGUGUUCUUUUCACUACUUUCUAGCUUGAACUUGAUGAAUAGAGAUGGAAUACCAGUCAUGUGUCUUAAACACCUAUUAUCAAUGAACCACUUUAAUCCUUAUGUGGUGUUCUUCAAGUAUACCUAUAUAUAAAAAUCAAGAAAUGAUAUUUGGUACCUUUUUAUUAUUUGAUCCGUAAUUGUUAGUACAAGAUUUAAAUAUCCACAUACUAUUAGGAAUACUAAUUUCUUAUCCAAGUGGUUUCUUUCCCAACAAAUCUAGUGAAUUAUAAACAAGACAUUAUUUAGGAUGUUUUCUAGAGAGAGAGAGAGUCUAGAAAAAUUUGUUAGGUUUUCUACAAUGAUUUUACUUUUUUUUUACGAUUUGAGAUUUCAAUAAUAUUGUGAGUUGAUUAUUUUUUUGUCUCCUACAUUUUUUUUGAACGUCUAUUUUAUCCCUUCAAUCCUGUAACCCUGCACGCAUUGGUUAUUAUUAAAACCCUAAAAUUUAGGUUCCACAGAUCUCAGGUGGCAGAGGAUUCCAAUGACUAGAGAAAACUAGGAGUUCUGUACGGAACGGAAUAUUUCAAUGAACAUUUUUUUAAGGUGUUAAUGGAGUUUAUUAUAUGGCAAAUUACACUUUACCCCGUGAUUUAGUGUUUUUAUACAUAACCUCCCUAUGGUUUCAAAAGUUAUAUAUAACUCCCUCAUGAUUUGGAUUAAAGUGUCAAAAUGACGGAAAUGAGUAUUCGUAACGGAGUCAUUUAAAAUGUCAAAAAUACCCUUAUGUAAAAUUGAAAAUUAUUUAUUAACCCAAAGGGGUUAUGUGUAUAUUUUGAAAAUCAUAAGGGAGUUAUAUGAUAAAGUAUUAAAUUAUAAGUGAGUUAUAUAGUAAAAUAUUAAACCAUACGGGGUUAGUGUGUUAUGUAUUUAUAAAGGUAAUUUCGACAUUUUUAAAUGUUAUGUUACGAAUGAUAAUUUCCGUUACUUUGACACUUUAAUUUAAAUCAUGAGGGAGUUAUGUAUAAUUUUUGAAAUCAUAGAAGGGUUAUAUGAAAAAUCGCUAAAUCAUAGAGGAGUAAAGUGUAAUUUGCCCUUUAUUAUAUAGUGAGUUUUGGUAACUCUUUAGUGAUUUGACAAUGCAUGUGUAGGGUUUAGUAGUCGUUUUGUCCUCUGCUACUUUCGGGUGAAUUCUCUCGUUUUUUCAAUAAUAUCGUGUUUUAUCAAAUAACAUCGAAUCAACAGUAGCUAUAAAUAUCUUGACUGAUCAUGCCGACCGCACUACUCUCAUCUUUCUGUAUCACAGGAAUGUUUGGAUAGAGUAUUAUUUAAAAUAUUAUUGAAAAUAAUUAAUGUAACAUUUUUUAUAACGUGAUGUAUGUGAGAUAAAAAAAUAAUUAAAAAUAUAAAAAAAUAGAUUGAGAAAUAUGUUUAUGAUACAAGUAAAAUAUUAUUUAACAAAAUUGAGUUAUCAUGGCUCAAGUGGAGGCUAUUGCCCCUACUUAAGUUUUAAAAAAAACUCUAUAAACAAAUUUAGACACUCUCUAACUCAAAAUCGACAUUUCUGUCUUAUUAAAAUAGAUAAAUAGACAGAUUUAGUGGCCUUCUCCUCAUUUUCUUCUUAUCUUCUAAUAGCGACAUCCAUGGACCAGAUUGAAAAUAUAAUGCUGUUUUUAUGCGUUUAGCCGUUUACCCAUUGUAAAAUGCAUGAGCUUUGAUACCAAAAUGACAAAACACAUAGGCCUACCAUUGGCUCCUUUUCAAGUAUUCCUUAAAAACUUUCGAAUUAUCAUCGCUAAAUGAACAGGGCAAAGUUGGGAUAUUGAGCAGAUUUCCUUCUUCAAUGCCUUUUCUUUUUAGCUGAUAAGACGUUUAUGUUGAAAAAUUGCUAUUGCUACUGAUCGAGAUGCGACGCGACAAUCACUGAGCCACCAGGAAGGGACUUAAGUCCCUCCAUGGGCUGUUGGCGAGGGUUCAAACCCCAUCAGCAGCGAAAAAAAUCUAAGAGUUGUGCCAUAGCACUCUCUUGGUCUAGUUGGGUCUGUAUACCCACUAGCCCCUACAACAGCCUCCUUAGGUUCCCCCUUCCCCUAGAUUAGAAUAGAGUAGAUUAUACAAAUGUAUCGUUGCUAACAAAAAAAAGAGAUGCGACGCGACAAAUAGGUUGGGAAGGAGGUAAUAAUAAUUAGUACGUACUCUCAAUGCAAACACAUGUGAGUAGACACGGAAAUAACUAUUUUAUUGAGUCUCAAAUAUUCAGCGAAUUUCUAGAAAUAAUACUAAAUUUAGAAAACUUUCUCCACUUAGAGUUGCCGUAUUUUUCAAAUGUAGCAACAACAAAACGGUAUUUUUAUUUUGAAUUAUUUUUUGGUGUCACAAAUGCGGCGACAAUUAAAGAGUAUUUUUUUUGAAUUAUUUUUUGGUGUCAGAAUGACUAAAAUUUUUUAUUUUUUUAUACAUCUUCGCGGGCGACUGUGAAAAUGACCAUUUGGAUGCGGCGACACCAAGAUGGGAGAAGUCUUAACCGUCAAGUUUCUUUAUAUUAGAUCUAAAUUUUAUCAGAUUUUGUUGUUGAAGCUGAGAUUUCUUAGAUCUACCUAGUCGGAUCUCACUUCAACAUUAGGCUUAAAUCACUUCAUUAGCAUAUCUCGGAGGAAGCAAACGGUACAUUUGAAAGUAUUUUUGAGACUAUAAGUGCUUUAUUAUUCGAUAUUUUUCGAGUUCUGCAGUAUAAUUACAUUUUGUUGUUUUUUCAAAACUGUAAUGUCUAGUAUUUGUUCUUCGAAUAUGUUGCCACUAGUACGGAUUUGAUAAAAUGAUGAUGAUUUUAUCCCCAAAAAAAAGACUAUAGAAUUAAGCCCGUACAAAUGUUUUUGGGGGGGGGGGUGCUUGUGUAGGCAUUGGGUAGUAAAAAGGUUGUGGACAAAAUUGAAGAAAACAAAUUAGUAGGGCACAACGUGACAAAGUUUUUCGUAAAGUAUAAGACCAUCAACGAACAGGUAUUGUGAAGUGAAAUGAAAGAGACCUUGAAAACUUAUCCUCCUUCAAAAAAAAAAAAAAACUUAUCUUCACAAAAAUUUCAAGGCCAUCCAGCCUGCAACAUUCAUGUUUGCAUUGAAGAUUGUUCAUGUGUCAAUCACGAGUCUUUGUCUAUAUCUCCUUGGGCCAUGAGACGAUCAUGUAGAUAUUGUAAAUUAAUAUUUUUUUUCCUUUUUUCAGUAAUCUAUCCCUAUCAAAAAUUUAGAAUGUCCAUUCUCUAAUUUAUAAAAUUAUAAAACUAUAUACUAUUUACUUUUCUCAUAUUGUAAUUUACCACCACGCACCAUCAAUUAGAGUAAUCCUAAGAUUUAUUGGACAUUGAUUGUUAAGUUGAGCAUGAUAUCAACUAUUUUUACUAUAUUUGUAUUAUAUUUUGUAUUUUAAAUUUUAUAUAGUUGUUUACUUUAACUCUUUUCUACGAAUAUUUGUUAAGAAAAAAAUUUCAAAGACAAAAAAAAAAAAAAAAAAGCUGAUGCAAGCAAAAGUAAACAACCAGACAUUGCAUAUCCUUCAAUUUGAUUUAUUUUAGCGUAUUUGACCAAAAUUAUUACAAAGGGCUUAAUCCAACCAAAUGUCUCGAGUAGCUCACUAACUAGUUUUCUUGAUUUAAUGCACUUAGUCACACCACGUCUCACUCUCAUUAUAAUUAACAAUGAGAAGGGAUCCUCUUGAAAACAUCAGAUGCAGAAGAAAGCCACUUGUUAUAGACCCAUACCUUGGUCCGUAUCCAACGUCAAAUAUAUUUGUUUGGAUAGUAAACUUAUUCCAAAUAAUAUUUCGCUUGCAUCAUAAACACAUUUUUCAACCCAUCUUUUUAUAUUUCCAAUCACCUUUUUAUUUCGCAUACAUCACGUCACAAAAAGUACUACAGUAAUUAUUCCAAAUAAUAUUUCAAAUAAUACUCUAUCCAAGCAAGAACUAGGAACAAUCCAUAUGUUUACGAAAGCAGUUCUAGCAAUUGGUCAGAUCUAAUGGCCUGUAACUCACAUCGUAAUAUUUUAUAUUUUAUAAUUCUGUUAAAUUUAAUGAUUUUUCAAAUUAGAUAUAUCUUUCAUAUGUUUUAUAUAUUUUCUGCCAUUACUGGUCUUUUUUCGUCAAACAAAUCGUGAUAGAUGAUUUUCAAUUAGUUUAUUAAUAAUAUUGACUCCUAUUUUAUCAAAAAAAAAAAAAAAGAACUAGGAACAAUCGAAACAAUCACUAGGCACAGGCACAUACCAGAAGGAUGUUGCUUGAGCUUAUCAAUAUGAACCCACGCAAUCAGCAGACUGCCUUUUGCCGAUGCCGCACUAAGGCUUCUUAAGUUUAUUUUAUCAACUCAACAAUCCAAUAUCCAAUGACUUUGGAAAAACUGUGUGGAAAUUUAUCCUCAAACGAGAUCAAGAUCUAUGAAGUUUCACGAAACCGUGCUCAUAGGACUAGGGUCUUGUUUGGUAGAUAAGUUUUUUGUCAAAUUUAUCUGUUACAAGUUUUUUAAAAACUUUAACUACAAUAAUCUCAAAAAACUUCUCAAAGUUUUUAAACUAUACACAUUAAAAUAUUAAAAAAAACACACUUUAAAAUUUUUUUUAAAAACUUCUACAGUAAGUUAUAGUAAAAUUUUAAACAAACACCCAAAAAAUUCACUUGCCAAACGUUGUCAUUACACUCUUAUAUGUCUUCUCAUCUUUAAUUACUGAUGUCACAGUCACUAUCUUAGGAUGCCAUUCUAUGAAACACGUAGUUUAAGCAUUUUUGCCAACAUGCCAUGACCAUAAGGCAGUUUCAUUUUUUCCUUUAAUCAAGCUUGAUAAUGAGUCAAUACAAAAUUCUCAUCCGAAUUCAGUCUCCCUCACGUAAAAAGAUUAUAUGAUUACAAAACUGCAUACAAAUGACCCAAAAAAAAAAAUUUAAGAGGGACUGAUUCAAGAAGUCUAAGAAAUAAAAUAUCCAUACAUCCAUACCUUGGGCUCUUUUUAAAAAUUUUUUUUUAUUAUGCUGUUUUGGUUUAUCCUCUUUUGGGGGUUUCAAAAUUAAAUUUGGGGAGAUAAGGUUGAUGAUGUGAUGAAAUCUGACGAAAAAAUGGUUGUUCGAAGGACGGUAAAAUUAAUUGAAGAGCGGAUGAAUUGAUACUGUAGCUGCAGAAGGUAAAAUUUAAUUACCUCAAUUUGUUCCUUAUUACUCAUUUGCAUGUCUCUCACUUUAGGAUAACCUGCCAUUAUUUGGCCUCUGUGGAUUUGAUGAUCAUCAUUUUAGGAUUUGAUGAUCUCAUUUUAGUUCUGUACGGAAUGGAAUAUUUCAAUGAACAUAUUUUCUUAGGUGUUAAUGGAGUUUAUUAUAUAGUCAGUUUUGGAAACUCUUUAGUGAUUUGACAAUGCAUGUGUAUGGUUAGUUGUCGUUUUAUCAAUAAUAUCGUGUUUUUUCAAUAACAUCGAAUCGAUAAUAGCUAUAAAUAUCUUGACUGAUCAUGCCGACUGUACUAUUCUCAUUUUUCUUAUCAUAUGGAGUGUUUGGAUAGAAUAUUAUUUGAAAUAUUAUUUAAAAUAAUUAAUGUAGUAUUUUUUUAUAAUGUGAUAUAUAUGAAAUAAAAAAGUGAUUAAAAAUAUUAAAAAAUGAAUUGAAAAAUGUGUUUAUUUCUUUCAAAAAAAUUAUGUUUAUGAUACAAGCGAAAUAUUAUUUGAUAAAAUUGAGCUAUCAUGGCUGAGGUGGAGGCUAUUGCCCCUGCUUCAUUUUUUUUUAAAAAAAAACUCUAUAUAUUAUGUAUAUCAAGUAUUUUUGGUCCCACCAAAAAUGAUACAUUUGCGGUCGAUAUUAAUUGGGAGUAAAAGUGCAAACAAAUUUAGAGACUCUCUAACUCAAAAUCGACAUUUCUGGCCUUAUUAAAAUAGAUAAAUAGACUGAUAGAGUAGCCUUCUCCUUCUUUUCUCCUUAUUUUCUAUUCCCUCUGUCCCAUUCAUUUGGUUAUACUUUUCAUUUUGAAAUGUCCCAAAAUAAUUGUCAUGUUAGAAAAGUCAAAUCAACUUUUACACUCUCUUUUCAAUAUAAUCCUUUUUUUUAAUCAUACAUUCAAAUUUAAAAUUUGAAUUUGAGGGGGUAAAAUUGGAAAGAAAAGCACAAACAUCACAAUUAAACCACUAUUCUUAAAAAGUUGGAUUCCCCAAACAUAACCAAAUGAAUGGGACGGAGGGAGUAAUAGCGACAUCUACGGACUGGAUUGAAAAUAUAAUGCUGUUUUUAUUUUCUAUGUCACAAAAUGAUUGUCACUUGCUAAUAUUGACAAACCAUUUUUAUUCAAUUUUCGUCUUUCAACCAACCAUUAAGGUGAAAGAGGAAAGUGUAGAUUAAAGCUAUAAUUAUUGGUUUACAAAGUUGAAAAGUAAGUGGAAAAAUGACAAAACACAUAGGCCCACCAUUGGCUCCUUUUCAAGGAUUCCUAAAAAACUUUUGAAUUGUCAUCACUAAAUGAACAGGGCAAAGUUGGGAUAUUUUUCAGAUUUCCUUCUUCAAUGAUUUUUCUUUUUAGCUGAUAAGACUUUUAUGUUGACAAAUUGCUAUUACUACUGAUCGACAUGCGACGCGACUAAUAAAUUGGGAAGGAAGUAAUAAUAAUUAGUACGUACCAAAUGCAAACACUUGUGAGUAGACACGAAAAUUACUAUUUUAGUGUGUUUUAAAUAUUCGGCGAAUUUCUAGAAAUAAUGCUAAAUUUAGAAAAUAUCCCAUUUAUGGUAUUUCAUGAGAUUGUUUUCUUUACUUAGAGUCAUCUUUGACAAUAAAAUAGUAUUUUUAUUUUGAAUUAUUUUUUGGUGUCAGAAUGACUAAAAGUUUUAAUUUUUUUAUACAUCUUUGCGGUCGACUGUGAAAAUGACCAUUAGCCGCAUCCAAAAGUGGAUGCGGCGACACCAAGAUGUGAGAAGUCUUAACCGUCAAGUUUCCUUAUUAUUUAUUUGGUUCAUGGAUAUGUGAUCGGUAUUUGCCAAAUUUGUCAAACACAUGCCCAACUUUCUAUAGGGAAAUUUAGGAAUAAUUUUAGAAACCUCCCCUAAGGUUUCUAACAAUUUUACUAUCCUCCCCUGAAAUUUUAAAAAAUUAUUAACCUCCUUUAAAACUAUUUUUCCUGUAAAAAUUACUGGGACUAUCAAUGGGGCCGAACUAAUCCGAACUCAACCUGUUCGGCCCCAAAAAAGCUCCAUGAACCUAAAGUUUAAUUGAAUCGGCCAGAGUUUGGAUCUAAAUAUUAGAUCCGAACUAAAUGUAAGUCAAAUUUGAGUCAUUCUAGAUUCAUGCCUGAUUAAAACUACACCCAUGUAUGAGUAUAAUUAUAUAUGUGCAAUAUAUAUAAUUUAUAAUUAUCUGUAUUAUACAUACUAUAUACAAAUGCAAAGGAGGGGGUUUGGGGUAAACAAAAAUCUGACACUUUAUAUACUUCAUGAACUACCCUUGAUGAUGAAGGAACUUUUGGUAUAAACAAAAAAUUAUCUUUGUUUGAUAGCUACCCAGUACUAAUAUGAUUUUUACCAAAUAAUAUGUAUUUUUCAUAUUCCAUUUUUCAACUUAUUUAGUAACUCUUAAUUUUAAUUAGCAACUACCAAUUAUGAUUAUCAAUAACUACUAAAUUACUACUUUUUAUAACUUUUAUUUUGGUGAAUUUUUUACAUAUGUAUUUUCAAAAUAUGAAAUCAAUUUUCUUAAAAAUGAUUUUAAUAAAUAUACUCAAUAUAUUUUACAAAUACUUUUUCUAUUAGUUGCACACACAUUAGUAUGUGUCUUGAAUACUAGUACAUAUUGCGACAUAAAAUGUUAAUAAUUUAUAUGUAAAUUUGCAUUAAUUGAUAAUUAUAAUGUAUAUAUUAUAUAUAAUUAUCUAUUUAAUUAUGAGUUUGGGCCAAACCCGAUUUGACUCUCGAACUCAUAUAAUAGUGUGAGUUGAGAUUAAACCUUUUUAAUAUGAGCCCAAAUUCCAAAAGCUCGAAACCUGACAAUUCAUAUAAUUUGUGAACUGAGUUUGAGCUUGCUAAAGUCCGAUUGACACCACUACAAAUUAUCCCAAUUCACAAAAAAAUUAAUAACAAAAAAAUGUGCAUUCAUUUUUUUUUGCUAUUAUUGGUUUGAAAUUAAUAACAAUAAAAAGCUAUUAUUCGUUUGAAAAGCUGUUCAUUUUUUUUAUUCUUCUGUCCUGGAACUUGGAUAUUUGAUUUGGAUCUAUAGCAUAGUAACAUGUGCAUACUAGGGGAAGACGCUUCUGCUAUUGUGGCAGCUGUUUCGGAAGAUGUAUCCAGAUGAUAAUUCUUCCCAAAGAAAAUGGCAUAGUGGAAUGAGGCGGUAGAGAAAUACAAUCAAUUAUCGUUUCGAAAAAAAAAGAAAAAAGAAUGAGGCCGUAGAGAAUGGUGCUUCCCCACAUCCACUUUGGGAUGCGGCAAAUGGUUAUUUUCACAAAGAUGCAUAUAAAAGAAUAAAAAAUCUUUAGUCAUUCUGACACCAAAAAAAAUUUUCAAAACAAAACUACUAUUUCGCCCAAAUGCGGCGAUUCUAAGUGUAGAAAACAAUUUCACCCAACACUCUAAAUGUGAUAUUUUCUAAAUUUAGGAUUAUUUGUAGAAAUUUGUCCAAAUAUUCAUACAAAUUAAACUUGACUCUAACUCUAUGUCCUAAGCUCUAAAAAUAUUUGAACUCUUAUUGUUUUUGGUCCAAGGCUGCACUGCUAAGAAAUUAUGCUUGCAUCAACAAAAUAUAUGUUUGGAAGCUCCAAAGUACCGUUUUGUAAAUUGAGUUCAUUGCAUUUACCUUCCUAGAGGUUUAUCUAAAUCACAGCAAUAAAUCCAUAGUUUUUUUUCAAGGGUAAAUAACCUUUUAUCUCUCUAUGAUUUGGUGCUUUACGACAUGACUCUCUUAUAGUUUAAAAAUCUAUAUAUACCACAUGACUUCCUUAUAGUUUAAAAACCUAUAUAUAAUCCUUUCAUGAUUUGGGUUAAAGUGAUACCAUUUGUUUUUCCAUUAAAACUAAUGGUUAAUAGUAAAAAGUCAAAAUUAACUAAUAAAUUAACAAAUUCACUCUUUCACUACUUUUUUCGUUUUCUUCCUUUUUUUUUUGUGGAAGAGAAGAGAUGAUUUGGAAAUAUAUACUUUGGCCUAUAAAACCUUAAUUUUCUCCAAUUACAAAAGAGAUGGGAAGGAAAUAAAAAAUAAAUGAAUAAGAAACAAAAAAGAUGGAAGGGAAAUAUAAAACAAAUAAAUAAGAAAGAAAAAAUACCAAAUCUUUUUUAUUACAAAUAUCAUUAUAGAUUUUUAAACCAAAUCUUUAAUGGUAUUUUCUAGUCCUUAUUUAUCUAUUUUGUAUUUCAAUUUCUUCCUUUUUAUGUUUGGAGGGGAAUAAAAAGAAGUAAUGAAAGGGUAAAUUUGUUAAGUUAUUAGUUUGAUUUUGACUUUUACUAUUAACCAUUUGUUUUAAUGGAAAAACUAACAAUCACGUAUUAACUCAAAUCAUGAGAGGGUUAUAUAUAGGUUUUUAAAUCAUACAGGGGUUAUGUGGUAAAGUACAAAGGGUAAAAGUUAAUUUAUCCUUUUUCCAAAUCAGCCCAACAUUUUAAAUAGCCAAACAUUUGCCAUUGCUCAAUUGCAUCAUUUGCAAUAGAAUUUUUUGAAAUUAUCAAAAUACUUAUUUUCUAUCAUCCUUCUUCCAGCCAUUCUUUCAUCUUUCUAUAGAUUAAAGUUAGUGUAACCAAAACUCUGGUAAUAUGACAUCACUAAUAAUAGUAUAUUUCAUUGAGUGUAGUUUCUUGAACCUCCACUAUUAUAUUUUUUAUAUUCUAAACUCUUUUCUAUUUCAACGUGCAAAUAAUCAAACUUCGUUUUCCAAAAAACAAAAGUAACUAUCAAUACUGAAUUCAAAUAUAAACAUAAAAUUUUAGGAUUUUUAUACAAAGAUACACAUAUGAAAAUUAGAAGUAAAUAUCAAACAAAGAAACUUUUCUUGGUUUAAGGAUAGGAAUUUAAUGUCAUGUUUUCUUAAAUUUAUUAUUACAUUUUUUAAAAUUUAAUGCUUUGUUAUGGAUAAAAAUCCGUAAAGUUUAGCUCAAUUUUGUUGUUCCAUACGAAAUUAGAUAUUUAAAUAAAAUAGAUAAUUUGUUGUAUGGAAACAAUGAAUUGGACCAGUGUGGUAGCGACUGAAAUAAGCCAUAUGUAGUUGAAAAAGUAAUUGUUUAUUUUCUUUUAAUCCAUCUUUAAUUUUUUGGAUUAUAUUAAGGAGUUUCUUAAGAGUGGCUAUUCAAAGGGUUAAAACACAUUUUGGUCAAAUCAUAGACUCCUUUUUUAUUUAGAUAACAAACCUCAAGGGAGGUAAACGCAGUUUCGCAGAGGGUAGUUUUGUCAUUUCCCCACUUCUAAUAAUUGGGUUUAGACACCGACUCAUACGGGAUAAUUCGCAUUUAGUUACUCAAUAAUACGGCCAAACCUUAGGAGAAGUAGAUGCAUUGAUCCUUUUUUAUUUUAAAGAAAAAGAGAGAGAGAGAGAAUUUUUAUUAAUUAGAUUAUUGAAAAUCAUUCAACAUUUGGUUUCUUGACAAAAGAUGGCGGUAUAUUCUAUAAGGAAUCCACGAAAGCUGAAGAAUUUAGCUAUAGAAUUCAACAAAGCUACAGGAUUUUGGCAUAACAAGUCAAUUCAGGAGCUAUUGUUUUUGCCUCCUUUGUAUCCGAUUUACAUCCACAUCUAUAAUUCUAUAUAGUAUCAGACAAAACCUUAGGAAUAUCUUCUACUACUGGCCCCAUUGUAGAAAAAUCAUCAUAUUCACUAUUCAGCAAUUAAAUAACCGAUAAAGAGUCUCCUUCAAGUGUAAUAUUCGAAGUGAACAGAUUUUAUUGCUGAAUUAAUUGCCUCCUUUGUAGCAAUGGCUUCUUUCCUUCUUCGAUUCAACUGUCCCUUGGAAUUUGCUUGGAGAAACCAGCCAUAAAAGCUCCUGCAUGGUUACAACUUACAAAUAAAUAACCACACCAAUCCCACCUGCUUCCAAUAUCGUAGAGUUUAAUGCACCCUCAAAAUCAACAUUAAAUUGAUCCAUCGUACACUACCCCGCAAGAGGUUCCACAUUGGCUUCUUUGAAAGCUACUAGGGAAUUAGUCACAAAGCGAACCAUUGAUAAAGGUUCUCUAUGCUUGCCAUCAAACAAAACCAAGUUCUGAUUGUUCCAAAUCUCAUCACAAAGAGAAGGAAAAAGCUCCGAAUCCUCACUUGAAAAGAACUCACAAAAUUUCUGUAAUCCAAAGAUGAACACCAACUGAAUAGGUAUUUUCAUCAAUAUGACACCUUAAGUUUCAAACAAAUAGUGAUAUUAAAGGUUUUAGGAUUUAAGAAGCGAGGAAAGAGAAGGAUAAAAUGAGAUGUGAAUUAUAUAGAAAAGUUACCGGUAAAUCUAGGAAUUGUAAUUAAAAAAAACAACUUGAAAAAGAUAAUUAUUUAUUUUUCUUAUUCUUUUUGCUUUAAAAUGUGGGUUUGGCAUGAAAUUUUUUUUUGGGUCAAGUACUAUUACCAUAUUUGAAUUGUGUGCAAUUGAUAAUAGUAAACUAAAUUAAUAUUCAAAUGUAAAGGACUAAAGUGAUAAAGUUAUGAGUUAAAGGUCUAAAUAUAUAUUUGAUAAAAGUUUGAGGACUUCUAAUAUACUGUAACUUAUCUAAAUGUAUUAUCAAUGGGAUUAGAGUUCUGUUUGCAUGUCAACAAAACAUUGUUUUCAAAAUGAAAAUUAUGUGAGGCCUCUACAGUAGAAAAUCAAGCAAUUAAGAAUACUUAUGUUACUACUUUGCAUCAUCGAUUUUUCGCCCCUUGAAUAAAGUUCGUUGCAUUCUUCUUGUUAUUGAAGAAGAUGAAACUAGUUAUCUAAAUCGAAAAAUAAAUUUUGGCUUCAAAUUUAAGGUACCAAUUAAACAUAGCAUAGAUUUUGUCAAAGAGUAACAUUAUACAAUAUUGUUAAAUUCAAACUGGAUAAAACUCAGUUAAACUACUAGGAUAGGGGUCAACUGAUCGGAUUAGUCAGACCGUUCUAAAAAAAUCCACUGAAGUUAGUAUGAUAUUUUAGUUAUUUUAUAUUUUUAUAAGUUUCAAAAAUAUUAAAAUUAAGUUCUUAGUUAUAUCCGGCCAACCAUAAAAAUGUUACAAAAAAAUUAGGCUUGCAAUCAAAUAUACACCUAAAAAUAUGAAUUUGUGUCUAAAUUAUGUACUUAAAAACUAAAUUAAAACAAAUCAUACCCAAUUCGAGAUCUUUUUGCUAGGAAUAUGACUUUAUAAUGCAAAUGAGAAUCACUAAUGAUAAAUUGAUAAGAUGAUAGAGAUGAAAACCUCUUGAUUUAGAGAUCAUUGAAGGAAGCUAGUGAUUUUGAUGUUAACAUUAAGUGAGUGACAUUUUCUUAUUUCUAUUAAUAAAUGAAAGUUCUAUACUUUAGUUAACUCAAAUUAUGUUUCGGGAGAACAAGAAAGAAAAGUUUGAGAAUCAGGUCACUAGUUUGGCCGAUUUUUAAUGGUUUUGACUGAUUUUUUUAUCAAAGUAAUUUUAUGCUACAAACUACUUUCGAAAGAAGGUCGGUUCAUAUUCAGACAACACUAACAUUACACGGAUAAAGCAUUUGUGAACAAACUUAUACCAAGACUAGUUGUUAGUUCAAGAGAGUUGGGAUAGAUAAAUUUUCAACAAGUCUAUAAUUUGUGCAAAAAUUAAUUAUUUCAUCUUGAAAUAAGUCGAUAUAAUUAAUUAUUUUCAACAAGUCGAUAUAACUACUGUAUCUCAUUUCAUCUUGAAACUUUUAAUACCACUAUUGAAAUUUUAAGAAACCAUCUUAGUUGAAACUUCAACAUUAUGAUCAACAAUGCCAAGUCAAAACUUCGCCAUUAUGAUCGAGUCAUAAUUAAUGAUCAACAAUGCCAAGUUACAGCAAUUUGAUUUUGAACUUCGCCAUCCUGAUUUUUUGCCAAUUAUCCUAAAUUUGCACAAAAUUCGAAGCGUCAAGGACCACAUUUGCAAAAGUCAAAAGUUUAGGGACUACAUAAUUCAUAAAAUGGAUCGAUUAUAGCGUAAUUUCCAGCAACUUGGGGGUCUUUUGUUUUGCUGGCUGUAGUCCAUUGGGUGCACGUGAACUUCGUGGGAAAUUGGUGGCGUUCAAUUAUUUAACCUUUGCAAGUUGGUGAGUGGUCUGGCAGCUCUUUUGAUUUUUUUUUUUUUUUUGCUGUAGAUAGGAUUCGAAUAUCCAACCUGCAGUUCAAAAAAAGGGACUUUAGUCCCUAUUUGAUAGCCACUACCUUUCCAAGUUGGCAAGCUGUCUUGUUUACAUAAAGGUUGGGAUUUUACUGUGGAAUAUUUGAAUAUCGAACGAUAACAGUACAAUACUAAAAAAAAAUUUACUGCUAUUGUCUAUUGUGGAUAAUUCAAGCAACUAUUUUAGAAAAUGACUCUCAUAAUUAUGGUCAAGCCAAGCCAAUCCAACAGUGCUCCCAAGCUCGAAAAUACAGCAAAAGGUAAAAUGAUUUGAAACCGGAUCGACAAGUGAAUUGGACGAGCUUCCUAUUUCUGGCUCAAUCAAUUCAACCAGUUCAACUCCGAUUUAAUGAUUUUAUAAAAUUUUAAUUAUAUUAACGUUAAAUAAUUUGAAUAACAUUAAUGUAUAAAAAAUAAUGAAAAAUCGGUCCAAAGGCCGGUUUUUUAACUGAUCCAAUAGUGCUCCCAAGCAUGAAAAUAUAGCAAAAGGCAAUAUUUUGAAAUUGGGACCUACAAGUGAACUGGAUGAAUUUUUUAUUCAAUUAAUUUUGCGGUUCAAUCUCUGUUUAGUGAUUUUAUUAUUAUUUUUGUUUAUUUUAAAAUUAAAUUAUUUGGAUAAAAUUAAUAUAUAAGCAAGAAAUAAAAUUUUCGUGAAAAACUAGUUCAAAUAUCGAAUUUGACUGAUUCAAUUGAUUUUCUGGGUUAAAUAUAGAAGAGCAAAUUAUCCGGGUAGUCACUAAACUUUUUCAAUAGUCAAGAUUUAGCUACUCAAUUAUUAAUAGCAUGUUGUUAUCCAUUAAACUAUCAAUAAUGUAAAUUUUGUGUCAUUUCGUCUAAUUUCACUAUUAACUCUAUUAGAUCUAAGGAUCUACAUAAGAUAUAUUAGUAAUGGUUAAGUCUUGUAGAGUUAAUGACAAAUCAGAUAGAAUGACUUAAAAGUUAAACUUUUAAUAGUUUAGUGGAUAAAAACUCGAUUAUUCGAAAAGUUUAAUAGUUAUAGGAAUAAUUUGCUGAAAGAUCUAAGCCAUGGUUGAUUUGACGGUGGCAAAAGGUACACAUUCCACGUUUUUUUGGUAAAACGCGGUAUGGUAAAUAUUCUUAGAACUAUUGCCGUAAAUCUGAAAUCACCUAUAAAAGGGUCCAUCUUUGGGCAACCAAUUUCACCCCCAAAUAAAUCCGCAAAAAUAACUGAGAAAAAGAAAAAGAAAAUGGCUGCCUGUUUACGACCUCUGUUCUUAGCAAUAAUAUCCCUGCUGAUGAUAUCUUCAUUGACCAGGUCCUCAGAAGGCGCUGGAAUCGCAGUCUACUGGGGCCAAAAUGGCAAUGAAGGAAGCCUGGAAGAGGCCUGCCGUAGUGGCUACUAUGACUAUGUAAAUAUUGCCUUUCUGGUAUCCUUUGGCAGUGGCCAAACACCGGAACUGAACUUAGCUGGCCACUGUAUCCCGAGCCCAUGCACCUUCCUGAGUUCUCAGAUAGAGGUUUGCCAGAGCCUGGGCAUCAAAGUGCUCCUUUCUCUUGGUGGAGGUGGUGCCGGGGCAGGGAGAGGACCAAUCCUGGCUUCUCCCGAGGAUGCUCGCGAUGUUGCAGCCUACCUCUGGAACAAUUACUUGGGCGGUCAAUCAGACUCUCGCCCACUUGGUGCUGCUGUUUUAGAUGGUAUAGACUUUGACAUCGAAUAUGGAUCGAACCUGUACUGGGAUGAUCUCGCCCGGGCACUCUCGGGAUACAGCACAGCAGAGAGAAAGGUGUACUUAUCUGCAGCACCACAAUGCUUCUUUCCUGACUAUUAUCUUGAUGUUGCUAUCAGAACUGGCCUCUUUGAUUUCGUCUGGGUGCAGUUUUACAACAAUCCGCCUUGUCAGUAUGGUACAAGCACAGGCAAUGCCGAUAACCUCUUGAACAGUUGGAGUAAUGAUUGGGCCCCCCAUCCAGGCGUUAAUAAAUUAUUCCUGGGAUUACCUGCAGCCCCUGAGGCAGCACCUAGUGGCGGUUACAUCCCACCUGAAGUGCUAAUUAAUCAGAUUCUUCCCGUUGUGCAGAGCUAUCCCAAGUAUGGAGGGGUCAUGCUUUGGAGCAGAUUCUAUGACCGAAACUACAGUCCAGCAAUCAGGCCUUAUGUUAACGGUGAUCCUCUGACUUAUACAACCAAGUCCGUGAAAAAAUCCCAUGCUGUAGCAUGAGUUCCUCUCAUUAUCUGCCACGAGAUGAAAUGUAGUCCUGGCUGCUUAUGCCAGAGACCAAUCUACUAAUGAAUAAUGGGCUAUGAGUUCCCCAAUCGAUUAAAAUGUUCUGUAAAUUUCUUCCCGUUUUAAUCGCUCUUUCUCUCUCUCGAAUGAAGGGGUACAAGAUCUAGUUUGAAGAACCAGUUGCACCUUCUCUUUUUUCUUUUUCUUUUUUUUUUUUUUAAUACAACUUCUUCUAGAUAAUGAUUUUUUGAUAAUAUUCAAACCACAUUUAAAUUGAAAAAGAAAAUGUUAAUUUGCAAUUGAAGUUUGAGGAACACUAUUUCCCCUCAUAUUUCAGUGCAUUACAUGGCCAACAACCUCAGAUGAUAUGCAAAUAAACUCUUGCAUGCAUGCUCAUCAAAUUUCAUAUACAAUUUUGUAGCCUACAGAGAAGUUUACGCAUGGAUGUUUAAGUAUCAGAUAAGCUUGGGCGAAGACCAAAUUUUGUGUACUAUUGAAACAUGGAACAAGAUUUCAAUCCCAUACAUAACCUCUAAAAUCACAUACAACUAUAAUUUUUGUUUCUUGUUUUUUUUUUUUCCUUGGAUGGUAUUAAAAGGUGUACAAUCUGUCUGCCUCAGAAUCACUUCCGGUCAGUGCGAGUCACUUUGAGAGUUAUGACAAUUUCACUAACCUCCCAUCAAAUCUAGAAAACAACAAUUACCUCCCCUCUUCUUAGAUUUGGUCUAAUGAUUUCAAGGUAUUUGGUAUACAUUGCCUUCUCAUGACCCACAACAAAGGGACAGCAAUCCAAGGGCUUUCGUUUUUAUUAAUUUUUUUGGAGUACAAAUUAAUUUCUCAUUAGCAUGUUAUGAAGCAUAUGAUAUUCUUGUUCGCAACAAUUUCUUUCUACGAAAAAAAAAGAACAGAGAGAAGGGGGGAAAAAAAGACUCAACUGAUGAACAUUUAAAAUGGAAACUCAUGUCCAUCCAUAAAUUAUGACAAGCUUGGUAUCUUAAAGAGAGGCGUCCUUGGGUUUAUAUUAUUUAACCAAAAUUGGUUAAAGUAAUAAGGUUGGCUUGAUUAAAAUUAUGUUUAUCAUAAUUGGGUCAUUUCUUAAAAUAUUGGCCUUAACAAAGAUGAUCCAUUCUUGAAAUUUGCGUUCUAGUAAAGCCAUUCUUGGGCAGAUGAUGACUAAGACUCUGUUUUUUGGGCUGAAUGAAACGGACGAUGCUUCAAUUUGAGGGAAAAAAAUAGGCCUUGCAUCAUGAAAUCAGUUUAUUAUUUAGCCACCAAAUAAGUAUAUUGAAUAGUUUGGAUUUUAUAACUAAUUAUAAGUAAUUGUGUCUUAAUUUUAGCUAUAAAAGUCUUUCACUUAACUAGUUAACUUAGAACACAUAUGAUGACUUCUUCCCUUGUCUCUAAAAUUUGUGAAAUUGGGCUCACAAAGAAGAUACUAAAGAAUAACAACCUUCAUUGGGAGCCGAGUACAAUUAUUUCAAAACAGCGCGCAUUACAUUCACAAAUCUGUCAAACUUUAUCUUCCAAUGCCCAAUAAACUACUGGUAUCCAAGUCCAAGAUUGCUCCAAAAUUCUAACCCUGCCCUUUUUCACAAAAUUUCAGUUUAGUCCAAAUGGAUUCUACACUAUGGUGCAACCACACAGUACAAAGGAAAGUUAAGGGAAAGCUUAUAAACGAGUGCAUGGUACGGUCUUAAGACUUCAGCCCAGACAUACUCUUAUGUUAUGUCAUAUGUAAAGGAAAAUAACUCAAAUUUUAGGCUCUGAAUCAUAUGUGAGUAGGCCUGCUUUUCUUUUAGUGCUUUAGUUUUUUUUUUUUGGUUAAAUUAUGGAAAUUACCACCUACUCAAUAUGGUCUUUUCUAGAGCAAUUCAUGGUAAUUAUCGAGUCUGAAACUACCAAAAAUUAGUACUGCUAAAGCUAUGUUUCAUAACCCUAAAAUACACCAAAGUCCAUACAUAUUACUAGGGGACUUUAUAUGUAAAAUUUAUAUAAACAAAAUAAGAUCUCAAAAUGAAGUACUUCAUAGGUAUGAUAAAAUUUAUAUGUUUCUAUUGAGACAAUUAAGCUGAGAAGUCUUUCACAACAAAUCUCUUUGAGGACCAGUUUCCCUCUCCUCACCAUAUCUCCUUACCUACUAACCUUCGCACGUUUUACCGUCUGUCCCAAGCCCGCCUCCCUCACACUCUCUUUUAGGAGAAUAAAAUUGUUUGAGAGCGAAAGCUCCCAUAUAUCAAAAGCCAGUGCUGUUCAAAUGUGUUUUCUCUCACCAUCUCCCACAAGAAGUGCGUGUUAAUACCAAUCACCUGAAUAAUAUGAAUAUGAGAAUGAACUCCUAAUGUCAUCACAAGAAUUGGUGGUAGUUCGGCUGGAGUAUAACAGUAAUACUUGUGGUAGUUGGGUUGGGGCAGGACAUAUGCAUAGUAGCUUUUGGUAGAUGAUAAAUAUAACACCUUUACCAUUUUUGUUAACAUGGUAUAUUUAUUCUUUUUCCUCUCUAUUCGAUAUUUGUUAAUUGUUAUACACUUAUACAUAGAUAGCAAGUGAGAAAGGGUCAGGCUAGUUUCAGAUAACGUGAAUAAUGUGGUUUACUUUCACUUAGUCACUCAUCGCACAACUCCUACUUUACUUCCUAUUUUGGUGGUAAUGUUCCCCAAACAUUACUUAUUGAGUAAUAGAUAAAAUUUAAUCAUGGCAAGAGCAUUUUUUUUUCGGACAUGAUAAAUCUACUCUACUCUAUACUAUGGGGAGGGGGUGAUCCAACGGGCCCAAGGGGAGGAUCCGGGGGGACUGAACUUGGGUGCCUACUAGUGUGAAUAAGUUAGAAAAUAUUUCUCAACACCCACUACCCUUAGGGGCUAGUAGUUGAGGCAAGGUCAAGUUAGUAUUUCACCAAGAAUUUGAUUUCUAACUACCAAGUUAAUAACUAAACAAUGUUUGUGUUUGGAUUACACAUUAUUUCCACCUUAUUUACACACACUGACUUGCUUAUAUCACCAACACAUUUUUUAAUCAUAUUUUUAUCUCACAUACAUCACAUCAAAAAAGUGUUACAGUAUUUUUUCACAAAAUUAUCUCAAAUAAGUUACUAUCCAAAUUGCUUAUGAUAAAAUAUUCCAUCUUCACCAAUUUUUUUUAGAAAGGGUUUUUCUUUGCCUUAUGACCAGAAGAAAAGAGCUCCAACCUGUUCUACCAGUAUGGAGCCAACCCCUUCGUUUCGUCAUGUCCCUAACUUAACUAGAUUGACCGGGGCACAAAGAGUUUACACUAGGGCUUCUAGUUCACAUGUUCUCUUUGCAAUCAUAGCCUUCUUGUCUCCAUCGGUUCCUUAGAAAUAGUCUUAUUGAUUUACUAGAAAUACACCCACUCAGGAAAGCCCGACUAAUCGCGGCAGGAGCCAUACUUAAAAGUAGCCGGUGGUGUUUCUAUGAUCAUAUACGUAAUUAUGGAGUAUUGAGUUAUGAGCUUGAGGGAACUCCAAUUAUUAAACAACGAGUGAAGGGACUAUCGGGUGAUAGGCCCAAACGGUAGUCUUAAUCUCCUCUUAAAGUCUAUUUAAGAGUCCUUGAAUGCACAACACUCCUAUAAAUCAUAUAAUCUAUUCCUUAUAUCUUUUACAGCUGCUUAAGGAAGUCUUUAUUCUCCCCCCGAGAGGGAUUAAGAGGGGGGGGGGGGGUAGUGGUCCAAUCUUGUCUUUUCAUUAGAGCUUUUUUUGUUUUUCUCUUAUUUAAAGUAUACCACAUUAGAGAAAGAGAAAACUCCCUCUAAAGGGCUUCUUUCUUGUAGGAUCCUAUAAGUCUCAUACUAACCCCUUAUAGCUGUAAGCUAUUAGCUCCCCUCUCCCUUUACUGGGCAGAUUAUCACUAGCCGCUGGGCGAGGGCCUCACUCUGCUAGUUUUCCACCUAGUAGGGUAUGGAGCUCUAUUCUUCAGAUUCAGUCUCCAAGGCCGCUACGAAGCUCUAGGAGGGCUUUCUAGUGUAUGCCUUGACUAUUUGAACCUCAUAAAACACAAGAAACUGAAAGAAAAAUAUUUACGCAGCGGAAUGAGCAAACAAUUUUUGCUUUUUCUUUCAUUCGAUGUUAUUGCUCGAAUCUGCAAAUUGAUACAGGCCUUGAUAUUUCAAAAACCAAUAAGUACUUACUUGUUUGGACGUGUAUGCAAUGCCCUCUGCUAGUUUUCCACCUAGUAGGGUAUGGAGCUCUAUUCUUCAGAUUCAGUCUCCAAGGCCGCUACGAAGCUCUAGGAGGGCUUUCUAGUGUAUGCCUUGACUAUUUGAACCUCAUAAAACACAAGAAACUGAAAGAAAAAUAUUUACGCAGCGGAAUGAGCAAACAAUUUUUGCUUUUUCUUUCAUUCGAUGUUAUUGCUCGAAUCUGCAAAUUGAUACAGGCCUUGAUAUUUCAAAAACCAAUAAGUACUUACUUGUUUGGACGUGUAUGCAAUGCCUGAUACAGAUGCUUGAAUUCCAGCAAUUAGCCUUCCACACGUUAGGCCUCUAGUUCGUCCACACAGACUCAAAACUAAUAGAUUGCUGAAUAUUGGAGUUUUUGUUUUGGUGGUGAUGAAAACAACGGUAGUCAACCACUUUUGUCAAUAGGGCAUAUAUAUAUAUAUUUACGAUUGUUUUUGAUUAGAUCAAUAUCAGAUCAAUAUCUUAUUUGAUCAAAUCAAAACAACCGGUUUAUAUAUAUAUUUUAUUCUUAUUUUGAUCAAAUCAAAAUAGAAUACAUCUAAUACCAUUAUUUAACUCACGUUUUAGUUUUUGAUCUUAUCAAAAUAUAAACAUAAUUAAUAUAAUUAUAUUAACUAUUAUUUUCAUCUUUAUGAUACUUGAGUCAUACUCAAAUACUAACUCCAAAUUCCGUCUAGCUUGGGUUUCAAGAUGUGCUAGCAUCCUUAUCAAAAUAAAAACCCAUUCUAAACAACUUCCCUAUUAAUUCAAAUCCUUUUGUGUGUGACUAUCUAGGUUCAUUACCCAGUUGGCAAUGCAAUAAACGUUAGCCUAUUAACAUUAGUUAGAACAUUUCUAACACUUGAGAAGUUCUCCAAAUAUACCUCAAGUUAACAUAGUUCAUGAGUGAUGCCUAGCAGCAUAUCAUGACACCCAACCGGUGAUGAAAGAUUGGAAUCCUUUUAUGUGAACCAUGAUUGCAAUUGUUUUGCAUAAAAAACCUUCCAUUACUAUAUCCCUAUUGAGUUCAGUUUAGUAAUAAUGUCAAACUCUAAAACUCAAUCGUAUGUCUUAAUCUAUCAAAUUACUUGACUAUAAAAUUGAUCAUCUACAUGAAUCAAUUUGUCUUGGCCAAGAACUCCUUUAGUCAAGAUCGAUAGAUUUCAUAAGAUAUCAAACCAUUCAUGAUGGAAUAAUAGAUCCCUUUUGCAUAAUCACUUGGCUCCAUGCAUAACUAAUUAGAGGUACCAUAUGCUAAUACUCAUCCGUGAUUAGAACAAGUAUUUUCAGCAUUGAUAGACUUUAACCACCCAUGAAUGAGCCAAUCGUGUUAUCUCAGGUCUAAGGAUCACAUGCACCAUUGCAAUCAAUAAUGAAUCAUUGACAUUAAUAAGCUAAUGAUUCAUUAUUUAAUUAGUCAGUGUUCAAGCCAACUUGUCACACAAGUGCCUCUCAUAUUUAUUCUAGUAUCACAUACUUAAUGGUAUGAGACUCGCCAUUCUAUUAUCAUUAAUAUCCCAUAUUAAUCAUAGAGGAUAAAUAUGAGACUAAUCUUCCGGAUUAAACUUGCCCAAUUAAUAAUCCUAUGAUUAGGAACAAUUUAAUAUUAUUUGUACCAAGUUUUUCCGUUACUCAUAUUCUCAUCACAUGAGAAUGGAACCUUAACAAAUAAUAAGGGACAACAUUCAAUCAAAUCUAAACCAAGAAUAAUUGAAUCAAGAAGUGCCAUUUUAUUUUAAUCAAGACAAUAAUUAUUAAUACUCUAGGGCAUACUGCUAACAGGCUCCCACUUGCACUAGAGCCAUUCAAUACAAUAUUUGAGUCCCAUCUUCUCAAGAUGGUGAUCUAACUGUCGUUGUGUCAUGGCCUUAGUAAGCGGAUCAGCUACGUUAUCAGCUGAAGCUAUCUUGUGCACGGUGACAUCACCUCUUCCGAUUAUCUCUCGGAUAAUAUGGAAACGACGCUCAAUAUGUUUGGACUUCUGGUGAGACCUCGGUUCCUUAGCCUGAGCUAUUGCACCAUUAUUGUCACAGUAGAGAGGUACCGGCAAUUCAAUGGUAGGAACCACUCCUAGUUCUGUGACAAACUUUCUCAUCCAAACAGCUUCCUUUGCUGCAUUUGAUGCAGCAAUGUACUCAGCUUCCGUAGUAGAAUCAGCAGUCGUAUCUUGUUUGGAACUUUUCCAACUCACUGCUCCUCCAUUACAGAGAAAAAUGAACCCAGAGAUAGAUUUUCUAUCAUCUACAUCUGAUUGAAAAUCAGAAUCUGUAAAACCAUCUAGUCUUAAAUCACCUCCUCCGUAAGUCAAGAUCAUAUCUUUAGUCCUUCUUAAGUACUUAAAGAUUGCCUUGACUGCACCCCAGUGUUCUAAACCUGGAUUAGACUGAAACCUGCUAGUAACACUAACAGCGUAAGCUAUGUCUGGUCUUGUACACAACAUUGCAUACAUUAGACUUCCAAUUGCCGAAGCAUAUGGAAUCUUAGCCAUUCUUUCUCUAUCUUCAGAUGUCUGAGGUGACAUCUUUUUCGAUAGGUGAAUGCCAUGUCUAGCAGGUAACAGUCCUUUCUUAGAUUCAAGCAUAUUGAAUUUUUUCAAUAUCUUGUUUAUAUAAAGACUUUGGGAUAACCCUAUAGUUCUUUUCGCUCUAUCUCUAUAGAUACGAAUUCCUAGAAUAUAGGUCGCUUCUCCCAAAUCCUUCAUAGAGAAGGUGCUUGAUAACCAUAAUUUUACAGAACUAAGCAUCCCUAUGUCAUUGCCCAAUAAUAAGAUGUCGUCAACAUACAAAAUUAGGAAAGUGACUGCACUCCCACUGACCCUUUUGUAAACACACGGUUCAUCCUCAUUUCUAAUGAAACCAAACGUUUUGAUUGCAUCAUCAAAUCGGAUAUUCCAAUUCCUCGAAGCUUGCUUAAGACCAUAGAUGGAUCUCUUAAGCUUGCACACUUUAUGUUGCUCACCCUCAGAUACAAAACCUUUGGGCUGAUCCAUAUAAACGUUUUCCUCAAUGUAACCAUUAAGAAAAGCUGUCUUGACGUCCAUCUGCCAGAUUUCAUAGUCAAGGUACGCUGCUAUGGCUAAUAGAAUCCUAAUAGAUUUGAGCAUGGCUACAGGCGAGAAAGUCUCCUCAUAGUCUAUUCCCUGCCUUUGGCGAUACCCUUUCGCCACUAGCCUAGCUUUGAAGGUUUCGACCUUGCCAUCAGAACCAAUCUUUCUCUUAUAGACCCAUUUGUUCCCUAUAGGUAUUAUACCUUCGGGUGGCUCCACAAGUUCCCAGACUUGGUUUGUGUACAUCGAAUCCAUUUCAGAUUUCAUAGCUUCUAGCCAUUUUGAGGAAUCUAUAUCAGAUAUAGCUUCUUCGUAAGUAGUAGGAUCAUCUGUAUGAUCAGUGUCUCCAUGUAUGAACAAUUCUUGCAUAUUCUCAUGGAGAUACCCGUACCUUUGAGUAGGACGAGACACUCUACUAGAUCGUCGAGGCUCUUGUGUUGUGACAUUGUUAUCAAUGGACAUUGGCUCUUUACCAGGCACAUCAUUCCUUUCCUGAUCAUUUUGUUGCUCAUGUGAAAUUUCAUUAAGCUCUAUCCUCCUUCCAGCAGCACCUUCUUGAAUAAAUUCUUUUUCAAGGAAGGUAGCAUUUCUACUGAUGACAACAAUUUGUUCAUCUGGAAGAUAAAAUUGAUAUCCAAUACAAUCCUUUGGAUAUCCAACAAAAUGACCUUUGACAGAUCUUGAUUCCAACUUGUCUGUCUUUAGUUUCCUGAUAUGAGCAGGACAACCAAAAAUUUUAACAUGAUUAAGGCUUGGCUUUCUUCCAGUCCACAUCUCAUAUGGAGUGGUAGGGACGGACUUAGAUGGUACUCUAUUGAGUAUAUAACAUGCUGUAAGAAGUGCAUAAUUCCAAAAUGAAAUAGGGAUAUCAGUAUAGCUCAUCAUGGAGCGAACCAUGUCCAUAUAGGUACGGUUCCUCCUUUCAGAUACGCCAUUCAAUUGUGGCGUUCUUGGAGGAGUAAGUUGAGAAAUAAUACCUUGAUCUUUAAGGUAUUCCCUGAACCCAGUGUCUAAGUAUUCACCUCCUCGAUCUGAUCGGAGAGUUUUAAUACUCUUACCAAGCUGAUUUUCUACUUCAGCCUUGAACUCUUUGAAUUUUUCAAAGCAUUCAUGCUUGUACUUCAUUAAGUACACAUAACCAUACCGAGAGUAAUCAUCAGUAAAAGUUAUGAAGUAAAUAAAUCCUCCUCUAGCCACUUUGGCAAAUGGCCCACAUACAUCACUAUGUAUGAUUUCUAGAACAUCACUGGCUCUUAUACUUUGUCCCACAAAAGGCAACCGAGUCAUUUUGCCUUGAAUACAAGGUUCACAAGUUGGAUAGGGUUCAGAACCCAUGGGUUUGAGUAAUCCCAUUUUCUCCAUCUUUGAAAUUCUGUCUCCUGCGAUGUGACCCAGUCUAAGAUGCCAAAGAUGUUUUUGAUUGAGGUUAAGUUUAGUCACUACGUUUAAAUUCUCAAACUUAGUUCCAUCUUUAUCAUCAGACAUGUGGUAUAAACCAUUUUUCUUGUAUGCCAAACCAAUACAAUCAGUAUUGUAAUAAAUCCUACAAAUAUUGCCUUUGAAUAAAAAUUCAUAUCCCACAUCAGUCAAAACCGAAAUAGAAAUAAUAUUCGUAAAAGUGUUUGGCAGACAUAAAACAUUGUUUAGGAAUAAAACAUGUCCUGAAGAUAAAGCUAAAGAAGUAGAUCCUAUAGCAGUAGCAGCAACUGUUGCUCCAUUUCCGACCUUUAGGAUCACCUCGUCCUUCCCAAGGACUCUACUUUUGGUUAGUUCCUGCAAAGAUGCACAAACAUGAUAUGAUGCACCUGAGUCAAGAACCCAAGAAGUAGAAUGAGAGCUAACUGUACACAGAGGAUUGAGGAAACAUGAAAUGGUACUACCUUCAUUUGUCUUUCCUUUUCCCUUGUCCUUUAUCGACUCAAGGUACUUAGGACAAUUCCUCUUCCAAUGUCCUUCCAUUUGGCAGUGGAAACAUUUUGCACCAACCUUGAAGUUGCCCUUCUUUUUAGAGAUACCUCCUGUAGGCUUAGGAUGAGAAGAUUUAAUUGAUUUCUUCUUCUUCUUUUUGGACUCUCCAGAAGAAGAAGCAAUCAUUAAAGCCGCUUCCUUUCCGUUUCCUUUCAUCGUAGACUGAGCAGUAACAAGAUGGUUAUGAAGUUCUGAAAGCGAUACCUCAAUCUUGUUCAAGUGAAAAUUUACAAUGAAUUGGGCAAAGGAAUCUGGUAGAGACUGCAAAAUCAAGUCUGUCUGAAGGUGAGCAUCCAUGGAAAAAUCCAAGUUUUCAAGACGCUCAAUCAUAUUGAUCAUCUUGAGAACAUGAACUGACGCAUCAGCUCCUUCAGUCAGACGAGUCCUAAACAACUCCUUAGAUAUCUCAUAUCGGGCAGUUCUGGAUUGUUCACCAUACAAUUCUUGUAGGUGAAGCAAAAUAUCUUUUGCGGUCCCCAUCUUUUCAUGCUGCCUUUGCAAUUCAUUGUUCAUAGACGCUAGCAUGUAGCACCUAGUUUGCAUGUCAUCCUCCUCCCACUUUCUAAAAGUGGUUUGUUGCGGCUCAGUCGCCCCUUCAGGCAAGGGAUUAGGAACUGGAGUCUCUAAAAUAUAUCCAAUUUUUUCGGAAUUAAGAACAAUUCUUAGAUUCCUCAGCCAAUCAGUGAAAUUGGGCCCAGUGAGUGUAUUUUUUUCAAGGAUAGUUGAGAGAGGGUUCAUGGGUGCCAUAAUAUCCAAAUAUUAGAAACUGCAGAAGAUAAUAAAAUUGAUUAGCAAUUAUCCUGAUAGAUCCAAUUUGUUUUUGGCCUUUAAAACAAACUGGUCCUCCCACUAAAUUUUUCGAAUGUCAUACUUCCAAAAUGAUAAACAGAAAUCUUUAAAUGAUCUCUAGUGGGAGAUGGGAUUCUUAUAAAAUGUUUAAUAUACCUCAGGUGAUCCCUAUAUUGGUAUAAUAAUAUUUUGUAAGUGACAACUCUUUGUCAAUACAUCUCAUGUAUACCCCAACCGAGACUUGGCUCCUAAUACUUAAGACCUCAGGCGUAUCCAAUCUUGGUCCAUCAUAUUAGUUAAAUUAAAUCCACUAGACAGUAGGCAAGAUAAUUUGAAUAUUAAUUACCUCAGGCGUUUCCUAUCUUGAUAAUUAAUAUAUUAUCCUACCCACAACAUCACAUGCUUUAUAAAAUCUACAAGAAUAUCCCUUACAUCUUUAUACUACCCCAUGUGUCCACAGCCAAUAGUACAAAUUGUAAAAUAUUCUGUAGAUCUUAAUCCAGUGGAGGGCCAUGAUACAAUAUCAUAAAGUAGGUGGAUUUUCUGGUCUAAUUAUUUCGAGGUAACACUGUGUUCAUCAAAAUCCUUUUGAUGAACGUGCAUCACAUACAUAUGUCAAAAGCGAAUAAAUAAACUCAGAUAAUCAUGGAUAACAACAACCAAAAAAAAAACAACUGAAUUAGUCUUCCUGAGCCCAUGAUUAUCCUUCAUGCCAUGUAUCAAAAAUGAAAAAUUAAAUAUUUCAUAUUAAAUAAGGAAUGCUAACAUUUAUUGAAACUAUUCCAUUUAAUGCUAACCGUUUUAAUUUCAUUGCCUUUCAAAAUUAAAUCACUAACAUUUAGAUAAUUAAUUUUGAACAAAAGAUUGCUUUCAAUAAUUAAGAUUCUUAACGUUUUAAGAAUACUUAAUUAUUAGAAGGAAACCUUUUGAAAUAUAAUCUUAACCCAUUUAAGAUAAGUCCGAAACUGAAACAAUAUGAAGCCUUUGUUUAGCACCAUGGCCGAGACAGCAACUAUUGCAAUCAGCCUUCCAAUGAAACAAAUAUAAUCAAUUGCAAAUUCGAAGCAAGGUGGCUCUGAUACCACUGAAAGAAAAAUAUUUACGCAGCGGAAUGAGCAAACAAUUUUUGCUUUUUCUUUCAUUCGAUGUUAUUGCUCGAAUCUGCAAAUUGAUACAGGCCUUGAUAUUUCAAAAACCAAUAAGUACUUACUUGUUUGGACGUGUAUGCAAUGCCUGAUACAGAUGCUUGAAUUCCAGCAAUUAGCCUUCCACACGUUAGGCCUCUAGUUCGUCCACACAGACUCAAAACUAAUAGAUUGCUGAAUAUUGGAGUUUUUGUUUUGGUGGUGAUGAAAACAACGGUAGUCAACCACUUUUGUCAAUAGGGCAUAUAUAUAUAUAUUUACGAUUGUUUUUGAUUAGAUCAAUAUCAGAUCAAUAUCUUAUUUGAUCAAAUCAAAACAACCGGUUUAUAUAUAUAUUUUAUUCUUAUUUUGAUCAAAUCAAAAUAGAAUACAUCUAAUACCAUUAUUUAACUCACGUUUUAGUUUUUGAUCUUAUCAAAAUAUAAACAUAAUUAAUAUAAUUAUAUUAACUAUUAUUUUCAUCUUUAUGAUACUUGAGUCAUACUCAAAUACUAACUCCAAAUUCCGUCUAGCUUGGGUUUCAAGAUGUGCUAGCAUCCUUAUCAAAAUAAAAACCCAUUCUAAACAACUUCCCUAUUAAUUCAAAUCCUUUUGUGUGUGACUAUCUAGGUUCAUUACCCAGUUGGCAAUGCAAUAAACGUUAGCCUAUUAACAUUAGUUAGAACAUUUCUAACACUUGAGAAGUUCUCCAAAUAUACCUCAAGUUAACAUAGUUCAUGAGUGAUGCCUAGCAGCAUAUCAUGACACCCAACCGGUGAUGAAAGAUUGGAAUCCUUUUAUGUGAACCAUGAUUGCAAUUGUUUUGCAUAAAAAACCUUCCAUUACUAUAUCCCUAUUGAGUUCAGUUUAGUAAUAAUGUCAAACUCUAAAACUCAAUCGUAUGUCUUAAUCUAUCAAAUUACUUGACUAUAAAAUUGAUCAUCUACAUGAAUCAAUUUGUCUUGGCCAAGAACUCCUUUAGUCAAGAUCGAUAGAUUUCAUAAGAUAUCAAACCAUUCAUGAUGGAAUAAUAGAUCCCUUUUGCAUAAUCACUUGGCUCCAUGCAUAACUAAUUAGAGGUACCAUAUGCUAAUACUCAUCCGUGAUUAGAACAAGUAUUUUCAGCAUUGAUAGACUUUAACCACCCAUGAAUGAGCCAAUCGUGUUAUCUCAGGUCUAAGGAUCACAUGCACCAUUGCAAUCAAUAAUGAAUCAUUGACAUUAAUAAGCUAAUGAUUCAUUAUUUAAUUAGUCAGUGUUCAAGCCAACUUGUCACACAAGUGCCUCUCAUAUUUAUUCUAGUAUCACAUACUUAAUGGUAUGAGACUCGCCAUUCUAUUAUCAUUAAUAUCCCAUAUUAAUCAUAGAGGAUAAAUAUGAGACUAAUCUUCCGGAUUAAACUUGCCCAAUUAAUAAUCCUAUGAUUAGGAACAAUUUAAUAUUAUUUGUACCAAGUUUUUCCGUUACUCAUAUUCUCAUCACAUGAGAAUGGAACCUUAACAAAUAAUAAGGGACAACAUUCAAUCAAAUCUAAACCAAGAAUAAUUGAAUCAAGAAGUGCCAUUUUAUUUUAAUCAAGACAAUAAUUAUUAAUGCUCUAGGGCAUACUGCUAACAGAAAUAACAAGAAGCAAGCGAAAGAAGGAAUCCUUGGGUAAGAAUUCCGAUUGAAGCAAUAAGGAAAGUGCGGCUUUUGUUCACCUAUCAUUCUCCGAUGCGACCAAGCAACUCCCUUAGAAUAUCUUCCCUUCGAACAGCGCGACCCGCCUAUUCAACUACAAUAUGAAUUCCUCUUGCCGUUGUUGCUCUUCUUGCCCCUUUAGUGGUGAUCCUUGGAUGAGGAGCAUAAACGAGCCUUAAGAGUGCAUUAGGAGGUCUUGUUGCCUGUGCUCAAGACAUAUUUUAACACAACUACAUUCCACCCAACCUGCUAUGUAUAUACACACACUAGUAAUUACUAUUUUUUCCUACAUUUAUACACUUUUCCUAAUUAAUCUCUUUGCAUUUAUAAUCUUUUCCUAAUUAAUCUUAUAUUUUUAAAAAUCUAACACGUGAAAUACAUCUUAACAAAUAUCUUAUAUAUACCCAUUAGAUAGACCAUUUUAGAAAAAUAUCUUUGUUAGAAAUAUUGGCGGGUUUCAAACUAACUAUCUAAUGUAUCCUUAAUUUAUUCUAAUUGAUCCUUCAUGAUGAUAUAUAUAAACACCCACCCACCGCCCCCCCCCCCCUUCUCCCGGGUUCCUCCUCAAAGUCAAGGCAGUUGCGAAGAAACCAUUUUGAGUUUGUCAAGAAGAUCAUUGAAACGGUUGGGAGGAAGAGGUUUGGUGAAGAUAUCUGCAAGUUGAUCCAUAGAAGAUACAGAGUGGAUGAUCUCGCCGGGGCACUUUACGGGAUAUAGCACAGCAGAUCUAGAGAAAGGUUUACUCAUCUGCAGCACCACAAUGUUUUCUUCUUGACUAUUAUCCUGACGCUGCUAUCAGAACUGGCCUCUUUCAUUAUGUGUGGGUACAAUUUUACAACAAUCCGCCUUGUCAAUGUAGUGCUGGCAAUACCAAUAACUUCUUCGACAGUUGGAAUCCAGGGGCUUCAUAUACAGGCGUUAAUACAUUAUUCCUGGGAUUACCUGCAGCCCCUGAGGCAGCACCUAGUGGCAGCUACAUCACACCUCAAGAGCUAAUUGAUCAAGUUCUACCCUUUGUCGAGAGCUAUUCCAACCACAGAGAGCUCAUGCUUUGGAGCAAAUACUUUGAAGCUAAUUGCAAUGAAAUAAUCAGGCCUUAUGUUAACUCUGAUGUCCUGGUUCAUGGCAAAAAGUCCACGAUAAAGUCCCAUGCUCUCGAAUAAUUGAGUUGCUCUCAUUAACACUUGAUGGAUGAAAUGCAGUCCUGGUUGUUUUUGCCAUAUAGAUAAAUAAUGGGUAAUAAGUUCCCCAGCUAUGGAGGCGUCAGAUACUGGGAUGUGUCUAUUACAGUCCAGCAAUCGAGCCUUAUGUUAAACCAUGAAAACUCUGACCAGUGAUAACAAGGCCAUGGGAGUCUUCUGCCACUGAAUAAGUUCCUCUGAUCACUAUUUCAUGAGAGAUGAAAUGUAAUCCUGGUUGUUUAUGCUAGAGAUAGAUGUGAUAAAUAAAUAACGGGUUAUGAUCCCCAAGUUUAAUUGCGUAUUCUCUUGAUUUAACGGUUAGAAAAUCCGCAAAAAUCACAAAUUACUGAAUACUAGUUUGGACAACCAUGCCAGUUGCACCUCCAUUUUGCAAUGUAUAUCUCUUAAAAUUGGGAAGUAAUUACAUUUUCGGUUUGCAACUCCAUUAAAAUUUGACCAAACGAACCUGUGGUUUGAUCAAAUUAUCCCCUUAUGAGUUAUGGCUUCCAAAACCAACUAACGGAAGUGGAGAAAUGUUAGAACUACCAUCUACAGAAGAUUACAUUUAUCUCCCUUGAAAUUUAUCUAAAUAAAAAAAAGGGUCAUUAAAAUGUGAACCGAAUGCAAUUUAACCCUUAAAAUAGCCAACUGUUUAUAAAAAUAAAAAUCCCUUAAUAUUAUCAAAAGAAUAAAACCCAAAUUAAGAUAAAAUUAUCAAUUACUAUCUUCCAAGAAAUGAAAAAUGAAAGGAAAAAAAUUGAGAAAAUGUCUUUCUUUCUCGUCUUUAUCUACAUAUGGCUUAUUUUAGCCACUAAAAAACACUCUCUCUCCUUUUAACAAUUAUGCAUUUCAUUUGCAUAUCCAAUUAGGAAGAUACUAAUAUUAAGUUUAAAUAAAACUCUCGUUAAGCCAGAAAACCUUCGCUUGGCCCAUUCGAUAAUAAAUUCUUGUCCUUUAUUCCAGACAAGUGCCUUUAUUAGAUUUUCACUUUUGAUUUUCAAUUUGGUGUCUUUACGAAAGAAAAAUCCUAAAUUUUCAUGCUUAGAGAUGUAUGCAAAUUUAACAGUUUAUUUUAUGUUUUAGGAAACAAAGUUUUAUUAUUUGCGCAUGGAAGUCAAAAACGAUAUUUGAUAUCAAUUAUGUAAUAGUGGUGGUCAAGGAAACUGCAUCGACUGAAACACUUUUGUUAGUGAUGCCACGUGAUUAGAGUUUCAAUUACACUAAUUUUAAGAUGAAAGAAUCAUUGGAAAAAUAUAUAGUAAUUAAUGGGUAUUUUUAUAAACUCAAAAAUUCUGAUGUGAUUAAGUAUUAGCAAAUAUUUCUUUAAUAAAUGUUUGCGAGAAUUGCAGUUUUGGUCUCUAAUGUUUGGCGUGUGUACCAAAUUAGUCCUCAAUGUUUUAGCUAAAACAAAUCUAGUCCCAAAAAUUUGUGAUUUUCGGUAGAUUUAGGACAAUAAAUGGAAAUGAAACAAUGGCUAACAGUCAAUAUCAAAUUACUGUUAGUCAACAAGUUUAACCUUUUGAUUCCCAAUGUUUUGAUUUUGAAUCAUUAUAUUUUUCUAAUUUUUUAAAUAUUGGUAUUAAGGGUUUUGGCAUGAAUUGAGAUGCAAAUUAGAAUGAAAUAGUAUUAAAUAUGUAAUAAUAAUUUUAAUUAAAAAUAUAUUACUUCUUUUUUAAUAUUUAUUUCAUUUAUUCAUGCUAAUAAUUAUAUAUAAUUGUUUCUCGCUUGAAUAAUUAAUUUAUAAUGAGUUUUAUUAUUUUUAUUUCUAAUAACAAUUAAACAACUUUAUUAAAUAUUCCUUUAAAACACAAGAAAUAUAUUUUUUGUAAAAUAAGUUGAUCUUUUUUGGCAUUUUAAUAGGUUAUCAAUUGAGUUUGAAAUAAAGUUGACAUUUUAUACACGUUAUAUGAACCACUAGAUGAUUGUCAAGAUACAUAGAUACUAAAAUAAAUGAUUUAAAACUACAAUAUUGAAAUGUUAGAUUUUAAUGGUAGUAAAGAAAAUAAAAAUAAAAGAUAAUUUUCUUAGGAUUUGCUAAAAUUAUUUAAUAUUGAUGCUUAACUUUACUAGUUUUUAUAAAUACAACGGAUAACUCUAAGAAUUUGAAGCAUACAUGCACAAGACAUGCAACAAUUUUUGUAGUAAUAACUAUAAUAAAUUUAGAUUAUAAAACUGAAAUUCUCCUUUUCUUCCUCUACUUUAUGUUUUAUUUAUUAUUGGUAUAUUAUCAUCCAAUUAAAUUUAUUUAAUAAAGAUAGGCAAUUAUCAACUUAUGCCAUUAUGAUUUGUUUCAAUUAAUAGUGAGAAAUAAUAUAUAUACAUAUAUUAUACAAGAUUUGAGACUAGAAAUGCAAAAAAAAAAAACAUAUGAGAUAUUAUUAGUAUGAAUAAAUGAAAUAAAAAUAAAAGGGAAGGAAAAAAAGUUUAAUUAGAAUUUUUGUUACCCAUUUAAUACUAUUUCAUUCUAAUUUGCAUCUCAAUUCAUACUAAAAUUCUUAAUAUCAUUAUUUAAAAAUUAGAAAAAUAUAAUCAUUCAAAGUCAAAAUACUAAGGACCAAAAGUGCAAAGUCAAAGUUGUUGACUAAUGACAAUUUGAUAUUGAUCGUUAGUCAUUGUUCUAUUUCCAUUAGUUAUGCUAAAUCUAACUAAAAUCGCACACUUUCGGGACAGAAUUUGUUUUGGCCAAAACAUGCAUUAGGGACAAAUUUGGCAUACAAGCAAAACAUUAGGGACCAAAAUUAUAAUUCUCCAUAAAUGUUUGGCUAGUAAAACAUUGGAUUGAUUUGGAAAAACUAAAGGGUUCAUUUUUGUUAUUUGGACAAACUUCAAGAGAGGCAAAUGCAAUUUGAACAAACUUUAGGAUAGGUAAGUGCAAUUAACUCAAUUUACAAAAGGUUAGUUUGGGGGCUUUUAGACAUAUAUUUUAGUGAUGCAAGCAUCAUUUCAAUCAACAAUUAGCGUGAGGGGCGCAAUUGAUAAACAUUUUGUCAGUCAGGGGAUUUGACUAUAAUCUGGUCAAACUGCAAGAUAAAUUUUGUACUUUGACACCUCGAGAAAGUAGGUGUAAUUAACCUUAAAAAAACCGAGUGUUCUUAUUGUCCGAAUAUUAUCCAAAUGAGAUAGCACUAUCUCAAGAAAAAUACAUGUAUCCAUUCUUAUACCUUCACCUAUGUAUCCACUUUUGACUUAUAAUUAAAGGUAACAUGGCUUGUUUUAACCUAUUGAUUGUACCCUCCACCUAUCUCUCUCUUUUCAUUUCUUUCUGUUUCUCUUCUUCCAACCAACCUCUCCAAUCCUUCUUUCAGCCCACCCAAGUUCUCAUGAUGAACACUCUUCCCAUGCACCAUGCCUCUACCCUAAUCCAAAUAUUUACAAGUAGUGGCAGAACCAGAAUCCUAGACUCAGCAAGGCCAAAUUAGAUUAGCAUAAAAAUUGAAGUAUUAAUAGAGUUUGAAAUCAAAAAACACUUCUAUCUUAAAAGUUCAUUUUUUCUAUGUUAAAUACACUUUUAAAAAUAAUUUGCGUUAAAUUUUGCAAUGAAAAUUACAUUUAAAUUUACAUCUAUAUUUAACUUUUGGUAGGUUUAAUACUCUUGUGAAGGAUAACAAUUAUGGAAUUUUAAUUAUUUAGGGGGCAAUGUAUGAUAGUAAAGAGAAUUCUAAAAAUUUUAGGGAGGACAAAUAAGAAACAAUUUUGAAAAUUUCUAAACAUAAAAUAUAAUUUUCUCAAAAAUUGCACCCCCUCAGCAGUAUGUGGCUUUGCCAUUGUUUAAUUACAAGCUUUCCUUCCUCCCUAUUUUCCUAUAUUGUGUUUACAUUUUUGAAGUACUUGUAUAUUUCAUAUAUAUCACAUUGCAAAAACUACAACAUUAUAAUUCUAAAAAAAUUUAAACUAUAUGUUUCCAAACGCAGCCUUGACUUUUAGUUAUUGAGUCUUAGUUUGAAUAUGAAGUCAACAGUUUCACUUUGUCUCAACGCACCUAUAGGAUUUAAGUAUAGGUUUUGAAACCGUAGGAGACUUUUGUGUCUUGUCCAUGAACAACAGGAGGAUAAAGUUAAUUCACCUCUUUUUUUUAAAAAAAAGAUAGAAGACUAUGCUAAUAUUUAUAUUUUUAUUGUGAGUCAGGGUAUUUUUCAAAGAUAAUUUUAUUUAAUUGGGUUAACAUUUCUAGGCAUUGAGAAGGGUUAAGAAAUCAUAAAAUUGUAAGUUAAUUGUAAAAAAUAAUAGUAGGAAUGAAAUGCCAAAAAUGACUAUAGUUUAGCCAAACCACAAGGUAGAUUUUGUAAUUUGACCAAACCUCGCGGGUAGAUUUUUUUUUUUUGGGAUAAAUCAGGGGUAGAUUUUAUUGUCCGACUAUUAUAAUUUAUAAUGGACCAGAGUAGAGAUUAGUUGUUACAUUUCCAACUUUUUUGCAUGGUCACACAUUUCCGACUAUUAUAACCUCAGGUGUUUUUUUUUCCUUUCUCAUUUUGGAUUAAUCUUCAAUAGAGGAAACAACUUUCUGGCUUGAUAAAUAUGUUAUGAAAAUAGAUUUUUUAAAUUAAAUAGGGACUACUUGUCCUGUAUUCAGAUAUGCCAUUGUAAUAGAACUUUGGUAUACUUAGAUAGUAUAUUAUUUAGGAUAAUUUUUUGACAAAAAUAUUGUGUUGACCUUGGUCGAUCAAUCCUUGGUUUUGAUGAUUAACAAACCAAAAUAUAGAUUUGGGCUAAUGUUUUUAUGUGAGUAAUUUGUUAGAAUAGAUUCUUGUGGCAUAAAAGAAGAAGCAAAAACAGGGCACUCAUGUCGGACGCUAUCGGAUGUCCGAAAGGAUGAAGAACAUCAAGAAGGAAACUCUGUCGGACGCUCAUGAGGAAGCAUGGGACGUCCGGAAGGAUCGGACGCACGCCUCGGACGCACAUCGAUCGCAUCGGACGUCCGAGAAAUUUCGCAAAGAUUUGAUGACUCUCUGACGACGUUCGGACGCAGGGUUCGGACGUCCGACAGGUGGUUUGGACGCAGGGUUCGGACGUUCGACAGGUGGUUCGGACGUCCGACAGACCAACGGCUAGUUUUGACAGCAUUUAAUAUUUGACCGUUGGAGAGCCUUUUGGAGUCAUUUCUCACCUUCUAUAAAAACCCCAAAGCACAAGAAGACAAGAGACUUUUGCCAACACAAAAUACAAGCUUACAAGUGAGAUUUUUGAGUAGAAAGAUUCUUUGUUGGUUGUAUAAGGUUGGGAAAGUUGGGUUGUGAGGUUGCUCAAGUGAAGGUUACUCUCUAGGAGGAGUAAAACCUUGGUGAAGAUAAACCUAUCACUUGGAGUGGUAAAACCUUGGUGAAGGUUGCCUCAUGUGUAUAAAAUAGUUCUUAAUUGGGUGAGUGAUCUUUCAAGUGUAGGUUGUUGAGGGUUAACUAGUAUAGUUGUAAAACUCCUUGGCUCAACCAAAGAGUGUUUGGGGUGAGGAAGGAGUGAGCCUUCACUUGUACAUCUUGGUUAGCAUCGCCAUCUAUUGAAGAGGCUAUUGGAUUGAUAUUUGGUUUGCAUUUUUUAUCUUUUCUCUUUAAUUAAGUUUUCUUUAUUGUGCUUAAAUUUGAUAUAUCUUUGUGUAUCAUUGUGAAUUUGUUUGUACUCAUUGGGUUGCACCGGGCACUUACAUAUUGUGAUAAUUUUUUGACAAAAAUAUUGUAAAAAGAUGAUUGAAAAAUGAUAAUUUUUUUGAUAUGAUAUAUGUCAGAUAAAAAGAUGAUUGAAAAAUUUGUUGAUGAUACAAACAAAUACAAUUUGACAAAUAAUCUACUAUCCAAACAAAGACUAGAUUUUCUAUGUGCAAAUAUGCUAGGGUAACCGAUUCACAACGCAUUUGAUAAAGCGGUUAUUGAGCACAUUUUGCACUAUUAUUCUGCCCUAAUUUUGGCUACUCAUGGUGCUAAGAAUUGGGAAUUUGCUCAUAUUUGAUAUUUGUGUAAAUUGUAGGUGGUUGCUGUUAAAAGUAAUCUUUUGAGGCAAUUUCCAGAAGACCCUUUAUUUUAGGACGUGCCCACGCCAGAAAUUAUAGAGGGCUACCCAAAAACCGGACCCGCGAGCUUGGUAACAGUAGGAUAACCAAUUAAGGAACUAGGUCCGCGUGGACCAGAUGCGUGGGAUUAGAACCCUUAGACAAAGCUUGCUCCUGAUUUGACUCCUACGGGCGGCGCUACAAAUAAGAAAACAAGCUAGAUUCGCGGGGAAUCAUCUACCUUAGCUUUAAUUUUCCUUUUUUCACAUCUGUCAGACAUCAAAGAAUUUUUCCUUGUUUUUUUUGGCUUUUACGUUUUGACUCUUUUGCUUUUGCUUUGGAUCUGUACAAUUUUCAUUGGCUUUGGCAUUGAACUUUCGGAUCCAGUACGGACUCCAAUGCAGAGACAAGCAAGACUUUUCACUUUUUCUUUCUUUGUUAUUUCAUCGGUCCAGAUUCUUUGAUGUUUGUGUGGAUGAAAUCAAUUAAAUUGCGCGAGAUUGAUAUGACGAGGAGCGGCUAAAUUCCCCUUCUACCCAAGGGUUAACGCGAAGGCGCGGUCCAUAACAUCUGUGAGAUCUAAUCGAAUUUUCACUAUUUCGUCCAAUUCGUUACUAUUUAUGUGUUUCCUGAAUUAAUUGUUCAUGGGUAUUUUAUUAAUUGGGUAUCAGCGGCCGGAUAUUUAAUUUAAUAUAAUAGCCUAUUGGUACAUUAAUUAAAUUGAAUCCGUAAUUGUUCGUUUAGUUGACAAAUAGUGACAACCACCAUAAUUGGUUUUAUGUUGGAGAAACACAAGAUCUAAUUUAAAUAAACUCUCUUAGCGUGUUUAUUGGUUAGGGUUGGGUUUUUCUAGUUUUAAUGCAACUGGAUAACUAAAUUCCUACGGUCGUACCUAGGGUUGUUUUCUGGUUAGAGAAGCAGUCAAUGAUCGUAGUUUGACUGUCGAAAAAGUAAGGAAGAACUGGUUGUCAGAUCUUAUUGAUAACUAUAACCAACCUAGUGACGGAUGGAUGAAAUAUCUUUGCAUCGAUGAUCAUUUAAUUGGACCGUGCCUGAAAACUUGAUUCUUUGGGUAGAAUUUUAUUAAUUGCUAUUUUUAGUAAAUUGUACUUGUGGAGUUAUCUUUUGAAUUUUAUUUAUUUUAUUUUCGUUUCCAUCCCAUUAAUUAUCCCCUAAUUUUAUUCUAUUGAUUUAAAAAGAAACAACUUCCUACCCGUUCCCUGUGGAAUCGACCCUACUUGCCAUUGUACGCAAAAUUAAUAUUUUUAUAGACAAUUCAGGUAUAUCGGACCAAGCAAACUCUUCGGGAAUAGGGUAAAUCAAGUAAUCCAUUACACAUUUAGGGUCCCUACUCUAGUAUUUGGAUUUGUUCUAUAAUUAAUUGUGAUGGUAAUUAGGACUUUUUAGUAAUUAUUAUUGCACAGGUUCGGUAUCUGUCAAUUUUUGGCGCCGUUGCCGAGGAACGGUAUUUUGAUUAAUUUUGUUUCUUUCUAAGUUAUUUUCUUUGGAUUUGUCUGACAUUUUUCUAGUUUAUGCCUCGUUCUUCUCAUACAGGAGAAUUGAUUUUCGAUCCGGAAGUAGAGAAGACUUCGUGUCAAACUAGAAAAUAGACUAGGCAACUCAGAGAGGAGCAAUCGAGCACUGCAUCUCAGGAACUGGAUCCUGAGAUUGAAUCAGCAGAUUCGAGUGGUGAAAAUUCAAGUGACCCAGGCCAAGAAGACAUCCCUAUGGCGAAUGCAAGAACACUAAGGGAGUUGGCUGCUCCGGAAUUGCCCCAGCAGCCGCUGUGCAUCACAUUUCCAACUCUAGCUGAAAAUGCCUCAUUCGAACUAAAGUCGGAGUUGAUUCACCUUUUGCCCACAUUCCAUGGCCUUUCGGGGGAGGAACCCCAUAAACACAUUCAAAAGUUCAAUGUGGUAUGCUCCAGUAUAAAGUCUCCAGAAAUUACUGAGGAGCAGAUCAAACUUAGAGCCUUCCCAUUCUCCCUCAAGGAUGCAACAAAGGAUUGGUUGUACUACUUACCUGCAGGCAGUGUUACAACAUGGACCCAACUGAAAAAGAAAUUUUUGAAAAAAUUCUUCCCUACAUCCCGGGCUGCAAGUCUGAGAAAGGAGAUUUGUAGCAUUAAACAGUACCCUGGAGAAUCCCUAUAUGACUAUUGGGAGAGGUUCAAUAAGUUGUGCACUAAAUGCCCACAACAUCAAAUUAGUGAACAACUAUUGAUCUAAUAUUUCUAUAAGAGGCUCCAGUCAUCCGACAGGAGUAUCAUUGAUCCUGCGAGCGGGGGAGCAUUGGCAAAUAAGACCCCGAGGGAAGCAUGGUUGCUCAUUGAAACUAUGACAAAAAAUUCACAACAGUUUGGCUUCCGCGAGAGUAACCCUACCCGUAGGGUUAACAAGAUAGAGACAUUAUCCAUUCAGCAGCAGCUAUCAGAGCUAACAUCUUUCGUUCGCCAAUUAGCUGUGGGAAACGGGCACCAAGCAAAGGCCUGUGGAAUCUGCACAAAUGUGGGUCACCCCACUGACUCAUGCCCUAUGUUGCAAGAGGAUGGGGCUAAACAUAUGAACAUGACUGGAGGCGUGCCCGCGCCUCGUAGGCAGUACGACCCACACUCGAACACGUACAAUCCGAGUUGGAAAGAUCACCCCAAUUUCAGCUAUGAUAAUAGGCCACAGAAUUCAUUCUCCAAUCGUCCACCAGGAUUUCGGCAACCAUGGCAACCAAAGCCACAACCUUUAUCAUCUAACUCAGGAAGUUCCUUGGAGGAAAUUGUCAAGAGUUUGGUCACGACUACCACUCAGCUCCAACAGGAGACUAGGGCCCUGGUCGCGAACAAUACUCAGUUCCAGUAGGACACCAGAGCAAGCAUGAAAAACAUGGAGACUCGAAUGAAUCAAAUGGCAACCGUCAUUAAUCGCUUGGAGUCCCACGUUUAUGGAAAACUACCAUUACAAUCCAAGAUAAAUCCCAAGAAUGUAAGUGCCAUGACACUAAAGAGUGGCAAAGAGGUGGAGGGACCUAAGUUGGUAAAUUCGAAAAGCAAAAAGUGAGGAGGAGAUAGAAGAGGGAGUUGAAGAGGAACGGCACAUUCGCGAAGAGUCUAAGGUAACAUCUAUUCCUUUGAUGCCUAUUAAAUCUAAUCUAGCUCCUUUUGCUUGCAGGUUGGAAAAGACAAAUAGGGCAGAAAAGGAAAAAGAAAUCCUGGAUGUGUUCCGCAAAAUUCAAGUAAACAUCCCCCUAUUGGAUGCGAUCAAACAGGUAUCCAAGUAUGCAAAGUUCUUGAAAAACUUGUACGUUAACAAAAGAAAGCUAAGGGAUGAUGAGAGAGUGAUGGUAGGAGAGAAUGUAUCAGCUGUACUUCAAAGGAAACUCCCACCCAAAUGCGAGGAUCCAAGCAUGUUUACUAUCUCCUGUAAGAUUGGAUGUUCUAAUAUCGAAAAUACCAUGCUAGUUUAGGAGCCUCUAUUAAUGUGAUGUCUAAAUCAAUCUAUGAUUCCCUAAAUUUAGGACCUUUAAAAGAAACAAGAAUAAUAAUUCAAUUGGCUGAUCGUACAUUUGCUUAUCCGGAUAGAAUAGUUGAGAAUGUUUUAGUGCAAGUAGAUGGAUUAAUUUUUCCUGCUAAUUUUUAUGUGCUUUACAUGGAUGAUAGAAGUGUCCCAAAUCCAUCACCCAUUAUAUUAGGAAGGCCAUUCUUGAGUACUGCCCAAACUAAGAUUGAUGUUAGUAAGGGUACUUUCACAAUGAAAUUUGAUGGAGAAACAGUCCAUUUUAAUAUUUUUGAUACAGUGAAACAUCCUGUUAACUCUUAUUCUGUGUUUGUUAUUCAUGCUACUGAUCCAUCUGUGCAAAAAUUUUCUGAGUUUGCUUGUAGAAGUAAAUUCAAAGUUGCUGCAAACAAGUAUCAUGGAAUGAAAGCAAUUCAUGAGGUGAAAAUGGGUAGAAAAUUAAGAAAAAAUGUUGCAUUCAAUGGCUAUUUGGAUCCCGGAGGAGGGCCACUGAUUACAAGAAAAAUUGAAUUACAUCCAAACUGAAGAGCGGUGUAUAGUGUCUAGCCAAAGACAUUAAAGAAAGACACUACUUGGAAAGCAAUCCAAGGAUUUCAAUUGUGUUCUAUUUCAUAUUUGUGUGCUCAAGACCAGUGGGUUUAGAUUCCUAUUGACAAUAUUUAUUAUAGGUCAUGGGUGUUUCUGUGUAGUUUUAUUCUAGGUUGGACGCAAAAAAAAAAAAUUUUGUGGGCAGAAGACUUCAUGUUACAAGGCGUGCCCGGGCCUUGUACUCACCGCACAUGAAUAUUUGUAAAAUUUGGUGAACAGAAGACCUCGACCUCCAAGGCAUGCCCACGCCUUCCAACCUUUGCAACAAUGAAAGUAAAAAAAAAUUGACCAGGACCUUCUCUAACCCCACUUUUCUACUUUUCUUUUUUCUUGUCUUGUCUGGUCUUUUUAAUUUCCUCUGUCUUAGUUUCUACUUUUCAAUUUCCUUUGUUUUGUCUUAGUUUCAGUUUCUUCGUUUCCUCUUUUCUUGUUAGUCUGCCGCGCACAGCGCGUCGCCGUGGCGUGCUCCUCUUACCAUACUCCUCCUACUGGGGAUUCCCAAUACUGUGCCCUCCAAGAUUCUAUCCAUGAACUAGGUGAGCAGGUUGAGGGACUAGAUGGCCGUCUUGCAGCGCUGCAGGUUUUUGCUCGCAUUCAGGUGGAGAACUAGGCAGCUUUCUUUACGCAUAUUGGAUUCACUCCACCUCAUCCUCCUCCCCCUUAGUGUCUAGCUGCAGCCUCUCGGUAGUCAAGGAAGUUUCUCUCCUUUUCUCCUAAUAUUUCAUUUGUCUUUUCUACAUUGAGAACAAUGUAGGUUUUAGGUGUGGGGGAGUAGUUCCCAUUAUUUCUUUUGGUUUCCAUUAUUUCUUUUGGCUUUGGUACAAAAAAAAACAAAAAAUGGAAAACAAAAAAAUGAAAAAAUGAUGAAAACAAUGUAGUUAGUCGGCUUUCUGUUCAUUUCUAUGUUUGUUAGUACUGGAGCAUAUUGCUAUGACGAAUUAUACAAUCAUGGUGCACAGGUAUGUGGUCAAAUAUGCUAGUUGGGCAUUUUGUUUUUGCUUUGCAAUAUCAUUGAAUGUUGAAUAUGCUGGACUUGAUCCAUUCUUAAAACUUUUGGGAGCUUUUGAGCCAUACAUGAGCACAUUAUUCUUGUUUGUUCUAUUUUUGUUUGAUUGAGUGGGUAUCACACAUGGUAUUGGUAUUCUAGAACUUGCUAUUUUGUACAUGUCGAGAUCACAUUUUGUUGAAGUGGAUGCAUUUGAAAUAAUAAGGGCAUUUAGGAUUUGACCUUCUUUAGCUUUCUAAAAACCAUGCAUUCAUCUUAUCUCCCGAUAGUGAAUCAAUUUGAAUUUUUAUCCUUCGCUUUUGUUUGUUAGUCGUGUUUGAUAACCCAUGACCUUUUUAUACUUUCUUGUUCAACCUUGUGUCAUUAAGAGAUGUCUGAAAUUCGGCAAAUAAAUCUAGGGUCGCAAGUGUUGUCAAAAUAGAUGCUGUAUGAUGUUGUUUCUGUACAUCUGAGAUCGAAAAAAAAGAAAAAAAGAAAAAAAAAGGAAAAAAAGGGGAAGAAAUUGUCAAUAAGAUGGUGAAACAGACGACUCUGUCUUACAGGGCGUGCCCACGCCUUGCAAUUACUUAACUCAACCAAAAAAAUAAAAAAAAUUUUGGCGACACUUGCACAGUGGGUGUAGCAAAUGAAACUGCCUUAUUUGUGAAACUCCUCCGGUGAAGCAUUGUGGUUAUAUGGUGGGUUUCUGAUAUUCGAGGCACAUACCGGUUGAAUGAUCCCUGGCAUAACAAAUUCCACAAGUUGCAGCAGCCAUUCUUUCAAUAAGAGAGUUUAGUGCCUCUGAAUAUGCAAACUUAGAAAAAAAACAAGCCUCAUUGUCUUCCCUGGAAACAAAAUCCAGUCUAUCACCAAAAUCCGGAGUGUUAGAAGCCAUAAACUAUAUAAAAAAAAUAAGAGAAAAAUAAACAAAAAAAAAAUGAAAACAAGAUGAACUCAAAAAGAAACAAAUUAAUCUGACACCAGUCCCCGACAACGGCGCCAAAAAUUGACAGGGUGUCGAACCUGUGCAAUAAUAAAUACCUGCUUAAAUAAAAUAUAAUUUCUGUAGAUAGUGAUAAGCAGGGUCGAAUCCACAGGAAUUGGGGAUAAUUUAUUUCUUUAGAGUCCGAAGUAUGGGGGAUUUUUGAAAAUGAGAGUAACUAAACUACUUGGAAUAAAUUAAAAUAAAAUAAAACAACUACAACUCAAAUAACUAAUUAUCACAAUAAAAAUAAUAAUGGACGAACUCUAACCAAGAGACAACUUCGGAGAUGGUUCACUUAAUUCGAUCACAGAUGCAAGGAUUAUUCCAGUUACUAUCUGAUAAAUUAGUUAUAGUUGUCAUACACGCGAUAAACAACCAACUCUUCCUCAAUUUGUCGAAAGCCAAGGUACGACCGUUGACUAUUUCUCUAAUCAGGAAAUAACCUUAGGUACGACCAUAGAAGUUCAAUUCCCUAAUUGCAUGAAUAAUUAGAAGAGCCUAAUUCUAACCAAUCAACACGCUACGAGGGUCUCUUUAAGUUAACCUGUCUAUCUCCCUGACACAAACCCAAUCAUGCCAGUUGCCACCAGUUUAGAAUAAUUAAACAAUUACGGAUUUAACUACCCUAAUUGGUUUCAGGUUAUUGAAUUAAUCUAGAAUCCGGGCCCUGGAUAAUCGAAUAAUAAAACAACCAUAUGAACAUAAAGCAGAAGAUAGACGAAUACCAGUGAAUAAUGAAAAUAAAUAAAAACUAAUUCGAUCUCACAAAUUUAGUAGAACCAAGUCCUCCGUUGUUCCUCGACUAUAUGAGAAACUUAGCCACGCCUCAUGAGAAAAUCUCCAAGUGAUUUUACUGAGGUCCAAGCCAUCAAAGGAACUAAGAAAGAAUAAAACUAAACUAUGCUAAAAACUAAGCUAAAACUAUUGAUAAGAGCUUCUGUGUAUGUUUGUUUCUCUUUUUAAAGCCAAAUGACUAAUACCUUCCCUCUUUUCUGUGGUCCCCGCACGAAUUGAGAGUCCAAUUCCAUCUCACAAGCCUUUGUACGUUUCUUUUCCAAGAGCCCAAAUGACUCAUGCUUCUUAUCUCCGUGGUCCCACGAGAUUCCCCAAUCAAAGUCCAAAAGGUAAGGCCUCUUAAUGUUUCCUCUUUUCUCGUUUCUCAUUGCUCCUAGGACUCCUAGGAUUCAAGACACUCCUCAUCAGCAAAGGAAAUGCAGUCCGCAUCUAUCACAAUGUGGGCCAGGUCUGUGGCUUAGUUGAAGUCUCAAUUGUUUCCAGAAAGUCCCUCUUUUUUUGUAAUUUUCUGCUUCACUCCCUGAAAUUGGGUCCAAUACCAAAUAUAAGUAAAUAUUAAUAAUUAAAAUAAUAUUUGGCAAGGAUAAAAGGGAAAUUAAUAAUAAAAUAACCAAUAAUUAACACCCUAUCAGUUUCGGACAUUCUCUUGACAUAUUACCCCCUAUCUAUACCUUUCUAUCCCAUUUUUUACCUAAGCCCCAUUACAACCCUAUCAAAAUUCCUUUGAUUUGUGUAUUUAGUUCAUUUUUGAGUGGUGGAGAUGUGAUAAAUGUGCAAACUUAUGGUAAUGUCAUUCCGUGAUGUUGAUUUGAGCGUUCCUAGUAUUCAUACAUUUUUUUUGAAUUACCACCUGUCCGGUGUGUUCUAAUUUUGGCAAUAUUGUCAGGAAUGCGGGAUGUUUGAGGUAGUAUAGAUGACUAAGAAACCGUUGCUAUCUUGAUUGUGCUUCUGAGCUCCAAAAUGCUUGAGGGCAAGCAUUGUCUAGAUGUGGGGAGAUUUGAUAGAACGGUUAUUGAACACAUUUUGCACUAUUAUUCUGCCCUAAUUUUGGCUACUCAUGGUGCUAAGAAUUGGGAAUUUGCUCAUAUUUGAUAUUUGUGUAAAUUGUAGGUGGUUGGUGUUAAAAGUAAUCUUUUCAGGCAAAUUUUCAGAAGACCCUUUAUUUCAGAACGUGCCCACGCCAGAAAUUAUGGAGGGUUACCCAAAAAUCGGACCCGCGAGCUUGGUAACAGCGGGAAAACCAAUUAAGGAACCAGGUGCGUGGGAUUAGAACCCUUAGACAAAGCUUGCUCCUGAUUUGACUCCUACAAGUGGCGCUACAAAUAAGAAAACAAGCCAGAUUCACGGGGAAUCAUCUACCUUAGCUUUAGUUUUCCUUUUUUCACAUCUGUCAGACAUCAAAGACUUUUUCCUUGUUUUCUUUGGCUUUUACGUUUUGACUCUUUUGCUUUUGCUUUGGAUCUGUACAAUUUUCGUUGGCUUUGGCAUUGAACUUUCGGAUCCAGUACGGAUUCCAACGCAGAGACAAGCAAGACUUUUCACUUUUUCUUUCUUUGUUACUUCAUCGGUCCACAUUCUUUGAUGUUUGUGUGGAUGAAAUCAAUUAAAUCACGCGAGACUGAUAUGACGAGGAGCGGCUAAAUUUCCCUUCUACCUAAGGGUUAACGCAAAGGCGCGGUCCAUAACAUCUGUGAGAUCUAAUCGAAUUUUCACUAUUUCAUCCAAUUCGUUAUUAUUCAUGUGUUUCCUGGAUUAAUUGUUCGUGGGUAUUUUAUUAAUUGGGUACCAACGGUCGGAUAUUUAAUUUAAUCUAAUAGCCUACUGCCAUAUUAAUUAAAUUGAAUCCGUAAUUGUUCGUUUAGUUGACAACUAGUGGCAACCACCAUAAUUGGUUUUAUGUUGGGAAAACGCAAGAUCUAAUUUAAAUAAACCAUCUCAGCGUGUUUAUUGGUUAGGGUUGGAUUUUUCUAGUUUUAAUGCAACUGGAUAACUAAAUUUUUAUGGUCGUACGUAGGAUUGUUUUCUGGUUAGAGAAUCAGUCAAUGGUCGUACCUUGACUGUCGAAAAAGUAAGGAAGAAUUAGUUGUUAAAACUUAUUGAUAACUAUAACCAACCUAGUGACGGAUGGAUGAAAUAUCUUUGCAUCGAUGAUCAUUUAAUUGGACCGUGCCUGAAAAGUUGAUCCAUUAGGUAGAAUUUUAUUAAUUGCUAUUUUUAGUAAAUUAUACUUGUGGAGUUAUCUUAUGAAUUUUAUUUAUUUUAUUUUUGUUUCCAUCCCAUUAAUCAUCUCCCAAUUUUAUUCUAUUGACUUAGAAAGAAACAACUUCCUACCCGUUCCCUGUGGAAUCGACCCUACUUGCCAUUAUACGCAAAAUUAAUAUUUUUAUAGACAAUUCAGGUAUAUCGAACCAAGCAAACUCUUCGGGAACAGGGUGAAUCAAGUAACCCAUUGCAUACCUAGGGUCCCUGCUCUAGUACUUGGAUUUGUUUUAUAAUUAAAUAGGGACUACUUGUCCUGUAUUCAGAUAUGCCAUUGUAAUAGAACUUUAGUAUACUUAGAUAGUAUAUUAUUUAGGAUAAUUUUUUGACAAAAAUAUUGUAACAUUUUUUUUGAUAUGAUAUAUGUCAGAUAAAAAGAUGAUUGAAAAAUUUGUUGAUGAUACAAACAAAUAAAAUUUGACAAAUAAUCUACUAUCCAAACAAAGACUAGAUUUUCUAUGUGCAAAUAUGCUAGGGUAACCGAUUCACAACACAUUGUAUGAAACUUUAUUCCCCAUGGUGUUGCAUGUUAUUCGUGUUUGUUUUGGUGAUAAUUAAGCCCCAGUGAGGCCAUAAUUGAGUAGAACUUGAAGUAGAAUUUUAUUUAUUUAUUUUUGGAUAAGAUUUUAAGGGACCCAAAUGAUACAAUUUGAAGUAGUAUAUUGAAAAUUCAAGAAUUUGAUAUCUUGGUAUUUCUAGAAUUUAAAAGUUGGAUUUUAACCAAAAAAAAAAAAAAGAAUUCAAAAAGUUGGAUAUUGUGAGAAAAAUCAAGUGGGUCCAAGUUUGUUAUGUCUAUCCUACAAUAGUACAAUGAGUGGACAAUAAUAAAUAUGGGAAAAAUACACUUUUUAUCCCUAAUGUUUAAGGUGUUAACCAAUUUCGUCCCUAAAGUUUCAUGUAAAACAUAUUUCAUCCUUGUAAUUUGAUAAUUUUAACUAAUUUCUUUCUUAAAGUUUCACACGAACACAUUUCAUCCUCAUAGUUUAAUAUAUUUGGCUAAUUGAGGACAAUUAGUGGAUUGUCAAUGAUUUUAAAUAGAAUAUUGUCACUUGACCACAACAUGCCCAUUAGUAAAAAAAAAAAAAACAUUGGAUCAACAAAAAGGUUAAAAAUCUUUUCUUAAUCCACUUUCUCAUUUUGGUACCAAAAAAAAAACUUAAGAAAUUUUUAGCCACCAUUACUGUCUUCUUAAUCACAAUCGAACAAGAAGAUAUAUCUAAAGAAAAUGAAGUCAUGGAAAACAAACAACCCCACUAUAGCCAAUUGGAAAAAAAUGUCAAACAACUCCAUUACAACUAAUUGGAGAAAAAUAUUAAUGUGAAAGAAAGAAUGGUUUGAAUUGUCAUUUAUUUGCAAAAUUUUGUUUUGCUGCUGUGUAUUUUGCACCAACAGUUGUAUCAUGUAUACGUUUUUCAAUCAUCUAUUCAUCUUUCAAUCUAUUUGUUUUAUCUCAAAUGCAUUAUAUCAUAAUUUUAAAAAACAAAGAGAUAGUCUCAUAUCCAAAAACACUUGUUAAUUUUGUAAUUUAAUCAAUAACUGAAUUAAGUAUUAAUAAUACAAUUACUAAUGGGACAUGUGAUGAUAUUAUGUCCAAAUUGGUUAACAAUCAUUUAAUUGUCCUCAAUUGAUAGAAAUUAUGAAACUAUCGGGAUGAAAUGUGUUCUACAUAAAUUUCAGGGACAAUUGGUCUAAAUUAUAAAACUAUGAGGAUAAAAUAUGUUUAGAAUGAAACUUUAGGAACGAAAUUAGUUAACACAUUAAACAAUGGGGAUGAAAAGUGCAUUUUUCCUAAUAAAUAUUUUUGUUUGUUCCUUCUUCUGUCGUUCGUACUAAAACAGUCAACGGGAAUGACGCCGCUCCGAUGUUCACAAAAUAAUUGGUUGGAUUCCAAACUAGGCAUUAAAAUAAGGAAACAAGUCUAUGACUCUCAAUUUGAAGCUGUGCUAUCAUAAAUUGUUUAAGAAUACCGCUAAUGGAACACUUAUUGAGUGUGCAAUGCAAUCAAAUUUUAAUUUUUUGCAAAGUCUAAGUUUUGAAAAUUAAAUACUGGUAAAAACUAUAAUUCGUGGAAAGGUUUUAUAUUUAUUUGACAAAAUAUUUAAUUCACUUCAUAGAGGUAAGAUAUGAAUUUUUAUUCAAUGUGUAAUUGGUUUCUUUUGAAAUAAAAGGUAGUAGUUAUAUUGAGUUUAAUAUAUAUUGUGAGUAGUUGAUGUCUAAAAGUUGCAAAUUGUUUUAGGUAUAUGAAAAAAAGAGAGAUUAUAUUAGGUGUAAAAGCCAACAUAGGUGUUUUAGAGCAUUAAAGCAAGAGAAUAUUGAAAGCUUGGUUUAGGAAAUACUAUGAUAGUUUGAUCUAUUGCAUAUAAGAACGAGAAAAUAACUGUGACCACUUCCUUAUCUUACCAAAGUACAAUUAUAUUUUGUUAAAAAAAAAAUCUCCAGCAAAGGAAGGGUGAGAUUGAUUUAAGAAGCAGGGAGGAAAAAAAGAAUUUGAACUCAGAAAUUUUCACCAAAGAUGCCUUGUUCUAGUAGUUAAAGUUGAAAUUCCAAAAAUUAGAGUAUUGAGUUCAAAUCCCUCUGCUUCCUUCCCACUUUUUAAGUUCCAUGUCUCUCCUUUUUGAAAAAAAAAAAAGAAAUAGUAAAGUACACUCAUGUUAUAGUACAUCACUAUUUGGUACUUUAUAUAUCCCUAUAACAUAUAAGAAGACGUUUUGUGGGUUACUGUUCAUUGCAUUUCAUCUGCCUCCUUGGGGGUUUUUUUGUCAUUCCAGCCUCUUGCUUAUUCUUUUUCUUGGAGCUGGUACAACUGGUUGCUGCUUUGGAGAAUAUGUCUUUUCUAUCCUUAUUACAAGCCUUAGCCGGAUGUUAGUGGAAUGUUGGCUGUUUUGCAACAUUAAUGAGAUUUGAUGCUCAUUUCUAUCAGCCAACUCAUUUGCCUUGUUUAAUUACAUUUUUCUCCUUCCAAAUGCUCAUUGAAUAGACUGAGCAUUUUGAAUUCAUGUGUAACAGAGUCAUUUCACAAUAGCCUUCUACUUUUGCUAUUGAAAAUUAGAAAAUUGAGUCUUCUCUUCUCCGUGUUCUCCUGCUACAUGCAUUCAUUAUCCACAACUCUUUGUCUAUAUCCACAACUCUCCGUUCUAUCCUACUGCCUUUGUUAUUGCAUUGAAAAAUCCCAUAUCUAGGUUCUAUUUCCUUUCUGCUAAAUCUUUGUUUUCUACCUUAUUCAUGAUAUGAACUGUAAACCAUAUUUACUAUUAUUGUCAUGCUUGGUGUUAGCUUUGCAUAUUCAGUGUACAAUGGCUUCAACUGAUGCACUUGCACAUUCAACGGAUAAGAAGAUUCAUUGCAACAGAAGAUUAAGAGAAAAAUAUGCUUCCUUAUCAGUGGAAGAAAAAGAAGCUUGUCGAGCUAAAUAGAAGGAAGCUUAUCUAAAGAGGAGAGCAAGGAAAGCUGCUGCAUCGACGUCUUCUAUGAACUGACAACAAACUAACAGUAUCUUAUUCAGUUUUGCUAGAAAUGAAAGCUGUGGUAUAAAUGUUUGGUGCUUCGCGUUUAUAUUGGUUUCUUUAGAUUUCUACUUAACUAGUUUAAUGGUUGAUUAAACUUCUUUAUGUGUAAAUUGACAGCAAACUUCUGUAAUAAAUAUAUACACAUGGAGAAGAGCUGUUGAGUUUGCCUGUAUCUGAAGUUUUUGAGUUUUCUGCUUCGCUGCCUUAAUAUUGGAUUAAAAAGAAAUCUUUAUGUUUGAAUUAAAAAAAAAUCUAUAAGAGAUGCAUGCGAAUGGAGAACAGCUUCUAGUUACUGUGAAAAGCUGUGCCAAUAUUUAAAUUAAAAUUGUAAUUUGCAUUAUGCUAAACAUGAUGUAAAUUAUCAAAACCUUUUAAUUCAGGUGCACAACUUCUAGUUUCGUGUGACCUAUGACAAAAUAAUGACCACAAUAACCAACAGGCUAUUGCUAUUAAACCACUUCCACAACAGAGUAGAGACAAAGAGGCUAAUUUGCAACAAUCUAUUGCUAUCAAAUUGGUUGUGCAACAACAUAACAAAAGUAAUUCUCUGUGCAAAUGCAAUGCUGAAUUAGAAGGCAAGUUGAAGAGGCAUGUUUUCUUGACAUUUGAACAUGGUAUGCUUGCACAAGUUCAUUACUCUUUAAAUUUUCUACGCCAAGUUGUUCCCUUUUUUUUUUUUUGCUCUUCUAUGUUUAUACAUGCAUUUUUUGAUCUUAUGUUCAUAUAGGUUCUUCGUUAAAAAGACAUUAAUUUAUAAAUGUAAAAGAAUCAGUAGACUAAACGUUUCAAGUAUAUCUUGUUAUAAUCAUAUUUAUCAAUGUACGCUUCAUAUAAUAAUUUCUAUGCUUGCAACUAGUAGGUGAUCCUCCUAUAUGUGAUAGCUGCUAUAAAUUCUUGCAUGAAACAGUUGAUGAUCUUGCAGGUUGAAAUCCUUAAUCCUAUUUUUAUAAAUAUUUGCUCAAUGUCGUUUGGUUGCUAAACUUGAUUUAGGCUCUUACAGUUUCUUAUUUGCCUAAUCAGGUAUAUCUAUGACAAUAUGCCCUCAACCAGUGGAAGCCAAUGUUUCUCAUGCCAUGAAAAAUUGUCCAAAAGGUAUGCAUAUCUAAAAUGUAUCUGGAAAUGUUGUAGAAUCUAUAUGUAUGUAUAUCAGCAGCAUGAUUUUUUUACCUCGUAACUAACCAGAUUAUUGAACUACCAACUAGAGUAAGUAAGCGCAAGUAGAUUCAUUGCUCACUCGAACCCAUUCCUCUUGCUCUACCUAUUGAGUGCACAGAUGACUCGCGAAAAAAACUAUAGAGAGCGACCGAAGCUCGUCAAGCCCCGAUCCUUCUUCAGCCAUAAGAAAGCCAAGACCAGACUUGGGGAGAACUACUCUGUCCACACCUGUCCCAUUCCUUCUCUCUUCAGUAAGCGAAUCAGCCAGUAAACUUGAAUCUGUGGGUAGCACAAAAAGAGUAGCUUGGUUCCGUUUCGGUUUAUACACCAGGGCCAAAACCUUACCAUGCCAACACUCUUCCGGUUCGAUAAGACCAGCUCUUUCUAUAGCUGCAUUUCAUCUUCCCCUCAAUUGCUCUGUAGGCAAAAGCUCAAGCCAAAGGAGAUCAAACAUCCAAGCAAAGAAGGCUUGCAUGCAAAACAAGGGUAUCAUUGCUGUUUCUUUAUCUUACAUCUAUACAUAUUCAAAUAUUUAUACCUCUUUCAUAUGCACAUAAAAUAGUCAUAAAAAUGCUUUGUGUCCUAUUAUUCUACAACAUCUAAAAAUAUAGCUGGUGUAGAUGUUCUGAAUUUCAUUAACCAUAGUGCAAACCGCCUCCCUGAUGCAUUAGAUUGUAAAUAUUGUGGAUCAAAAAAAUUCUACUCAGAGACAGCAAACUUUUGCUAUUUUGAUGGCAAAGUUCUGCUCCAUGAAAAUAAGCUACCUAACAUCUUAAUUGAACUUUUUAGUGGUCAGAGCGGAGAAGCUAUACAAUUUCGAACCUAUGUCAGGACCUAUAAUAGCAUGUUUGCAUUUACUUCAUUUGGUGUUCACUAUGAAAAAUCCCUCUGCAAGAGAACAAAUGAAAUCUAUAUAUUCAAGAUACAAGGCCAAACCUAUCAUUUCAUCAAUGAACUAAUAAGGCAUGGAGGAUUAGGAAUGUAUCUUCAGCUUUAUUUUCAUGACACAGAACAUAAAAUUCAGAAUCGAUUAGCAAUAUCAAAAAAGCUGACUGAAAGUAUUGUAGUCAAACUAAUGGAAGUAAUGAAAGAAAAUCCAUAUGCUUGCUUCUUCAGGAGUUUGAGAAAUCUCCCAAACUUCGACUCAUAUCAUAUAGUUUUAAAAUCUCACUCCGACAAUGACCAGCAAGUGUUUAAUAAACCUGCUGUAUCUCAAGUUGCAGCUUUAUGGGUUAAAUGAGAAAACGCUAAUCAAGGCUAUUCUAGACACAUACAAAUAUAUACUAAAGAAGGACAUAGCCACCGCAUUCAAUAUUACUACGGCUACUGUGACCCUCUUCAGUAUUCACUACUUUUUUCAUUCGGAGAAACUAGAUGGCAUCCAGGUAUACAACAAUUAGGGAUAGACAAUCCAAAAAAGCGUAAAAGAAAGACUAUGAUACAUUCAUGUUUAGCUACAUUGUCCAGCAUUAAGUCGGCAGAAGAAAUGAUUGAUCUCGAAGAAGAAGGUAACACACAUAUACCAUUAUUAUAUAUAACUGUAUUGAAUUACAGUUAUCUCUUCUUUGACAAAUAUUCUAAAUCUUACAGCUUACAAGGCAAAUGAAAACUCCAAGGAAUAUGUAUCCAUGAUACAGUAUUAUGCAUAUAAAUUCUAGAUAAGAAAAAAAAUUGGGCCAAAUAUUUUAAACGCUUGAAGAGCUUUGCAACAGUAUUCAGUUGAUUUGUACGUUAAAAUAGAGACACAAAGACGAGAUUUUUAUAGAAGCAGACAACAGCAAAUACGUCAAGAGCAGCUACAAGGAAUUAUAGACAAUAUAAUACAGGGACAACAAAAUGGAUUUCGGAUUGAACUGCGAGUAAUAUUGCCUGCAUCAUUUAUUGGAGGCCCUAGAGAUAUGAAAAAAAAGGUAUCUUGAUACUACGACUUUGGUCCAGAAAUUUGGGAAGCCGGAUCUUUUUAUAACUAUGACUUGCAACCAAUCAUGGCCUGAAAUUAAAGAAAAUCUGUUAUAAUCAGAUGAAGCAUAGAAUAGGCUUGAUCUUAUUCCUCGUGUGUUCUAUGCAAAGUUAGAAAUUAUAAAGGAAGAGUUAUUCAAGAAGCAAAUAUUUGGAGAAAUAGUAGCCUAUACUUAUGUUAUAGAAUUUCAGAAACGUGGUUUGCCUCAUGCUCACUUUCCAAUUAUCCUCAAGCCUACUUUCAAAUUAUAUACAAUAGAAGAUUAUGAUUGUAUAGUUUUUGUAGAAAGACCCGAUGAAACACAAAUGAGCAUCUCUUUAGAAUGGUCAAGAAACAUAUGAUGCAUAGGCCGUGUGGCGAGAAAAAAACCUGAUACUGUAUAAAUACAGGAUGUAUCAAAGAAGUAUUGCAAGAAUAAUUAUCCAAAGGCAUGGGCAGAAAAAAUUAGACAUUCUUCGAACUCGUAUCCAACAUACAGAAGAAGAAAUGAUAGCAAAAAAAAUUUUAUCCGGGGGCACUACUUAGACAACAUAUGGGUAGUGCCAUACAAUGCUUAUCUAUUGGCCAAAUUCAAUUGCCAUAUAAAUGUUGAAAUUUGCUCCACAAUUAAGACCGUCAAGUAUGUGUAUAAGUAUACAUACAAAGGUCAUGCAAGGAUACAUUUUCAAGUGAAUUCAGGUGAUGGAGCAAAUGCUAUUGAUGAAAUCAAGGAAUAUCAGUCAGCACAGUAGGUAUUUGCAGUUGAAACGAUGUGGAGGAUAUAUAGAUUUCACCUUUACGAAAUGCAGCAUACUGUAAUAUAGCAUCAACUCCACCUAGAAAACUUCCAAUCUAUGCUCUUUCAACCAAAUGAUAGUCUUGACAAUAUAUUAAGUAACAAUUUUGUAAAAAGAAACUCACCCAAUUUUUUUAAAUGAAUGCUACAGAUAAUUUAACAAAAAGUUUCAAAUGUACCUACAAAGAAUCCCUCGAACAUUUUGUGUGGUAUCCAAGUUCCAAAUCUUAGCAACCUAGCAACAAAGAGAUUUUAUCAGUAGAGUUGUUGCAGCAAAUCCCCUUGAAAGUGAACGGUACUUCUUAGGACUCCUUUUACUGCAUGUUAAAGCCCCAACUUCUUAUGAUGAUUUAAAAACUGUAAACGGAGUGCAUGUUACUACAUUUUGGGAAGCAGCUGCACUUAGAGGAUAUCUGGAAUCAAAUAACUUACAAGAACAAUUUCUAGAAGAAACUAUUGUUUAUCAUAUGCCAUAUAGCCUAAGGAUGUUGUUUGCAACAUUAUUGGUUUACUUUACUCCCUCAAACCCAAGAACACUAUGGUUGAAAUUUGAAGAAUCAUUGUCUAAAGAUUACAAUGGAGUCCCAAACUUAACCAAAAAUGAUAUUCAAUUUAAAGUUUUACAUCAAAUAAGCAAUUUUUUAGAAUCUAUGGGUCGUAACAUAAACAGCUAUGGGCUGGUGCCAAGAGUACUAAAAUUUCACGACUCAAAUCACAAAUGCAAGAGAUACAAUUAGUGAAACAGAGAUUAAAGUUUCAGAGGAUGACUUGAUAUCAAUUACUAAAAUCAAUCCUGGUCAAAAAACAGCUUUUGAUGCUAUAAUGCAGGCGUUAUACAUUAAACAAAAGGGAUGUUUCUUUAUCGAUGGACCAGGUGGCAAACAGCUCACUCUCAAAUGAGUAAACAAAGUGAACUUGCUAAACUUAUUCAAACAGCUAAACUUAUCAUUUGGGACAAAGCUCCAAUGGCACACAAAACUAGUAUAGAAGGUGUGGAUGCACUACUAAAAGAUUCGAUGGAUUCUUCUGAAUUAUUUGGCUCAAACGUUAUGAUUUUUGGUAGUGAAUUUAGACUAGUUCUCCCCAUUGUCACUAAAGGUUCAAAGGAAGAUUUCACAUAAGCUAGCUUAGUAACUUCACAUAUUUGGCCAUAGCUUCAUAAACUGUACCUCACAGAUAAUAUGAAAGCAAUAUCAGACCCAAAAUUUACAAAUUACCUUCUCUGAAUAGGAAAUGGACUAGAACCAACAAUACAAGGGUUGAAAGUAAGGAUCCCUCUCCCACUACUAAUACCAUACAAAAGUGAAACAGAAUCAAUUUUUGAACUUAUUAAAAUAGUUUACCCAAAUGUGUUAAAUAAUUUGUUAAUUGAAAUUUUUUCAGGUGAGUCUCAAAAUUAUAUUAGUCGUGAUAAAACACAUGAAAUUUCAGAACAAGGCCAAUUUGAAGACUUUCUCAACAAAUUAACAUCCAAUGGUUUCCCCCUCCCACACAAGCUUAUUCUGAAACCAAAUUGCCCAAUAAUUCUUCUAAAAAACAUUGAUCCCCCAGAAGGCUUGUGCAAUGGAACAAGGUUAAUAUAUAAAAUUUUGACUAACAAUAUUAUUGAUGCGGUUAUAAGUGCUGGAGAAUUCAAAGGUAAACAAGUCUUUUUACAUAGAAUAUCUUUCCAAAUAGAACAUGAUACUGAUUGCCCGAUGUCAUUUGAAAUACUUCAAUUUCCUGUGCGUCUAUGUUUUGUGAUGACAAUUAAUAAAGCUCAAGGUCUAACUUUAGAUUCCGUUGGCAUAUACUUAUGUGAACCAAUUUUUUCACAUGGCUAACUAUAUGUUGCUUUAUGAAGAGUAAAAAAUAACAAUUGUGUAAAGAUUCUUAUACAGCCUUCUCCCUUUGAUCCAACAGUUGACUAUGCUACUAAUAACAUAGUAUACAAAGACAUUUUAUAGCUUGCAAGUCGCCACCUUUUAUAAUUAUUGAUUACAACAUUAUGACAUUCAUAUCCAUUGCACUUCUUCCCUAUACCUUUUCUGCGCAGCUAUAUUUCUGCACUAAUAAUAGCUUAACACCCAAUGGUUUGUCAUGCAUUGCUCUAUAUUUCACUUGCUUUUAUACUUUGUUAACCUAUAAAUAUGCAAGAAUCAAUGCUGCUAAUAGUUUAGCUGGACCUUCUUAAACUAAUAUUUAUCACUGUAUAUUUAUCUGGUAGCAUUAUACUGAUUCUCCAACAAUUACUGAUUAUCAUUCAUUUAGCCAAAAUACAUUAGAAAAAGCUAUCUUCAUAUUACAACAAAAAAUAAAGAUUAGCCAAAAAAAUUAUGAUUUAUUAUCUGUAACGCCUUCCUUACAUAGCAAGUCACUCAAGGUGUUUAAAAUAACUACUAUAUGAUUUUCUUUAGAAUAACUAACUUUGGCUAAUUUCAAUUUAAUUUGAACAGGUACUAUUUGAUUCUUCUAAAUGUGUUUUUUUACAAAUGACUAUUAUCUCUUUUUGUCAUGCUUAAUCUUCUUGUAGUAAAGUACUUAUUUUUCCAUGCUGAACAUUGAUGUCCUUUUAAUAAAUGAUAAAAUGUUGUAUAUGCAUAUAUAUUUUUCUGCCAUAUAUGAUUAUCUUCACGCCUCUGCCUUAUGUUUAAGCUUCAAAAAUUCAUAAUGCCUAGAUAUCCCUUGAGCUUGAAAUAACUGCGAUCUGUGACAAAGAUGAACUCCUUUCCAUAUUGAAGCAUAUAGACACAACUUGCUAUCUCUUACUCUUGUGUUACUUUGAGAGUUCAUGUUUUGUUCUAUUGAUUUGUGCUUACAUAUUCAUAACUGCAUCCUAUAAUUCAAUUUGUGGUUACACAUAAGGCAUCCAGGCUUUCUACAAGCUAUGUGAUCCUAAAUUCUAUGUUAAACGACAGAUGUCCAAACAUCUAAGACAUUACCAUCUCUACAUCUUCGCUGCCAGCUACCACUGCUUCAAUUCUUGAGUCAAUUUCCAUUUGAGCCACUAGCCCUUCUGAGUCAAUUUCUAUCUAUUACCGAAUACUUGCCAACCUUUCAUUUUCUCCAGACGCCCUAACAAUAAAGAAGCAAACCAUUUUCAAUCUCACUCAUUUGCAUAGACAGCAAAAUAAGGCAAAAUGGGUUAAGAACCUUCUCACCCAACUUCAGUCCUUCUUUUCCUUGAUCUACAAAGCAAAAACUUCAAAAAUUGUUUGUGCAAUUGUUGAUACGCUGACCAAAAUACUUGGUACAUUUGAUCUUCAGAUUGCCCUAUGCAAGGAAAUUGUACAAUGAAUGCAUAAUGAGAACCAAACUUUCCUCUGUCUGUGCACUAAGGCAAAACUCGCAACUCUUUUGAUGGAGAACGAGGAGUAUUCUGAAGCUCUAACUCUCCUUUCUUACACAUUAGAUAACAUUAAAUAACAAAUUGCUUUUCGUAGACAUUAGAUUGUUAAAGAGGAAGCUUCAUUACUCUUUCAAGAAUCUAUCUAAGACCAAAGCUGCACUUAUAGCUAUAACAAUACAUACUAUUUGAACAUUUACUAUUUCAUUCUCAUAAACAUUAGAACUUGUAGGCUCUUAUUAUCUCUUUAGUUACACAAUUGCUCGAGUAGUUCAGUAUUUCACCAUGAGUCUCCAACUGUUCCGCUGAAGUUGAUCUCAAAAGGUUUCAAGGUUCAAAAUUGGCUAACAAGAAAAGAAAGCUUACACAUUGAAAAAUAUUCUGUUGAAUAAGUAAUGCCUUAUGUGUAUUUCCUAUCACCUUAGCAUUGAGUUAAGCUUAUGCUUCAUUUAUGGUGCAAAUAAUGUCAAAUCUUUUGCAAAUAAUGCUUCAUUUAUUGAGUUAGUUUAUACUUUUACAACUGUCCUUAGGAAAUGUUCAAAAAAUAGAGGUUAAUGUUCAUUGCAUUUCAUCUACUCUCCUCGAGGGCACUUUUGUCAUUCCAGCCUCUUGCUUCUUCUUUUUCUUGGAGCUGGUACAACUGGUUGCUGCUUUUGUUUGGAGAAUAUGUCUUUUCUGCCCUUAUUACAAGCCUUAGUCGGAUGUUAGUGGAACAUUGGCUAUUCUAUAGAUGCUCAUUUUCCUCCUUCCAGAUGCUCAUUGAAUGGACUAAGCAUUUUGAACUCAUGUGUAAUAGAGUCAUUUCACAAUAGCCUUCUAUCUUGUACGAGAUGUUGACACAAGCUUGAACUAGCUUGUCAGUUAUUGCUUUUUUUUUUUAUAGCAAGAUACACAUAAUUCUUGCAAUUUUAUAACAAGAAACUCACACUAUUUUUAGCGAUUCUAUUGCAGGAUUACCAGAGAAGCUAAGUAUGAUUAAUGUCUCUAGCAUUAUGGUCAAUGUCUUUAGCGCUUGACAUCAUUUAAGCUAACAAUAUUAAUUUCAGCUGAACGUUGAUGUCCUUUUAAAAAAUGAUAAAAUGUUCCAUAUGCAUUUUUUUCUACCAUAUAUAAUUAUAUUACCAUAUAUAAUUAUAUUCAUAGCUCUACCUUGUGCUUAAGUUUUAGGGAGCCGUAAUACCUAUAUGUGCCUUCCUACUUAGUUUUAGCUUAUGAAAGUCAAGAUAUAUUAAAUAAUAAUAUAUUAUGUGUCAAAGAAAAACUUCUUUCCGCAUUGGAGCAUACAGACAUAACUUGCUACAAGAGCUAUUAAAUGGAACGAGCAGCUCGAAAGCUCGAUUGAGCUUGACUCGAUAAGGCUCGAGCUCGACUCGUUAAUUGUGAUAAACGAGUCGAUCUCGAGCUCGAGAUAUGCUCGUUUAAUUAACAAGCCGAAUAAACUCGACUCGUUUGUUAUCCGAAUAGCUCGAUUAGGCUCGAUAAGGAAGGGUGUAUAUGUCAUUUCACAAUACAACAGUAUAAAAUUAAAAAUUAUAAGUUUUUAUUGAGAUCAAUUUGCAAGCUCGGCUCGUUUGUGAUAAAAGAGUCGAGCUCGAGCCCCACAUGUCCCAUUUGGCGAGCCGAGUCCAAACACAUUUCAAAACUCUUCCGCCUAGUCGAGCGAGCUCGAGUUUGGCUCGAGUCGAGCUCGACAACCAAAUACUCAACUUGACUUGGCUCGAUUAGCAGCACUAUUUGCAACCUCUUAGUCUUAUGUUAGUUUCGCAGUCCAUGUUUUCUUCUACUGAUUUCUACUUGCAUUUGAUAUCAGAGCCUAGAACUUCAUGUGGUGAAAGCAGUUGCUGAUGCUAAUUCAUUGUAUGACACUUUCAGUAUUUCCUCCAUUCUAUUCUCUUGUUGCAUACUAUUGUGUUUAUACAUUUAUUCUAUUUAUAGAUUGUGUAUACAACUUUCGCUUUGCUGCUAUUAUCUAUUUCUUAUCUUCAAUUUCUUUUCUCUUAUGAUAGGUUGCAAUUUUAUCAUUUAUUUUAUUAUUAAUUUCCCUUAUUACCUGACCCAAUGUGGAUUAAUUAUUAAAUUCUACUCAUUUUUAGUAUUUUACAUUUAUUUCAGGGAGUAGAACGAAAAUAUGAUAACAAGUGUCAAUUUGACUGAAAAAGAGUCCAAAUAAUAGAGCUUAUCCCAAGGGCAUUUUUGGAACAAAUAGAUGCUAGCCCUUUUCGGUAAUUUUGUCGAAGACAACAUGGAAAAAGAACCAAAGGGCUGAAGUCUUCUUGGGAUUGCAUGGGCCGCCGCCGCACAGGAGCCAAGCUUUAGAAUGGCUAGGUAUUAGAUGGAAAGAAAAACGCAGAGAACAAGCACUAUAAAAGCUUAGCCGUGAACUUUUCCUUUCAUCUUUAGUUCCUCUUUGACUUUUCUUUUCGGUAUUUUUUGUCCUUUAGUAGCUUUGCUCCCUGCGCAUGUCAGGGAGAAUUAGGAAUUAGCUAUCACUUCUGGUAGUUUGUUUUUCUUAUCGACUGGGACGAAUUGAAUCUUCUUAACUCUCGGAGACGAUGGCCGAGACUCUUGUUUCAAUUUUGUGUGGAUUUUGUUCAUCAAUUAUGAACUAAUUUCCUCACUCUAGUCAAGGGACAACGGAUGCUUUGGGUCGCCUAAAAUUGUGAGAUCGAUUUAAUUUUAUAUUUUCUUUUUAUUUAUUGGUAUUCGCAUAUUUCCUGGUUACAGUGCUUAUGAUUGUUUAAUUAAUUGAUUGUCUUGGGUCCGGAUAAUUAGUUAAUUUGAUAAUCUAUUGUCAAUUGGGACGUUAAAUCCGUAAUUGUUUAAUUGUCUCAAAAUAGUGAUAACUGGCAUGAGUGGGUUUGUGUCAGAGGAAUAUGCGGGCUAAUCUGAAAUAACCCUGGUAAUGCGUUAUUUGGUUAGAAUAGGGCUCAUCUAAUACGUAAGGCAAUUGGAGAAUUAAAUUCUAUGGGCGUACCUAGGAUUAUUUCUCAAUUAGAGUAGUGAUUAACGGGCGUACCUUAAUCACCGACACAGUAAGGAGGGGUUGACUGUCAUCGCUUAUUUGGUAGUUAUAACCUAUUUAUUGAUAAAUAAUUGAAAGUGCCUUUGUUUCGAUGAUCAAUUAGGUGAACCAUUGCUGAAGUUAUUCCUUGGCUAGAUCUUUGAUUAAUUUUACCUUGAUUUUAGUAAAUUGCCAUUUGACUUUUAGUUGCCUAUUUUAUUUUAUUUUUAAUUGUCUUCUUGUUCUAAUUGUUUUGGAUCAUUAAUUAUUGUUACGUUAAGUUUAGUGAAUUGCCGUUUAAUUUCUAGUUAGUAUUUAUUUUUAUUUACUUAUUGGAAUUUAUUUGAUUGUCGUCGUUCCUACAAAAUUACCCCCUUGUGUUACCUUGGAUUUCUUAAGAAAUAAAUAUACCCAAUUCCUGUGGAUACGACCCUACUUGUCCUGUCUACAAAUUCAUAAUUAUUUGUGAGAAAAAAUAACCAUCCCAUUCGGGUAUAUCCGAUCAAGCAAACUCUUCGGGAACAGGGUGAAUCAAAUAACCCAUUGCACACCUAGAGUCCCUGCUCCAGUACUUGAAAUUGGAUUUUGGUCAUUUUAACUGGCAAUUAGGUUUAAUUUUACUAUUGUACAGGCCUCGACGCUCUGUCAAUUUUUGGCGCCGUUGCCGGGGACUGGCGUUAUUAUUUGUUUCUUUUAAAUUCAUUCUUGUUUUAAUUUUCUAGUGCUUUUCUAGUGUAUGCCUCGGUCUUCUCGUACAGGUGAUUUGAUUUUUGACCCUGAAGUAGAGAAGACUGCGCAUAGAACGAGAAAGAAAACCAGACAGUUCAAAAAGGAGCACUCCAGUGCUGCAUCUCAGAGACCUGAGCCAGAAGUUGAACCAAUAGAUUUGUUUGAUGACACUUCAAGUGACUCUGACUAGGAGAAAGGAACCAUGGCUAAUGCACGAAUAUUAAGGGAGUUGGCUGCUCCUAACUUAAAUCAGCAGCCUUUGUGCAUUACUUUCCUAAAUUUAGAUGAUAGCAUUCCAUUUGAAUUAAAAUCUGGCCUAAUUCAUCUUUUACCUUCCUUUCAUGGUUUACCAGGUGAGGAGCCGUAUAAGCAUCUGCAGGAGUUUGAUGUUGUGUGCAACAGUAUGAAACACCCGGAAAUCACAGAAGAGCAAAUAAAAAUGAGGGCAUUCCCCUUUUCCUUGAAGGAUUCUGCAAAGGACUGGCUGUACUACCUGCCACCAGGUAGCAUUACCACGUGGGACUAAUUAAAGAAAAAUUUUUUGGAUAAAUAUUUUCCUGCGUCCAGGACUGCAAGUCUAAGGAAAGAAAUUUGCGGGAUCAAGCAGCACCCAGGGGAGUCACUCUAUGAGUAUUGGGAGCGAUUCAAGAAGUUGUGCAACAAAUGCCCUCAGCACCAGAUAAGUGAGCAGUUGCUCAUACAGUAUUUUUAUGAGGGCUUCUUUUCAGAGAUAGGAGCAUAAUUGAUGCUGCAAGUGGAGGGGCACUGGUGAACAAAACCCCUCGGAAAGCACGGGCGUUAAUAAAGGGGAUGGCAGAGAAUUCGCAGCAAUUUGGUACGAGGGAGGAUGCUCCGAUACGCAAAGUGAACGAGGUAGAGACAUUCUCUAUCCAGUAGCAGUUGACUGAAUUGACUUCUUUUGUUAGACAACUGGCUAUAGGAAAUGCAUAUCAGGUCAAGGUGUGCGGGUUUUGCACUGGUAUGGGUCAUUCUACAGACAUGUGCCCAAUGAUUUACGAAGAAAGUGCAGAGCAAGUGAACAUGGCUGGUCACGCGUCCGCGCCAAGAAGGCCCUAUGACCCCUAUUCAAGUACCUACAACCCUGGUUGGAGGGACCACCCUAACCUCAGUUAUGGAGGGAACAGGCAGACUAACUUCGUGCCAAAUAAAUAACAAGGGUACCAGCAGCAGAACCAACCUCGACCAGCUCCGCCCCCAAGCUCUGGUCCAUUUUUGGAGGAAAUGAUGAAACAACUGAUGGCAACCAUUACGCAAAAUCAGCAAAGGACGGACUCUGAAAUGCAGGAUAUAAGGAAUCAAAUGAGUCAAAUGGCCACAAAAAUCAACCGUUUGGACUCCCAAGUAAAUGGAAGAUUGCCAUCCCAACCUGAACUGAACCUGAAGAACGUAAGUGCAAUGACUUUAACGAGUGGGAAGGAAAUUCAGGGGCCCGAACUUGUGACUCCAAAGGAUAAGGACGAAGAGAAGAUUGAGAAAGAACUUCAAGCAGAGAAUACAAGUACCAAAAAUCCAGUGGUACUCCCUGAUCCGAUCAUAGACGUUAAAACUAAUCCCACUCCAUUUCCUUGCAAGUUGGAGAAAUCGAAGAAACAGGACAAUGAGAAAGAGAUCUUGGAGGUGUUCUGCAAGGUAGAGAUCAAUAUUCCCUUACUAGACACCAUCAAGCAAGUGCCGAAGUAUGCAAAAUUUCUGAGGGAUCUAUGUGUCAAUCGAAAGAGGCUGAGGGAAGAUGAAAGAGUUAUUGUUGGGGAGAAUGUGUCAGCAGUUCUCCAAAGAAAACUCCCACCAAAGUAUGGGGAUCCAGGUAGAUUUACUGUCCCAUAUAAGAUAGGUAAUACUCUGAUUAGGAAUACCCUGCUGGAUUUAGGAGUAUCGAUCAACGUAAUGCCUAAAUCUAUGUAUGCUUUUUUGAACCUCGGUCCAUUAAAAAAAUCGAGAUAAUAAUUCAAUUAGCUGACCGAACAAAUGCAUACCCUGAUGGGUUGGUAGAGGAUGUGCUGGUUAAAGUUAAUGAAUUGAUAUUCCCGGCUGACUUUUAUGUACUUGACAUGGAUGAUGAUCAUUCCCCUAACCCCUCACCUUUGCUACUAGGUAGACACUUUUUGAGCACAACACAGACAAAAAUUGACGUUAAUAAGGGUACAUUGUCCAUGAAAUUUGAUGAAGAACUAGUCCACUUUAAUAUUUUCGAUACAAUGGAACAUCCUGUUAACUCUCACCCUGUGUUUGCUAUUCAUGCUAUUAAUCCCUCUGUGCAAGAAUUUUCUGAAUUUGCUUGUAGGGAUAAAUUCAAAUUUAUUGAGAACAAGUAUAAGGGGAUGAAAGUAUUGUAUGAGGUGAAAAGGAGUAGAAAAUUAAGAAAGAAAGCUGCACUCAAAGGCUAUUUGGAUCCUGGAGGAGGGCCACCGAUUUCCAGGAAAAUUGAGUUACACCCAAAUUGAAGAGUGGUGUUCAAUGUCUAGCCAAACACAUUAAAAAAAGGCGCUCAUUGGGAGGUAACCCAAUUGUUUCUUUUAAUUGUUUGUUUGAUUUCGUGUGAUAGUUUAAAUAUGUUUUCCUUGAAUUUGACUGAUUUCGGGUUUCAAUUUUCGUUUUUGAUGAUUUGUAGGUGUCCUUCUAUCAUGACAUGCCCGCGUCAUGACGUAUGGAGAGCUCACGGUCAGAAUCGUCAGAAGGGAUUCCUGCCCUCAUGACGCGCCCGCGUCAUAACGUAUAGAAAGCUCACGAUCAGAAUCGUCAGAAAGGGUUUCAGUCCUCAUGACGUGCCCGCGUCAAGUCCCAUGAAGAGCUCAUGAUCAGAGAGCUCUCUUGCUCUCAUGACGUGCCCGCGUCAAGUAACCUGAAAAGCUCUUCACUCCGUGCCUUCGUCACAUGCCCACGUCACAUUCGCGGGAAAGGUAAGUAUUCAAAAAAAAACUCAAGAACGAUUAUUGAUUUCCUGUUAAUCUCUACUUUUGAAUUCCAAAAAUAAAUUUUGUUAAUAAUUAAAAAAAAAGAUGAUAUAUGUAAAAAAAAUUCCAAAAAAAAAAAUUUUCAAGUAAGUAACAAGGAGAAAAAAAAAAGGGGAGUCUUUCCGUGAAAAAAAAAAAAAUUUCUAAAAUGAAAAAAAAAACGAAAAAGCAAAAAAAAAAAAAAGCAGAAAUACUAUUUUCUUUUUCUUUUUCUUUCUUCCCUAUUCUUUCUUUUCUUUCCUUUUCUUUUUUCUUCUUUCGAAUUUGUGGUUCAAGGCAUGUUGUGGAGAGCACAAGGCAUAUUUUCCUCAAUUUGAACCAUACUUCAGGAAUUAAAAUAAUUUUUUCUUUUUUUAUUUUUCUUUCAAUUUAUCUAAUUUUUAAUAUUCAUUUUUAAGAUUUAAAAUAAUUAUUGAUUCAAAACUAUUAUGGAAGCAAAUAUAUGGUUUUUAUAAAAUAAUAAACAAAAACUUUUUUCUAUUUUUUUGGAUUGCUUCAAGGUUAAUAAAAUAAAAAUAUGUUCUUUUUUUAAUGCAGCAUGGCCUCAAUAAGGGCAUUUUCGGUAUUAAGGGGAUUUUUGUUAAAUGUUUAAUCAUUCAAAGGGUGAGACCGUUAUUUGGACAAAUUACAGGGAUUAAUUGGUAAUAUGGUCAAAUCUCAGGGGAGGUAAAUGUAAUUAACCCUAUCUUUAGUUAUGAUAAUCCGCUUGCGAUCAUUACUGAUUUCACAAUCACUGUCUUUGGAUACCAUUCUAUGAAACAUUUCCAGUUUUUUUUUUUUUUCUACUUGUAAUUGAAGAUAAUUUCCACAGAACUAGUCAAUAAUAAUCCACCAUCAACUGUGAGAAAGCAAAACACCUACAAAUCAAUUGCAAGUGCGAAGGCUCUGAUUUGGUGCUGAAUUGGGCACUUAUUCGUGCCAAUUCAAUCCUAAAUUUUCCUUCCCCAUUCUUCAACCUUUCAAUAUCCAGUUACAAGAAGAACAAAAAAUAGUGAACAACCAUCAAUUCAGUUUUGGCAUUUUUCCAACAUGCUUGCUUGAUUGCUAUGACCGUAGGGCAGUUUCCUUUUUCCGUUAAUCUAAUUCCGUGAUGGGUCAAUAGAAAAUUCAUCCGAAUUCAGUCUUUCUCACGUAAGAAGAAUAUAUGAUUACAAAUGACCAAAUAAAUUAAAGAGGGACAAAUUCAAGAAGACCAAUAAUAUAAAAAUUCCAAACAUCCAUAGGUUGCACACAAUAAUUCUCACAAAUUUUAAGUUAUAAAAAAAGAAAUUUUGCAAAGGAGGGCCCUACUUCGAUGCUGGCACCGUGACGAUGAACUGCCAGAUUGGGGUCUCUUUCAUGUUUUGGUUUAUCCUUUUUAGGGUUGUUAAAAAUUAAAUUUGGGGAGAUAAGGUUGACGAUUGAUGAAAUCUGAUGAAGAAAGUUGUUUUUUCUAUGGCAUAUUGAAGAAUGGUGGUAUAUUCGAUCAAUGGUAUCCAAUAGUCUUGAAAUAGAAACACAAUUUUUUUUUUAUUUAAAAGAGACUUUUGUUUGUUUUUUAAAUUGAUAUGCAUCACAAAGUGUAUCCUUUUUAAGUUAAUUUUGAGCAAACCUCUAAUGAGUUCCUUUGUGAAAAUUUCAUUUAAUAAAUCCAUAUUGAAAUGACAAAGCCUUCUAUUCCGCAGUUAAGGAUCAUCAUUUGUAACCUUAAGACACUAAUCUUACUAUCAUCAAUUUUUCAAGAUAUAUCACAUAAAUAUCAUUGUAUCUUUUGCCUUUGAAUACAACAUUAAAAUUAGUAUCAAGAAUCAAAUAUUCAUGCCUUUUAAACAAUACAUAAAGAUAUCUAUCACAUAAUUGAUUAACACUGAACGAAUUAUAGCUUAAGUUAUGAACCAAAACAAUAUUUUGAAUGAAAGUGUCACCGUUUUUGUCAAUAUCUCCUAUUCAAAUGGUUUUAACCUUCAUGUCAUCUCUAAAGGUGAUCUUUUCACUACUUUCUAGCUUGAACUUGAUGAAUAGAGGUGGAAUACCAGUCAUGUGCCUUAAACACCUAUUAUCAAUGAACCACUUUAAUCCUUUAGUGGUGUUCUUCAAGUAUACCUAUAUAUAAAAAUCAAGAAAUGAUAUUUGGUACCUUUUUAUUAUUUGAUCCGUAAUUGUUAGUACAAGAUUUAAAUAUCCACAUGCUAUUAGGAAUACUAAUUUCUUAUCCAAGUGGUUUCUUUCCCAACAAAUCUAGUGAAUUAUAAAUAAGACAUUAUUUAGGAUGUUUUCUAGAGAGAGAGAGUGUAGAAAAAUUUGUUAGGUUUUCUACAAUGGUUUUACUUUUUUUUACGAUUUGAGAUUUCAAUAAUAUUGUGAGUUGAUUAUUUUCUUCUCUCCUACACUUUUUUUGAACGUCUAUUUUAUCCCUUCAAUCCUAUAACCCUACACACAUUGGUUAUUAUUAAAACCCUAAAAUUUAGGUUCCACAGAUCUCAGAUGGUAGAGGAUUCCAAUGACUAGAGAAAACUAGGAGUUCUGUACGGAACGGAAUAUUUCAAUGAACAUCUUUUUUUAGGUGUUAAUGGAGUUUAUUAUAUGGCAAAUUACACUUUACCCUGUGAUUUAGUGUUUUUCUACAUAACCCCCCUAUAGUUUCAAAAGUUAUACAUAACUCCCUCAUGAUUUGGAUUAAAGUGUCAAAGUGACGGAAAUGAGUAUUCAUAACGGAGUCAUUUAAAAUGUCAAAAAUAUCCUUAUGUAAAAUUGAAAAUUAUUUGUUAACCAAAGGGGGUUAUGUGUAUAUUUUGAAAAUCAUAAGGGGGUUAUAUGAUAAAGUAUUAAACUAUAAGUGAGUUAUAUAGUAAACUAUAAAAUCAUACGGGGUUAGUGUAUCAUGUAUUUAUAAAGGUAACUUUGACGUUUUUAAAGAUUCUGUUACGAAUGAUAAUUUCCGUUACUUUGACACUUUAAUUUAAAUUGUGAGGAGGUUAUAUAUAAUUUUUGAAACUAUAGAGAGAUUAUGUGAAAAAUCGCUAAAUGAUAGGAGAGUAAAGUGUAAUUUGCCCUUUAUUAUAUAGUUAGUGUGUUUUGGUAACUCUUUAGUGAUUUGACAAUGCAUGUGUUGGGUUUAGUGGUCGUUUUGUCCUCUGCUACUUUCGGGUGAAUUCUUGUUUUUUCAAUAAUAUCGUGUUUUAUCAAACAACAUCGAAUCAACAAUAGCUAUAAAUAUCUUGACUGAUCAUGCCGACCGUACUACUAUCAUCUUUCUGUCUGUAUCAUAGAGAGUGUUUGGAUAGAAUAUUAUUUGAAAUGUUAUUGAAAAUAAUUAAUGUAACACUUUUUGUAAUAUAAUGUAUGUGAGAUAAAAAUAUAAUUAAAAAUAUAAAAAAUAGAUUGAGAAAUAUGUUUAUGAUACAAAUAAAAUAUUAUUUAACAAAAUUGAGUUAUCACGGCUCAAGUGGGGGCUAUUGCCCCUACUUAAGUUUUAAAAAAAAAAAACUCUAUAAACAAAUUUAGACACUCUCUAACUCAAAAUCGACAUUUCUGUCUUAUUAAAAUAGAUAAAUAGACAGGUAUAGUGGCCUUCUCCUCAUUUUCUUCUUAUCUUCUAGUAGCGACAUCCAUGGACCAGAUUGAAAAUAUAAUGCUGUUUUUAUGCGUUUUGCCGUUUACAUGAGCUUUGAUACCAAAAUGACAAAACACAUAGGCCCACCAUUGGCUCCUUUUCAAGUAUUCCUUAAAAACUUUCGAAUUAUCAUCGCUAAAUGAACAGGGCAAAGUUGGGAUAUUGAGCAGAUUUCCUUCUUUUUUUCUAACAUUUUCUUGACGAAAGCAGAUUUCCUUCUUCAAUGCUUUUUCUUUUUAGCUGAUAAGACGUUUAUGUUGAAAAAUUGCUAUUGCUACUGAUCGAGAUGCGGCGCGACAAAUAGGUUGGGAAGGAGGUAAUAAUAAUUAGUACGUGCUCCAAUGCAAACACAUGUGAGUAGACACGGAAAUAACUAUUUUAUUGAGUCUCAAAUAUUCAGCGAAUUUCUAGAAAUAAUACUAAAUUUAGAAAAUUUUCUCCACUUAGAGUUGCCGUAUUUUUCAAAUGUAGCAACAACAAAACAGUAUUUUUAUUUUGAAUUAUUUUUUGGUGUCACAAAUGCGGCGACAAUUAAAGAGUAUUUUUUUUGAAUUAUUUUUUGGUGUCAGAAUGACUAAAAUUUUUUAUUUUUUUAUACAUCUUCGCGGGCGACUGUGAAAAUGACCAUUUGGAUGCGGCGACACCAAGAUGUGAGAAGUCUUAACCGUCAAGUUUCUUUAUAUUAGAUCUAAAUUUUAUCAGAUUUGUUGUUGAAGCUGAGAUUUCUUAGAUCUAUCUCGUCGGAUCUCACUUUAACAUUAGGCUUAAAUCACUUCAUUAGCAUAUCUCGGAGGAAGCAAACGGUACAUUUGAAAGUAUUUUUGAGACUAUAAGUGCUUUAUUAUUCGAUAUUUUUCGAGUUCUGCAGUACAAUUAUCUAGUAUAUAUUUGAAAGUAUAUUUUGUUGGUUUUUCAAAACUGUAAUAUCUAGUAUUUGUUCUUCGAAUAUGUUGCCACUAGUACGGAUUUGAUAAAAUGAUGAUGAUUUUAUCCCCAAAAAAAAGACUAUAGAAUUAAGCCCGUACAAAUGCUUGGGCGGGGGGGGGGGGUUGUGUAGGCAGUGGGUAGUAAAAGGUUGUGGACAAAAUUGAAGAAAACAAAUUAGUAGGGCACAACGUGACAAAGUUUUUCAUAAAGUAUAAGACCAUCAACGAACAGGUAUUGUGAAGUGAAAUGAAAGAGACCUUGAAAACUUAUCCUCCUUAAAAAAAAAAAAAAAAAAAAAAAAUUAUCUUCACAAAAAUUUCAAGGUCAUCCAGCCUGCAACAUUCAUGUUUGCAUUGAAGAUUGUUCAUGUGUCAAUCACGAGUCUUUGUCUAUAUCUCCUUGUGCCAUGAGACUAUAUAGGGCCAGUUUGGAACCUGAGUUUUUUGGAAGUUUGUUUAAAAUUUUACUGUAGUGCACUGUAGAAAUUUUUGAAAAAUUUUUGUAAAAGUUUUUGCAAGGUGAAAAACUUUUUUUUCUUUCAUUUUCUCUUUCUAUUUCUAUUUCUAUUUCUUUCUUUCCUUUUUCUUUUCUUUCCUCCCUUCUUCUUCUUCUUCUUCUUUUUCCUUCCCCCUCCCCCUUCCCCGUUACCUCUGUCUCCCACCUCCAGCACCUCCGCCAGCACCACCUCUUUUUUUUUUUUUUUGCUUUUCUCCUCCCCCCCCUCCCUUUCCCUCUCCCUCGCUCUCUCCCGCCACCCCUAAACUUUUUCACCAUCCCUUUCCUCUCCCCUCUGCUCGCCACCCCCUCUACCCACCAUCCCUUUCCUCCCUCUCCCUUGCUACCCCUCUGCCCCCCACCCCCUAGGCCCGCCACCCCUCCCUCUCCCUCCCCCGCCAUCCUUCUCUGCCCACCAAUGUCACCGCCUGCAUCAUCUCCAUCCGGAAGCCCACGUGAGUUCUGCAGUUCCGACCAUUGUAGAGGUUCCAUCCGUGGGUGCCAGUGUUCCUUCCACUUUCUAUGUCUUCCUCUUCCAACGACAACAGCCGUGUGGUGCAGGGCGGAGCGUGGUGGAGGGGAUGGAAGUGCAAUUGCCGAAGUUCUGACUCGGAUUGCAGCGCCCAGGAAAUGGAGAAUCGCUCAACAAGCUUCUCGUUGCUCGCGCAAUGAUACUUACUCCGGCGAAUUGCUUGGUCGACUCCGGACAACUUUCUGUGCUUUGAAAGAAAAACCGGGAAGAGUUUUGUGUGCUUUUUGUGAAUUGAAAGGGAAAAAACCAGCUUGGACGACGUUGUCUUGUUAAAAUGUUUCAGAAAGGGACGAAAGUUUUGAGAAAAGUUUUUGGGGUUCCUGUAGCAUAAGUUGUUAAAAAACUAGUAUAAUACAAACUUGCUCAAAAACUAGGCUUCCAAACAGGCCCUAUCAUGUAGAUAUUGUAAAUUAAUAUGGUUCUUUUUCUUUUUUCAGUAAUCUAUCCCUAUCAAAAACUUAGAAUGUCCAUUCUCUAAUUUAUAAAAUUAUAAAACUAUAUACUAUUUACUUUUCUCAUAUUGUACUUUACCACCACGCACCAUCAAUUAGAGUAAUCCUCAGAUUUAUUGGACAUUGAUUGUUAAGUUGAGCAUGAUAUCAACUAUUUUUACUAUAUUUGUAUUAUAUUUUGUAUUUUAAAUUUUAUAUAGUUGUUUACUUUAACUCUUUUGUACGAAUAUUUGUUAAGAAAAAAAUUUCAAAGACAAAAAAAAAAAAAGCUGAUGCAAGCAAAAGUAAACAACCAGACAUUGCAUAUCCUUCAAUUUGAUUUAUUUUAGCGUAUUUGACCAAAAUUAUUACAAAGGGCUUAAUCCAACCAAAUGUCUCGAGUAGCUCACUAACUAGUUUUCUUGAUUUAAUGCACUUAGUCACACCACGUCUCACUCUCAUUAUAAUUAACAAUGAGAAGGGAUCCUCUUGAAAACAUCAGAUGCAGAAGAAAGCCACUUGUUAUAGACCCAUACCUUGGUCCGUAUCCAACGUCAAAUAUAUUUGUUUGGAUAGUAAACUUAUUCCAAAUAAUAUUUCGCUUGCAUCAUAAACACAUUUUUCAACCCAUCUUUUUAUAUUUCCAAUCACCUUUUUAUUUCGCAUACAUCACGUCACAAAAAGUACUACAGUAAUUAUUCCAAAUAAUAUUUCAAAUAAUACUCUAUCCAAGCAAGAACUAGGAACAAUCCAUAUGUUUACGAAAGCAGUUCUAGCAAUUGGUCAGAUCUAAUGGCCUGUAACUCACAUCGUAAUAUUUUAUAUUUUAUAAUUCUGUUAAAUUUAAUGAUUUUUCAAAUUAGAUAUAUCUUUCAUAUGUUUUAUAUAUUUUCUGCCAUUACUGGUCUUUUUUCGUCAAACAAAUCGUGAUAGAUGAUUUUCAAUUAGUUUAUUAAUAAUAUUGACUCCUAUUUUAUCAAAAAAAAAAAAAAAGAACUAGGAACAAUCGAAACAAUCACUAGGCACAGGCACAUACCAGAAGGAUGUUGCUUGAGCUUAUCAAUAUGAACCCACGCAAUCAGCAGACUGCCUUUUGCCGAUGCCGCACUAAGGCUUCUUAAGUUUAUUUUAUCAACUCAACAAUCCAAUAUCCAAUGACUUUGGAAAAACUGUGUGGAAAUUUAUCCUCAAACGAGAUCAAGAUCUAUGAAGUUUCACGAAACCGUGCUCAUAGGACUAGGGUCUUGUUUGGUAGAUAAGUUUUUUGUCAAAUUUAUCUGUUACAAGUUUUUUAAAAACUUUAACUACAAUAAUCUCAAAAAACUUCUCAAAGUUUUUAAACUAUACACAUUAAAAUAUUAAAAAAAACACACUUUAAAAUUUUUUUUAAAAACUUCUACAGUAAGUUAUAGUAAAAUUUUAAACAAACACCCAAAAAAUUCACUUGCCAAACGUUGUCAUUACACUCUUAUAUGUCUUCUCAUCUUUAAUUACUGAUGUCACAGUCACUAUCUUAGGAUGCCAUUCUAUGAAACACGUAGUUUAAGCAUUUUUGCCAACAUGCCAUGACCAUAAGGCAGUUUCAUUUUUUCCUUUAAUCAAGCUUGAUAAUGAGUCAAUACAAAAUUCUCAUCCGAAUUCAGUCUCCCUCACGUAAAAAGAUUAUAUGAUUACAAAACUGCAUACAAAUGACCCAAAAAAAAAAAUUUAAGAGGGACUGAUUCAAGAAGUCUAAGAAAUAAAAUAUCCAUACAUCCAUACCUUGGGCUCUUUUUAAAAAUUUUUUUUUAUUAUGCUGUUUUGGUUUAUCCUCUUUUGGGGGUUUCAAAAUUAAAUUUGGGGAGAUAAGGUUGAUGAUGUGAUGAAAUCUGACGAAAAAAUGGUUGUUCGAAGGACGGUAAAAUUAAUUGAAGAGCGGAUGAAUUGAUACUGUAGCUGCAGAAGGUAAAAUUUAAUUACCUCAAUUUGUUCCUUAUUACUCAUUUGCAUGUCUCUCACUUUAGGAUAACCUGCCAUUAUUUGGCCUCUGUGGAUUUGAUGAUCAUCAUUUUAGGAUUUGAUGAUCUCAUUUUAGUUCUGUACGGAAUGGAAUAUUUCAAUGAACAUAUUUUCUUAGGUGUUAAUGGAGUUUAUUAUAUAGUCAGUUUUGGAAACUCUUUAGUGAUUUGACAAUGCAUGUGUAUGGUUAGUUGUCGUUUUAUCAAUAAUAUCGUGUUUUUUCAAUAACAUCGAAUCGAUAAUAGCUAUAAAUAUCUUGACUGAUCAUGCCGACUGUACUAUUCUCAUUUUUCUUAUCAUAUGGAGUGUUUGGAUAGAAUAUUAUUUGAAAUAUUAUUUAAAAUAAUUAAUGUAGUAUUUUUUUAUAAUGUGAUAUAUAUGAAAUAAAAAAGUGAUUAAAAAUAUUAAAAAAUGAAUUGAAAAAUGUGUUUAUUUCUUUCAAAAAAAUUAUGUUUAUGAUACAAGCGAAAUAUUAUUUGAUAAAAUUGAGCUAUCAUGGCUGAGGUGGAGGCUAUUGCCCCUGCUUCAUUUUUUUUUAAAAAAAAACUCUAUAUAUUAUGUAUAUCAAGUAUUUUUGGUCCCACCAAAAAUGAUACAUUUGCGGUCGAUAUUAAUUGGGAGUAAAAGUGCAAACAAAUUUAGAGACUCUCUAACUCAAAAUCGACAUUUCUGGCCUUAUUAAAAUAGAUAAAUAGACUGAUAGAGUAGCCUUCUCCUUCUUUUCUCCUUAUUUUCUAUUCCCUCUGUCCCAUUCAUUUGGUUAUACUUUUCAUUUUGAAAUGUCCCAAAAUAAUUGUCAUGUUAGAAAAGUCAAAUCAACUUUUACACUCUCUUUUCAAUAUAAUCCUUUUUUUUAAUCAUACAUUCAAAUUUAAAAUUUGAAUUUGAGGGGGUAAAAUUGGAAAGAAAAGCACAAACAUCACAAUUAAACCACUAUUCUUAAAAAGUUGGAUUCCCCAAACAUAACCAAAUGAAUGGGACGGAGGGAGUAAUAGCGACAUCUACGGACUGGAUUGAAAAUAUAAUGCUGUUUUUAUUUUCUAUGUCACAAAAUGAUUGUCACUUGCUAAUAUUGACAAACCAUUUUUAUUCAAUUUUCGUCUUUCAACCAACCAUUAAGGUGAAAGAGGAAAGUGUAGAUUAAAGCUAUAAUUAUUGGUUUACAAAGUUGAAAAGUAAGUGGAAAAAUGACAAAACACAUAGGCCCACCAUUGGCUCCUUUUCAAGGAUUCCUAAAAAACUUUUGAAUUGUCAUCACUAAAUGAACAGGGCAAAGUUGGGAUAUUUUUCAGAUUUCCUUCUUCAAUGAUUUUUCUUUUUAGCUGAUAAGACUUUUAUGUUGACAAAUUGCUAUUACUACUGAUCGACAUGCGACGCGACUAAUAAAUUGGGAAGGAAGUAAUAAUAAUUAGUACGUACCAAAUGCAAACACUUGUGAGUAGACACGAAAAUUACUAUUUUAGUGUGUUUUAAAUAUUCGGCGAAUUUCUAGAAAUAAUGCUAAAUUUAGAAAAUAUCCCAUUUAUGGUAUUUCAUGAGAUUGUUUUCUUUACUUAGAGUCAUCUUUGACAAUAAAAUAGUAUUUUUAUUUUGAAUUAUUUUUUGGUGUCAGAAUGACUAAAAGUUUUAAUUUUUUUAUACAUCUUUGCGGGUGACUGUGAAAAUGACCAUUAGCCGCAUCCAAAAAGUGGAUGCGGCGACGCAAGAUGUCAGAAAUCUUAACCGUCAAGUUUUCUUAUUAUUUAUUUGGGAGCAAAUUAUCCCAGUGGCCACUAAACUUUUGCCAUCGUCGAGUUUUGGUCACUCAACUAUUAAAAGGCUGGUUUUGACCAUCAAACUGUAUAAAAGGUAGACUCGAACCCAUUCUGUUAGAUUUAGUCGUUAACUUCGCAGAGGUGUCCGUUUGCGCGAUUUCCAAUACAAAAGGUAGGGUCAAUUUAGAAAGUCGAAAAUAGAUCUUCUUGUUCUUCUUGUAUAAAGCUAAUAAAGAUUACUUACCCGAGAGAAACUACAAGAGAAGGAAAUGGAAGAAGCCCAACUUGGAUUAGAGGAAGCAGGACCAAGAUCAACGCCACCAAGAGCCGGGCCAGCAAGAUCCAUGCCACCUACAUCGUUGACACCCAUUUUGCCUACUUGUGUUUGUGGGAUGAAGACAGUAAUGAUAACUUCAUGGACUGUACAAAAUCCGGGAAGAAGAUUUGCCAAAUGCGCAUUGGGGGAGGUUUGUAACAUUUUUUUAGAUACUUAAUUUAUUAUUGUGUAAGAAAUAUAAUGAAUUUGUUUUUUUUUUAAGGAUGGCUGUGGCUAUUGGGGUUGGAUAGAUGAUGAAAUGUGCGCUCGAUCUACAAUGAUUAUACCGGGUCUACUCAGAAAGAUCAAUGGAAUGGAGGAAAAAAUGGUUGAAUUUGAAAAAGCUGCAAGAAAGUAGGAAGCAAAAGCUGUGAAAUUGGAGGGUAAAAUGAAGCCACUUCAAAUUAAAAUUGCCAAGUACAAAUCAGCCAAUAAGCGACUCAUUCGAUGCGCAGUGUUGCCUUGGCUAAUAGUUGUCUUAGCAAUGUUAGUUAUGAGAAUAGGUAAUUCUGGUGGCAUGCUACAAAUUUGUGGCAUCGUUGAAAAUCCUUGAAGAAUAGCUACUCUGUUGUAAUGGUAGCAUAUUGAAAGGGAAAGGGCAAAUGGCUUUAUAAAGCCCCUUUUGUACUCCUCUGUAUAAACAUUUUGAUGUAUAAAAGUUGUAUUGUUCACAUGAAUAAAUAGUUAUUAUUUGGUGUCAAAAAAGGUUUGAAACAACACAUUUCAGUUCUAUUAAUUUCAUCAAUAAAUGACAAAGACAUAAGAACUAAACAAAAGUGCUGCAUUAACAUAGAACAAUCUGUGUAGAUUGGACAAAAUAAAUUGUUUGUACAUAUGGACCAUGUUCGUAAUAGGUCAGUAUAUCAAAUCCAAAACAAACUUCAUACAAAAAGACAAAAUGUAGUUGAAUUAUGUCCCAAUCUAGCUAUAGCUUUCUUCCUCUUCAAUUUGAUCCUCUUUUGACUCUUGGUUGUCCUCUGGUAGUUGUUGCUGAAGUUCCUCCUCUUCUAAUACCAGUUCUACUCCAUUUUCCUCUCCAAUUUCCAACAGUGAAAGGAGGUUCUUUACUUAAAUAUGCAUAAUUGACAUUGAUCCGCCCCUUUUCUGAAUCUGUUAACUUUCGUUUUCCUGCUUUCCUUUGUUGAUGAGCCCCUUGGCUCUGAGACUGUUGUUGGUUUUGUACAACUUCUUCCUGCUGUCGAUGCUGUGCAUGUUCACUUUCCUCAACAGCAGAUUGUGAUUGCUGUUCUUGUUGGUUCUGCUGAUACUCUUGAUCCUGCUGCUGCUGUUGAUUCUGUUGCUAUUGCUGAUCCUGCUGCUGUUGCUGCUGCUGAUGUUGAUUUUGUUGCUGCUGCUGCUGAUUUUGCUGCUGCUGAUAUUGAUCCUGCUGCUGGUGUUGCUGGUGCUGUUGUUGGGUCUGCUGCUGCCUCUGGUGCUGCUGUUGGGCCUGAUGAUGCUGCAUCUGAUGCUGGUGUUGGGUCUGAUGUUGCCUCUGGUGCUAGUGUUGGGUCUGAUGUUGCCUCUGGUGCUGGUGUUGGGUCUGUUCAUGCUGACUCUGGUGCUGGUGUUGGUUCUGCUGUUGCUGCUGCAUAUUCUUAGAACCACGCUGCUGCUGUUGGUUCUGCUCCUGCUCCUCGCUAUCCUGAUUCUGCUGUUGUUGAUUGUCUUGUUGCUGCACCUUGCAACCAGCUGCAUUAUGGCCGGCAACACCACAUUUUCUGCAAUGGUUGACUAUUCUUCUCCGCAACCUGUUUCCAGUCUUUUGAGUUUCAGUAGGAUCUCUUCUCCUGGCCUUCUUAGGUCUGCCAGGUUGCACUAUCCUUUCUGGUGGAUCAAGAUCUACCCCAUCAGCUUCAGGCCACAUUACUUGUCCAUUGAUAGGAUACAAAACAUUUUUGUAAAUUUUUUGAAACAGAUCUCUGUUGUAGCAGUCAUACACCUCUUUAUAGGGGUCGCCAUUAUUUCUGUGAAUUGCUGCAAUAGCAUGACAGCAAGGAAUACUUGAUAGAUCCCACAGUUUGCAUGUGCAGGAUUUUUUCUUUAAAUAAACAGCAAACUGGGCCCCCCUUGGUCCCCUAACCUGGUAUCCAUCCACAGCAUUCCAAAUGGUCCUCCAUUGUCUUGAUUCUAUCACCCUAUCAUCAAUUAUUUUUUUAAUUAGUGGGCCAAUGGACAAUUCAAAUUUCUCCAUUGCAGUUGUCCUUCUCUGUAUCCUCUCCAUCAGAAAUAUCCUAAUGGACUCUAACAUUGUGAUAAUUGACUGCUGCCUAGCUUCAAGUAUAUGACCAUUAAAACUUUCACACAAAUUAUUAACCAACAUAUCGCAUCGAGUAUGUUCUUAAAAAAAAGUCUUACACCAAUGACUGGGAUGUGGUGCUUUCUUCACCCAUUCAUAUGCUUCCUUGUCAAAUUUUUCCAGAUCUGCUGCUGCUUUCUUGAAUAGUCCCUCAGUAGUACUUGCUGCAAUGUUCCACAGUUUUGUCUUCAGGGCAAGUCCACGAUGUUUCUUCUUGAAGUUGUUAUAUAGGUACUGCACACAGUAUCUGUGCUCACUGUUUGGUAGUACCUCAGAUAAUGCUCGGUCAAGACCCUAUAAAUUAUUACAAACAAAAGGCAUUAGUAAAUUGAAACAGAUCCGUGUACAGUGCAUAUACAAAGGGAAGGAGUUAAUACCUUCUGCUGGUCAGAAACAAAGGUGUAGCUGUACCCAUUUUCAAUCUGCAAGUCAUUCUUCAGCAGCUCAAAAAACCAUUUCCACUGUUCAGUUGCUUCCCUCUCAACCACUGCCCAAGCAAUGGGCCACCAUCCAUUGUUGGGAUCUACUCCAAUAGCAGUCAACAGAUGUCCCCGAUAUUCAGCCUUUAUGUGGCAUCCAUCAACCCCAAUAAUGGGCCUACAACCGUCAAGAAAGCCUUGUUUUAAUGGUCCCAAACAGCAAUAAAGUCUCAUGAAUUUUGGGUUGCAUCCAGGUUGUCUGAAGGGAGUAAACAUAACUUCCAUUGUGGUAUUUGGGUGUGUCCUCUUAAUUUCUGCACAAUAUCUCCAUAUGUCCUUAUAUUGCUACUCUGCAUUCCCUUGAAUCUCCUUUUUAGCAAUUGUCCUUGCAUUGUAUGCCACCCAUUUUGAAAUUUUCGCUUUGAAGUCCUCAUCAACUAUUUGUUUUAAUAAUCUUGGAGGCAUUUCAACAUUACAUCUAAAUCUCUCCAUGUACUUGUUUGCAAGCCACUUAGCAGAAAUAUUCUUGUUCUUCCAUACAUGACUGCAGUUUGUGUGCUCAUUAUUCAUGCUCUUGACAACCAAAUCAGCUAUUCCAAGUUCCCUCUCAACUGAAGCAUAAACAAACCAUUGGCAAGGAGGUUUGCAUUUUGCUCUAAACCUUUUUUUUCAUUUGUGUAUGGCUUUACUGGUUUUCCUUUCAUGAUGGAAUAUGUUCUAACAGCUAAUCUUAGCUGUUCAGCUGACUCAAACUUCAUUCCUAUGUGAAACUCAAAAUUAGGGUCUUUUAGAUCUCUCUCCGGAUUGAAAUCAACAUACCUAUUCCUCCAGUCAUCAUCAUUCUCUUCAUCUGAGGAGCCAGCAUCACUAUGCAACUCAGUCACCACUGUGUCUUUAUUUAAUGCAUGGACAUCAUCUAAAUGAGGAGCUGCCUCUUCUCCUGAUGCUCUAUUGUUGUUUCUUCUCCUUCUAACUUGCUUCUUCCUCCGCGACUGUUGGUUUCCAGUUCCCACAUCCGUGGAUUGUUCUUCAUUUGUCUCAGGCUGCUGCUGAUGUUCAAAUUCAGUUUCAAGUCCUGAUUGUUGUGACCAUGGAUCCAUCCCAGCUGUUUGUUGUUGUCUGCCUAGCUCAUCUACAACUGAUUCUUGCUGUUGUGCAGCAUUAUUACAAUCAUCAUUAGAAUUGGGAUGUUGUGAAGAUCUAGGUUGCUCUGUAUUUGAAGAAUCCACACCAGAUUUUAGCCCCUCAACAAUCAAUUCUUCUAACAUUUCUUCAUCCCUACAGAAAUCCCUAUCAGCACUAAAGCGAUCACAGUCUCCAUCCGAAUCAGUAUCAGUCUCCACUUGGCCAUCUAUAUUUCCUCUAUCAUUUGCAUCCCCAUCAUCCCCAUUAUUCAAGGCAUUCUCUUUAGAAGAGUUCCCAACAUCUAUCUUGCCAAUUGAUCUUGUAAAUGGCACUAGUUCAAAUCCAGGUUCCCUAAUAACAUUUCCAUUUUCGUCAAGUUCCUCGAUGGUGACUGCGGCUUUUUUACUCAACUGUAGAUCAGAAGGAAGGGACUUUGUGGCCAUCAUCUUGAUUUCAUUCUUUGACUGGUGGUCACAGUACACCUCCAUGAUUUUAUGCUUAUAAGCCUAAUUGCAAAAACUGAUAAUGGCUUUAUCAGUAGAUAAUUCCUUCAACCCAUUUCGAAAAUCUUUUCCAGGCUCAACAUAGUAAUACACCAUACAUCCAUAAUGCCCUAAUUUAUCCACCAUGUAGUUUAUUUCAUGCACAGACAUUGUUUCCGCAUCACAUAAAUCAACAUAAUCUACAUGCCCAUCAAUGUAUCUGUAAUUUUGCCAAUUGAAUUUACCCCCAUGAUACAUUCGUAUGGUGAACAGAGAAGAACCUGGCACUGCAUGACAUGCGAUUAGUUAAAAAAAUUAAAAUUUUAGUCAAAACUAGUAAACCCAAAUUCAAUGAAUGAAUUAUUUAUUAACCCUUUUUUCCAGCAUUAAGAAUACUUUAAUCAGUGUACUUUGAAAUCUCUAUGCUUUAUUGCAAAAAGCCAAAACAACGAUAAAAUGUAGCCCAUACAUACAUGAAACACACAAUCUAUUCUGGGAUGUGGAUAACUAAACAAACUUAGGGAUUUUAAAACUUUACCGUAUGCAUCAGAUGGAUCAAAAUGCUGGCCCCUUGGUCUAAUCACCCACUUGGGCCACUCCAUCGUUCCACGAAAUGAAGAUCUUGUUUGUCAACCCGUUCUGCUGUCGCUCAAUCCCCCAAAAUUCUUCGUUGUUGCGUUUUUCUUUAAUUGUCAAUUGUUUGAUGUUUGGGUUUAGGCAAGGAAGAAGAAGAACAGAUGCAUGGGAGAGGAAGAAGAGGUGCAAGUGAUAUUUUCGACUUCCUAAAUUGACCCUACCUUUUGUAUUGGAAAUCGCGCGGACAGACACCUCUGCAAAGUUAACGACUAAAUUUAACAGAAUGGACUCGAGUCUACCUUUAAUACAGUUUGAUGGUCAAAACCAGCCUUUUAAUAGUUGAGUGACCAAAACUCGACGAUGGCAAAAGUUUAGUGGCCACUGGGAUAAUUUGCUCUUUAUUUGGUUCAUGGAUAUGUGAUCGGUAUUUGCCAAAUUUGUCAAACACAUGCCCAACUUUCUAUAGGGAAAUUUAGGAAUAAUUUUAGAAGCUUCCCCUAAAGUUUCUAAUAAUUUUACUAUCCUUUCCUAAAAUUUUAAAAAUAUUAUUAACCUCUUUUAAAACUAAUUUUCUUGUGACAAAUUACUAGGACCGUCAAUGACGCCGAACCAACUAGAGCUCAACCUAUUUGGCCCCAAAAAAGAUCCAUGAGUCUAAAGUAUAAUUGAAUCGGGCAAAGUUUUGAUCUAAAUAUUAGAUCCGGACAAAAUGUAAGUCAAAUUUGAGUCAUUCUAGGUUCAUGCCUGAUUAAAACUACACCCAUGUAUGAGUAUAAUUAUAUAUGUAAAAUAUAUAUGAUAAUAUAUAUAAUUUAUAAUUAUUUAUACUACAUAUACUACAUAUAAAUGCAGAGGAGGGUGUUUGGGGUAAACAAAAAUCUGUCACUUUAUAUACUUCAUGAACUACCCUUGAUGAUGAAGAAACUUUUGGUAUAAACAAAAAUUUAUCUUUCUUUGAUAGCUACCCACUACCAAUAUGAUUUUUACCAAAUAAUAUGUAUUUUUUCAUAUUCUAUUUUUCAACUUAUUUAGUAACUCUUAAUUUUAAUUAGCAACUACCAAUUAUGGUUCUGAAUAACUAUUAAAUAACUACUUUUUAUAACUUUUAUUAUUUUAAAAUUUUCACAUAUGUAUUUUCAAAAUAUAAAAUCAAUUUUCUUAAAAAUUAUUUUAAUAAAUAUACUCAAUAUAUUUUACAAAUACUUUUUCUAUUAGUUGCACACACAUUAGUAUGUGUCUUAAAUACUAGUACAUAUUGCGACAUAAAAUGUUAAUAAUUUAUAUGUAAAUUUGCAUUAAUUCAUAAUUAUAAAGUAUAUAUUAUAUAUAAUUAUGUAUUUAAUUAUAAGUUUGGGCCAAACCCGAUUUGAUUCUGAAACUCAUAUAAUAGUGUGAGUUGAGAUUAAACCUUUUUAAUAUAAACAAGAAUCCCAAAAGCUUGAAACCUGAAAAUUCAUAUAAUUUGUGAACUAAGUUUGGGCUUGCUAAAGUCCGAUUGACACCACUACAAAUUAUCCCAAUUCGUAAAAAAAUUAAUAACAAAAAAAUGUGCAUUCAUUUUUUUUGUUAUUAUUGGUUUGAAAUUAAUACUAAUAAAAAGCUAUUAUUCGUUUGAAAAGCUAUUCUUUUUUUUUUUAUUAUUCUUCUGUCCUGGAACUUGGAUAUUUGAGUAUAGUAACAUGUGUAUACUGGGGGAAGACCCUUCUGCUAUUUGUGGCAGCUGUUUCGGAAGAUGUAUCCCGAUGAUAAUUCUUCCCGAAGAAAAUGGCAUAGUGGAAUGAGGCCGUAGAGAAUUGUGCAUCGCCACAUCCGCUUUUGGAUGGGCAAAUGGUAAUUUUCACAAAGAUGCAUAUAAAAGAAUAAAAUAUCUUUAGUCAUUCUGACACCAGAAAAAAAAAUUUUCAAAACAAAAAUACUAUUUCGCCCAAAUGCGGCGAUUCUAAGUGCAGAAAACAAUCUCAUCGAACACUUUAAAUGAGAUAUUUUCUAAAUUUAGGAUUAUUUGUAGAAAUUUGUCCAAAUAUCCAUACAAAUUAAACUUGACUCUAACUCUAUGUCCUAAGCUCUAACAAUAUUUGAACUCUUAAAAGUUUUUGGUCCAAGGCUGCACUGCCAUGCUUGCGUCCAAGGCUGCACUGCCAUGCUUGCAUCAACAAAAUAUAUGUUUGGAAGCUCCAAAGUACCGUUUUGUAAAUUGAGUUCAUUGCAUUUAUCUCCCUAGAGGUUUAUCUAAAUCACAGCAAUAAAUCCAUAGUUUUUUUUAAGGGUAAAUAACCUUUUAUCUCUCUAUGAUUUGGUGCUUUACCACAUGACUCUCUUAUAGUUUAAAAAUCUAUAUAUACCACAUGACCUCCAUAUAGUUGAAAAACCUAUAUAUAAUCCUUUCGUGAUUUGGGUUAAAGUGAUACCAUUAGUUUUUCCAUUAAAACUAAUGGUCAAUAGUAAAAAGUCAAAAUCAAACUAAUAAAUUGACAAAUUCACUCUUUCACUACUUUUUUCGUUUUCUUUCUUUUUUUUUUUGUGGAAGCGAAGAGAUGAUUUGGAAACAUAUACUUUGGCCUAUAAAACCUUAAUUUUCUCCAAUUACAAAAGAGAUGAGAGGGAAAUAAAAAUAAAUGAAUAAGAAACAAAAAAGAUGGAAGGGAAAUAUAAAACAAAUAAAUAAGAAAGAAAAAAUACCAAAUCUUUUUUAUUACAAAUAUCAUUAUAGAUUUUUAAACCAAAUCUUUAAUGGUAUUUUCUAGUUCUUAUUUAUCUAUUUUGUAUUUCAAUUUCUUCCUUUUUAUGUUUGGAGGGGAAUAAAAAGAAGUAAUGAAAGGGUAAAUUUGUUAAGUUAUUAGUUUGAUUUUGACUUUUACUAUUAACCAUUUGUUUUAAUGGAAAAACAAACAAUUACAUAUUAACUCAAAUCAUGAGAGGGUUAUAUAUAGGUUUUUAAAUCAUAUGGGGGUUAUGUGGUAAAGUACAAAGGAUAAAAGUUAAUUUAUCCUUUUUCCAAAUCAGCCCAACAUUUUAAAUAGCCAAACAUUUGCCACUGCUCAAUUGCAUCAUUUGCAACAGAAGUUUUUGAAAUUAUCAAAAUACUGAUUUUCUAUCAUCCUUCUUCCAGCCAUUCUUUCAUCUUUCUAUAGAUUAAAGUUAGUGUAACCAAAACUCUAGUCAUAUGACAUCACUAAUAAUAGUAUAUUUCAUUGAGUGUAGUUUCUUGAACCUCCACUAUUAUAUUUUUUACAUUCCAAACUCUUUUCUAUUUCAACGUGCAAAUAAUCAAACUUCGUUUUCCAAAAAACAAAAGUAACUAUCAAUACUGAAUUCAAAUAUAAACAUAAAAUUUUAGGAUUUUUAUACAAAGACACACAUAUGAAAGUUAGAAGUAAAUAUCAAACAAAGACACUUUUCUUGGUUUAAGGAUAGGAAUUUAAUGUCAUGUUUUCUUAAAUUUAUUAUUACAUUUUUAAAAAUUUAAUGCUUUGUUAUGGAUAAAAAUCCGUAAAGUUUAGCUCAAUUUUAUUGUUCCUUACGAAAUUAGAUAUUUAAAUAAAAUAGAUAAUUUGUUGUAUGGAAACAAUGAAUUGGACCAGUGUGGUAGCGACUGAAAUAAGCCAUAUGCAGUUGAAAAAGAAAUUGUUUAUUUUCUUUUAAUCCAUAUUUAUUUUUUUGGAUAUAUUAAGGAGUUUUUUAAGAGUGGCUAUUCAAAGGGUUAAAACACAUUUUGGUCAAAUCUUAGACUCCUUUUUAUUUAGACAAACAUCAAGGGAGAUAAAUGCAGUUUCGCAGAGGGUAGUUUUGUCAUUUCACUACUUCUAAUUGGGUUUAGACACUGACUCAUAAGGGAUAAUUCGAAUUUAGUGAAACCGCAGAGUUUACUCAAUAAUACGGCCAAACCUUAGCGGAAGUACAUGCAUUAACCCUUUUUUAUUUAAAAAAAAAAGAGAUAGAGAGAAUUUUUAUUAAUCAGAUUGCUGAAAAUCGUUCAACAUUGGUUUCUUGACAAAAGCAAGAUGGCGGUAUAUUCUAUAAGGAAUCCACGAAAGCUGAAGAAUUUAGCUAUAGAAUUCAACAAAGCUACAGGAUUUUGGCAUAACAAGUCAAUUCAGGAGCUAUUGUUUUUGCCUCCAUUGUAUCCGAUUUACAUCCACAUCUGUAAUUCUAUAUAGUAUCAGACAAAACCUUAGGAAUAUCUUCUACUACUGGCCCCAUUGUAGAAAAAUCAUCAUCUUCACUAUUCAGCAAUUAAAUAACCGAUAAAGAGUCUCCUUCAAGUGUAAUAUUCGGAGUGAACAGAUUUUAUUGCUGAAUUAAUUGCCUCCUUUGUAGCAAUGGCUUCUUUCCUUCUUCGAUUCAACUGUCCCUUGGGAUAUCGUAGAGUUUAAUGCACCCUCAAAAUCAACAUUAAAUUGAUCCAUCGUACACUACCCCGCAAGAGGAACCUAGAGGUUCCACAUUGGCUUCUUUCAAAGCUACUAGGGAAUUAAUCACAAAGCGAACCAUUGAUAAAGGUUCUCCAUGCUUGCCAUCAAACAAAACCAAGUUCUGAUUGUUCCAAAUCUCAUCACAAAGAGUAGCAAACAGCUCCGAAUCCUCACUUGAAAAGAACUCACAAAAUUUCUGUAAUCCAAAGAUGAACACCAACUGAAUAGGUAUUUUCAUCAAUAUGACACCUUAAGUUUCAAACAAAUAGUGAUAUUAAAGGUUUUAGGAUUUAAAAAGCAAGGAAAUAGAAGGAUAAAAUGAGAUGUGAAUUAUAUAGACAAGUUACCUGUCAAACUAGGAAUUGUAAUUUUAAAAAAAAAACUACUUGAAAAAGCUAAUUAUUUAUUUUUCUUAUUCUUUUUCAUUUAAAAUGUGGGGUUUGUAUGAAAUUUUUGUGGCUCAAGUACUAUUACCACAUUUGAAUUGUAUUCAAUUGAUAAUAGUAAACAAAAUUAAUAUUCAAAUGUAAAGGACUAAAGUGAUAAAGUCACGAGUUAAAGGUCUAAAUAGAUAUUUUGAUAAAAGUUUGAGGACUUCUAAUAUACUGUAACUUAUCUGAAUGUAUAUCACUGGGAUUAGAGUUCUGUUUGCAUGUCAACAAAACAUUUUUUCAAAAUGAAAAUUAUGUGAGGCCUCUACAGUAGAAAAUCAAGCAAUUAAGAAUACUUACGUUACUACUUUGUAUCAUCUAUUUUUCGCCCCUUGAAUAAAGUUCUUUGCAUUCUUCUUGUUAUUGAAGAAGAUGAAACUAGUUAUCUAAAUCGAAAAAUAAAUUUUGGCUUCAAAUUUAAGGUACCAGUUAAACAUAGCAUAGAUUUUGUCAAAGAGUAACAUUAUACAAUAUCGUUAAAUUCAAACUGGAUAAAACUCGGUUAAACUACUAGGAUAGGGGUCAACUGAUCGGAUCAGUCAGAUGGUUCUGAAAAAAUCCACUGAAGUGAGUAUGAUAUUUUAAUUAUUUUAUAUUUUUAUAAGUUUCAAAAAUAUUAAAAUUAAGUUCUUAGUUAUAUUCGGCCAACCAUAAAAAUGUUACAAAAAAUUUAGGCUUGCAAUCAAAUAUACACCUAAAAAUUAUAUAUAAAAAUAUGAAUUCGUGUCUAAAUUAUGUACUUAAAAACUAAAUUAAAACAAAUCAUUCCCAAUUCGAGAUCUUUUUGCUAGGAAUAUGACUUUAUAAUGCAAGUUAGAAUCACUAAUGAUAAAUUGAUAAGAUGAUAUGGAUGAAAACCUCUUGAUUUAGAGAUCAUUGAGGGAAGCUAGUGAUUUUGAUGUUUACAUUAAAUGAGUGACAUUUUCUUAUUUCUAUUAAUAAAUGAAAGUUUUAUACUUUAGCUAACUCAAAUUAUGUUUCGGGAGAACAAGAAAGAAAAGUUUGAGAAUCGGGUCACUAAUUUGGCUUAUUUUUAAUGAUUUUGAUUGAUUUUUUAUCAAAGUAAUUUUAUGCUACAAACUACUUUCGAAAAAAGGUCGGUUCAUAUUCAGACAACAUUGACAUUAUAUGGAUAAAGCAUUUGUGAACAAACUUAUACCAAGACUAGUUGUUAGUUCAAGAGAGUUGGGACAGAUAAAUUUGUGCAAAAAUUAAUUAUCAAAGGGUAAUUACCAUUUCAACUUUUAUAAAAAAUGUCCAUGUUUAAGGAACAAUUGAAGGCACGUCAGUCAUCCAAUUAGUCUAAAGCUAAUAAUUAUAGAACAAACUACAUUGGCAUCAUAUUCUUGACGGGAAAGAACCUCAAGGGCUAUCUAAGCUGGGGUUUUGAUCGUAGAGCUGAGUCUUAAGUGCAACAUCAAAGAUUAUAUUUAACACUCAAUGAAAUAACCUCAUCGUAUUUUCCAAGUUUGAGAAAAAAGAAAUCAAUAAAUUUUGUUAGGGCAAGCAAUAGAAAUUAAAAAAUAGAUUUAAUUAGCUUUUCUAAGUUAUUUAUUAUUCAAUUCUCUAGCAUACAUAUAUUGUAAUUUCGAUAUAACUACUGUAUCUCAUUUCAUCUUGAAACUUUUAAUACCACUAUUUAAAUUUUAAGAAACCAUCUUAGUUGAAACUUCAACAUUAUGAUCAACAAUGCCAAGUCAAAACUUCGCCAUUAUGAUCGAGUCAUAAUUAAUGAUCAACAAUGCCAAGUUACAGCAAUUUGAUUUUGAACUUCGCCAUCCUGAUUUUUUGUCAAUUAUCCUAAAUUUGCACAAAAUCCGAAGCAUCGAGGACCACAUUUGCAAAAGUCAAAAGUUUAGGGACUACAUAAUUCAUAAAAUGGAUCGAUUAUAGCGUAAUUUCCAGCAACUUGGGGGUCUUUUGUUUUGCUGGCUGUAGUCCAUUGGGUGCACGUGAACUUCGUGGGAAAUUGGUGGCGUUCAAUUAUUUAACCUUUGCAAGUUGGUGAGUGGUCUGGCAGCUCUUUUGAUUUUUUUUUUUUUUUUGCUGUAGAUAGGAUUCGAAUAUCCAACCUGCAGUUCAAAAAAAGGGACUUUAGUCCCUAUUUGAUAGCCACUACCUUUCCAAGUUGGCAAGCUGUCUUGUUUACAUAAAGGUUGGGAUUUUACUGUGGAAUAUUUGAAUAUCGAACGAUAACAGUACAAUACUAAAAAAAAAUUUACUGCUAUUGUCUAUUGUGGAUAAUUCAAGCAACUAUUUUAGAAAAUGACUCUCAUAAUUAUGGUCAAGCCAAGCCAAUCCAACAGUGCUCCCAAGCUCGAAAAUACAGCAAAAGGUAAAAUGAUUUGAAACCGGAUCGACAAGUGAAUUGGACGAGCUUCCUAUUUCUGGCUCAAUCAAUUCAACCAGUUCAACUCCGAUUUAAUGAUUUUAUAAAUUUUUAAUUAUAUUAACAUUAAAUAACUUGAAUAAUAUUAAUAUAUGAAAAAUAAUGAAAAAUCGGUCCAAAGGCCGGCUGUUUACUGAUCCAAUAGUGCUCCCAAGCAUGAAAAUAUAGCAAAAGGCAAUAUUUUGAAAUUGGGACCUACAAGUGAACUGGAUGAAUUUUUUAUUCAAUUAAUUUUGCGGUUCAAUCUCUGUUUAGUGAUUUUAUUAUUAUUUUUGUUUAUUUUAAAAUUAAAUUUUUUGGAUAAAAUUAAUAUAUGAGCUAGAAAUAAAAUUUUUGUGUAAAACCAGUUCAAAGACCUUUUUUUUCUUAUCGAUUUUGAUUCAUCUGAUCGAUUUUUGAUCGAAUUUGAUUGAUUCAAUUGAGUUUCUGGGUUAAAUAUAGAAAAACAAAUUAUUCGGGAAAUCACUAAACCUUUUUAAUAGUCAAGAUUUAGCCACUCAAUUAUUAAUAGUUUGUUGUUUUCCAUUAAACUGUUAAUAAUAUAAAUUUUGUGCCAUUUCGUCUAAUUUCACUAUUGACUCUGUUAGAUCUAAGGGUCUAUACAAGAUAUAUUAGUAAUGGUUAAAUCUGGUAGAGUUAAUGACAAAUUAGAUGGAAUUGCCUAAAAUUUAAAUUUUUAAUAAUUUAGUAGGUAAAAAUUACUAUUUAUAGCUUAAUGACUAAAACUUGACUAUUCAAAAAAUUUAAUGGUCGCAGGGAUAAUUUGCUCUAAGAUCUAAGCCAUGGUUGGUUUGACGGUGGCAAAAGGUACACAUUCCACGUUUUUCGGUAAAACGCGGUAUGGUAAAUAUUCUUAGAACUAUUGCCGUAAAUCUGAAAUCACCUAUAAAAGGGUCCAUCUUUGGGCAACCAAUUUCACCCCCAAAUAAAUCCGCGAAACUAACUGAGAAAAAGAAAAAGAAAAUGGCUGCCAGUUUACGACCACUGUUCUUAGCAAUAAUAUCCCUGCUGAUGAUAUCUUCAUUGACCAGGUCCUCAGAAGGCGCUGGAAUCGCAGUCUACUGGGGCCAAAAUGGCAAUGAAGGAAGCCUGGAAGAGGCCUGCCGUAGUGGCAACUAUGACUAUGUAAAUAUUGCCUUUCUGGUAUCCUUUGGCAGUGGCCAAACACCGGAACUGAACUUAGCUGGCCACUGUAUCCCGAGCCCAUGCACCUUCCUGAGUUCUCAGAUAGAGGUUUGCCAGAGCCUGGGCAUCAAAGUGCUCCUUUCUCUUGGUGGAGGUGGUGCCGGGGCAGGGAGAGGGCCAAUCCUGGCUUCUCCCGAGGAUGCUCGCGAUGUUGCAGCCUACCUCUGGAACAAUUACUUGGGCGGUCAAUCAGACUCUCGCCCACUUGGUGCUGCUGUUUUAGAUGGUAUAGACUUUGACAUCGAAUAUGGAUCGAACCUGUACUGGGAUGAUCUCGCCCGGGCACUCUCGGGAUACAGCACAGCAGAGAGAAAGGUGUACUUAUCUGCAGCACCACAAUGCUUCUUUCCUGACUAUUAUCUUGAUGCUGCUAUCAGAACUGGCCUCUUUGAUUUCGUCUGGGUGCAGUUUUACAACAAUCCGCUUUGUCAGUAUGGUACAACCACAGGCAAUGCCGAUAACCUCUUGAACAGUUGGAGUAUUUGGUCUGCCUCUUCAGGCGUUAAUAAAUUAUUCCUGGGAUUACCUGCAGCCGAAGCGGCCGCACCUGGUGGCGGUUACAUCCCACCUGAAGUGCUAGUUGAACAGAUUCUUCCCGUUGUGCAGAGCUAUCCCAAGUAUGGAGGGGUCAUGCUUUGGAGCAGAUACUAUGACCAAAACUACAGUACAGCAAUCAGGCCUUAUGUUAACGGUGAUCCUCUGACUUAUACAACCAAGUCCGUGAAAAAAUCCCAUGCUGUAGCAUGAGUUCCUCUCAUUAUCUGCCGCGAGAUGAAAUGUAGUCCUGGCUGCUUAUGCCAGAGAUCAAUCUACUAAUGAAUAAUGGGCUAUGAGUUCCCAAAUCGAUUAAAAUGUUCAGUAAAUUUCUUCCCGUUUUAACCGCGCUCUCUCUCUCGAAUGAAGGGGUACAAGAUCUAGUUUGAAGAACCAGUUGCACCUUCUCUUUUUUUUAUUUUUUAUACAACAUCUUCUAGAUAAUAAUUUUUCGAUAAUAUUCAAACCACAUUGAAAUUGAAAAAGAAAAUGUUAAUUUGCAAUUGAAGUUUGAGGAACAGUAUCUAUUUCCCCUCAUAUUUCAAUGCAAGUCACUUUGAGACUUAUGACAAUUUCACUAACCUCCCAUCAAAUCUGAAAAACAACGAUUACCUCCCCUCUUCUUAGAUUUGGUCUGAUGAUUUCAGUGUAUUUGGUAUACAUUCCUACAACAAAGGGAUAACAAUCGAAGGGCUUUCGUUUUUAUUAAUUUUUUGGAGUACAAAUUAAUUUCUCAUUAGCAUGUUAUGAAACAUAUGAUAUUCUUGUUCUCAACAAUUUCUUUCUACUAAAAAAUGAAUAGAGAGAAGGGGGAAAAAAGUAAGCCUCAGCUGAUUAAAUUAUGUCCACGCAUAAAUUGUCACAAAGGUUUCUUAAGGGAAAAAGGGUUGGGGGUGGGGGCGGGGGUUCCCUGGGUUAAUUUAACCAAAAUUGAUUAAAGUAAUGAGGUUGGCUUGAUUAAAUUAUGUUUAUCACAAUUGGGUCAUUUCUUAAAAUAUUGACCUUAACAAAGAUGAUCCAUUUCUUGAAAAUGGGCUUUCCUAGAAAAUUUGCGUUCUAGAAAAGCCAUUCUUGGGCAGAUGAUGAAUAAGACUUCGUAUUUUGGGCUGAAUGAAAUGGAUGACACGCCAAAUUUGAUUAUUUAGCCACCGAAUAAAUAUGUUGGGUUUUAUAAAUCACUAUAAGUAAUGGUGUCUUAACUUUGGUUAAUUAGUUAAUUUAGAACACGCAUGGUGAAAUUGGGCUGACAAAGAAAAUAUUAAAGGAUGAUAACGUUUAUAGUGAGCCAAGUACAAUUAUUAUGAAACAAAAUGCCUCACAUUCACAAAUCCCUCAAAUGCUAUCUUUCAAUGCCAAUAAACUACUGGUAUCCAACUCCAAGAUCGCUCCAAAAUUCUAGCCCAAUCAGACACUGUUCCCUUGUUCACAAAAUAAACUUUUACCUCUCUAUGAUUUGUUGCUUUACCACGUGAUUUCCUUAUUAGUUUAAAAACUCAUAUAUACCACAUGACCCCUUAUUGUUUAAAAACCUAUAUAUAAUUCCUUCAUGGUUUGGGUUAAAGUGUUACCAUUGAUUUUUUUCAUUAAAACUAAUGGUCAAUAGUAAAGCGUUAAAAUUAAACUAAUAAAUUGACAAAUUCACUCUUUCACUAUUUUUUUUCCAUUUUCUUUCUUUUUUUUGGUGGAAGAGAAGAGAUGAUUUGGAAACAUAUACUUUGGCCUAUAAAACCUUAAUUUUCUCCAAUUACAAAAGAGAUGGGAGGGAAAUAAAAAAGUAAAUGAGUAAGAAACAAAAAAGAUGGAAGGGAAAUAUAAAACAAAUAAAUAAGAAACAAAAAAUAUCAAAUCUUUUUUUAUCACUAAUAUCAUUACAGAUUUUUAAACCAAAUCUUUGAUGGUAUUUUCUUAUUCUUAUUUAUCUAUUUUUUAUUUUAAUUUCUUCUUUUUUAUGUUUAGAGGGGUAUAAAAGGAAUUAAUGAAAGGGUAAAUUUCUUAAUUUAUUAGUUUAAUUUUGACUUUUACUAUUAACCAUUUGUUUUAAUGAAAAAACUAACAGUCACAUAUUAUCUAAAAUCAUGAGAGGGUUAUAUACAAGUUUUCAAAUCAUAUGGGGUUUACGUGGUAAAGUACCAAACUACAAGGGGUAAAAGGUAAUUUAUCCUUUUUCCAAAUCAGCCCAACAUUUUAAAUUGCCAAACAUUUGCCACUGCUCAAUUGCAUCACUUGCAACAGAAUUUUUUGAAAUUAUCAAAAUACUUGUUUUCUAUCAUCACCAAAUUCAUCCAAACUCACAAAAUUUAUAAAAUAAAAAUCCCAUACAUGUUUAAUCCUUGACAAAUAGCAAUCCAAACAAGGUAACAAGUUUAUGUUCAAUUCUUGAUAAAUAUCAAUCUAAAUAAAGUAACAUGUUCAAUUUCUAAACCAAAGUACUAUCUAAGCCAUUAUUCACCUUCAUCUUCAUUAUCCGUAUCUCCGAUUUCUUAACUUUCAAAAUCGAUAUCAUCAAGAUCAUCCUCAUCAUCAAGUUGCACAAUAUUUGUGUCGUUCUUACCUAAAAAUCAUUUAAAUACUCAUAAAUAAAAAUAUUCAAAAAUAGACAAGAACUAAAAAGAAACUUAGAUAAAGUUAGCAAAUGCAUUCCAAAAUUCAUCUAUGUAGCUAAUAAUGGUCCAUUGAUUACAUGCUUGGCAACCUGAAUCUUGAUUGGAGGCAUUCAAAGCUCAAGUAAUUGAUAUUAAAUACAUUUUAAAAGCAUAUAAUGCUUUCCUUGACUAUCAUUUUAAAAGAAUUGCCCAAACUCCAUUUAUUAGUCAUACGAGUUUUCCCAUCUUCUAAUCUACUAUUUUCACUUGUCAUCUGAUCAUAUUAUAGGUUAAGCCCAUCUUCCGGAUUUCCAUGAAUACAAUGGUCUAAAAUCAAAGCAUCCCAGGAAACUAAACUCUUCAUCGGCAUCCUUCCACAUCUAUUAUACAUAUCAAUUAAGGACGACGUGUUAACAAUCAAACUCAAAUUUCCAGAUUCUGUAAUAAGAGUUCCGUGAAUUGAUUUUCCUUGUUUCAAUCUGGCAGACCUACCACAAGCAGUAAGCACAUUCACCAUAAUUGUUUCAUUGCCUUAAAUCCGAGCUUCACCAUUUCCCUGAAUAACUUCAACCCAUUUCCAGGAUUCCCCAGAUCCAAAUAACCUGUCCUCAUUAUAUUCCAUGAAACAAUAUAUUCCACAAAACAACACCACAGUUUGUUUUCUCUAAAUCAACAGAUACCAUUUUUUUUCUAGUGUCAUUUUGAGUUUAUCAACAACUUGUCUCUUUAAAUAAAAAAAUUAAAAACACCACUACCAACUGAAAAACUUUAUUCACACCCGUAACAUCCAAAUCCCAAAUACCCAGCAUAAUGAAUCAAAAAAAAAAAAUACUGAAAUUUCAGUCUGAUUGUUCCAAAUCUCAUCACAAAGAGUAGCAAAAAGCUCCGAAUCCUCACUUGAAAAGACUUCACAAAAUUGAAAGAUGAUCACCAACUGAAUAAGUAUUUUCAUCAAUGUGAUACCUUAAGUUUCAAAUAGUGGUAUUAAAGGUUUUAGGAUUUAAGAAGCGUGGAGAGAGAAGGAUAAAAUGAGAUGUGAAUUAUAUAGACAAGUUACAUGUCAAACUAGGAAUUGUAAUUAAAAAAACAAAUUGAAAAAGCUUAUUAUUUAUUUUUCUUAUUCUUUUUGCUUUAAAAUGUGGGUUUUAUAUGAAAUUUUUGUCAGUCAAGUACUAUUACCACAUUUGAAUUGUAUUCAAUUGAUAAUAAUAAACUAAAUUAAUAUUCUAAUGUAAAGGACUAAAGUGAUAAAGUUAAAAGUUAAAGGUCUAAAUAGAUAUUUUGAUAAAAGUUUGAGGACUUCUAAUAUACUGUGACUUAUCUGAAUUUAUAUCAAUGGGAUUAGAGUUCUGUUUGCAUGUCAACAAAACAUUUUUCCAAAAUGAAAAUUAUGUGAGGCCUCUACAGUGGAAAGUCAAGCAAUUAAGAAUACUUUUGUUACUACUUUGUAUCAUCUAUUUUUCCCCCCUUGAAUAAGUUCUUUGCAUUCUUGUUGUUAUUGAAGAAGAUGAAACUAGUUAGCUAAAUUAAAAAAUAAAUUUUGGCUUCAAAUUUAAGGUACCAGUUAAAUAGAGCAUAGAUUUUGUCAAAGAGUAACAUUAUACAAUAUUGUUGAAUUCAGACACUUAUCGGAUCGGCCAGACCAUUCUAAAAAAUUCUCUGAAGUUAGCAUGAUGUCAUAAUUAUUUUAUAUUUUUAUAAGUUUUAGAAAUAUUGAAAUUAAAUUUUUUGUUAUACUUGGCCAACCAUAAAAAUGUUACAAAAAUAUUAGGCUUGUAAUCAAAUAUACAACUAAAAAUUAUAUAUAAAUAUAUGAAUUCGUGUCUAAAAUAUUUCCAUUCUCUAAAAUUACUUAAAAACUAAAUUAAAACAAAUCAUACCCAAUUCGAGAUCUUUUUGCUUGGAAUAUGACUUUAUAAUACAGGAAUCACUAAUGAUAAAUUGAUAAGAUGAUAAGGAUGAAAACUUCUUCAUUUAGAGAUCAUUGAGGGAAGCGAGUGAUUUUAAUGUUUAUACUAAGUUAGUGGCAUUUUCUUAUUUCUAUUAAUAAAUAAAAGUUUUACACUUUAAGUAACUCAAAUUAUGUUUCAGGGGAACAAGAGAGAAAAGUUUGAGAAUUGAGUCAAAUAGUUGAAUCGAAUCACUAGUUUGGCUGAUUUUGAUAGUUUUGAUUAAUUUUUGACUAAAAUGAUUUUGUGCUACUAACUACCUUCGGAAAAAAGUAGAUUCAUAUUCAGACUGAUCGGUUUGGUUUGGGACAACACUGACAUUAUAUGGAUAAAGCAUUUGUGAACAAACUUAUACCAAGACUAGUUGUUAGUUCAAGAGAGUUGGGACUGAUAAAUUUUCAACAAGUCUAUAAUUUGUGCAAAAAUUAAUUAUUCAAAGGGUAAUUACCAUUUCAACUUUUAUAAAAAAAAUGUCCAUGUUUAAGGAACAAUUGAAGGCACGUCAGUCAUCCAAUUAGUCUAAAGCUAAUAAUUAUAGAACAAACUACAUUGGCAUCGUAUUCUUGACGGGGAAAGAACCUCAGGGGCUGUCGAAGCUGGGGUUUCGAUCGUAGAGCUGGUUCUUAAGUGCGACAUCGACGACUAUAUUUAAUAGUCAAUGAAAUAACCGCAACCUAUUUUCCAAGUUUGAGAAAAAGAAAUCAAUAAAUUUUGUUAGGGCAAGCAAUAAAAAAAUAAAAAAAGAUUUAAUACGCUUUUCUAAGAUAUUUAUUAUUCAAUUCUUUAGCAUACAUAUAUUGUAAUUUUGAUAUAAUUGUAUCUCAUUUCAUCUUAAAGCUUUUAAAUUUUAAGAAACCAUCUUAACUGAAACUUCAACAUUAUGAUCAACAAGGCCAAGUCAAAACUUCACCAUUUUGAUCAAGUCAUAAUGAUCAACUAUGCCAAGUUGCAGCAAUUUGAUUUUGAACUUCGCCACCCUGAUUUUUUGUCAAUUAUCCUAAGGGUAUGUUUGGUUCCCUAUGUAAUUGGGAUUUAGAAUUAGAAUUGGGGCUCCAAUUCUAAUUCUGUUGUUUGGAUUCUGCUUCACUUGAAGAAUAAGAAUUCAAUCUGAAUUCUAUAGGGGUCCAAUUCCAUAAAUUGAAUUCUUUAUUGGACCAAAAGAAUCCUAAUUCCAAUUCCACAACUAAACCCUAAGAAACGGAUCUACACGCAGAUCUAAUAUGGGUAAAAAAUUAAAAGCGGGUCAAGUAUUCAAGCAUCUCUCUCUCCCAUUCUACUCACAAUGGAUCUUCUAUCCCACACCCUGUGUUGGAUCUUAAGGAAACAAAAAAGAACUAAAAUAUGAUAUUUAUGAAGGAGAAAUAGUAAUCUAUAUCUAUAUAAAUUUGAGAAGGGAUUUUUAGCAACAAGCCUCAUAUAUCUUCCCAUUACCAAUUCCAUUUUUCUAGCAUUUCACAUUUAAUUUAAUUUAUAAAAUAUAUUUCUCUCAACUUCCACAUCUACUCUUCACAUUUGAAAUUAUUGGUUAGUUUUUAAAAUCAUUUCAUUUCAAAUUGUUGAUUGAUGUGCAUGUUAUCUUAUUUGAACUUCAACCCAUCACGUUUUCGAUUGCCUUGCGUUAUUUAUGGUUCUAUAGCAAUUAAAACUUCUAUAAGAUCAUAAGAAGAGAUAACAAAUAUAACAUCCUUUCAUGCUUUCUUAUUAAUUUAAAUAAGUAAGAUUGUUUACACUCCAUUUUUGUUAUUCACACUUCAAUAAUCAUUUUGAUCAUAUCAUUUUCAGUAAUUAGACUAUAUGAUAAAACAAAUGGUGGAAUUGCAAAUAAUAAAAAAUUGAGUGCAAAUAACAUUUUCUUAAGUAAGAAGUGGCUUACAUGCCUUUCUAAUUAAAAAAGUAGUGGCUCCGCUUACAUAGGAAUUUGGUUUGAAGUUUAUUAGUAGGAGGGUAAAUAAAAAGAAAACAUUGCCAAACUUAGUAAAAGUAAAAAAGUAAAUGAUAAUAUUUUAUCUUUAAACUUAGUAAUCCUAAGUAAAAGGGCAAAAUUAAAUAGAAAACAAAAAGGAAAUAAUGUCGUGGAUUUAAAAAAUCAAGAAUGGUACCAUUCAUGAAAUCCAUAUUAUGAAAUCACUAAAUAAAAAAUAAAGUACUACUAGCCUUUUAACGUGGAAACUUUUUUUUUGAAAUAUUCAUUUUUGAUAAAAAAUAAUGAUAAUAACAACACCAAUUCAACCAAAAAUUUUUUAAAAAGUAAUAUUAUAGUUUAAGAGAAAGAUAUAGAACAUUCAACCCUAAAAUACUACUUAAUUUGUAUAUAUCUGGCCCAAAUUUGACAAUAAAUUUGAAUAAGAGUGCAAAACCCAAACAUUAAGGAUAACUUUUGCUAUCAUUAAUUAUUUUAUGUAUUCUUAUUGCUGUCUUCAUAUGUAAAUAUGUAUUUGGUAUGUUAAUAUAUAUAUAUAUAUAUAUAUAUAUAUUGAUUGUAGUACUUGAGGAUAUUAUAGAUAUUAUCAGUUUUUCAUUUCCAUUUUUAGAUACUAAUAAUUGCAACCAUUGUAAUUAAUUUUUAAUUUUAUAUUUUCAUUAUGAUAGGUAAAGUUAAAUAUAUUGGGUCGCAGGGAUAUGAAUUUAGAGCUUAGGUAUAGGGGGAGGAGCGAGGGAAAAAAAUGGUGAGAUGUUGAAAAGUAGCAGGAAAGGUUGAAGAAGAAAUAAGGGUUACAAGGAUAGGCGGAGAAGGGAGAGAAGAAGAAAGGGGAUUGUAGGGAUAUGACAGAGAUGACAAAAAUAAUAAUAAUAAUAAUAGAGAGGGUGGUAUCAUGAUAGAAGAUAUGAAAGUGGUAGGAGGCAUCUGAUGACUAGUUGGCGUAUAAGAGAAGAGGGAAAUGAUGGUGAUUUUUAAUAAUUUUGAGAACUUUAAAAACAUAUAUUACGGAGAAUUUUUUUAAAUUAUACAUUAAAGUUUAGGAAAAAUGCUAAUCUAAAUGUAGUCAACAAUUUUAGGGGUACAAGAUACAAGAAAGAUUUUUUUUUCUAAAAAUGGAAGAAAAUAAAUUGGUUAUAAUUUAUUUUUUUUAUAUUAUAAGUUUUGAUAUAUGGGUAUAACAUAAUAUGUUUUGUCGGAUAUUGAUAAAUUGAUUCUUUUUUAUAAAACUCUUUUCACCUUACCACCCAACCUAACCCUCUCCUUAAAUGCGUUAACAAUUCUUUUAUCAUUUAAAUCAUUAUAUAUUAAAUUUUUUUUCAAGAUAUUAAGCAUACACUUCUUUAAAAUUUUUAGUCUAUAUAUAUAUACUUAUUAUUUUGUACCACAAUAUAAAUAUAUAAAAUAUUAUUUUGAUUUAAAAUAUAACCCCGUGCAUAGCACGGGUCAAAAUACUAGUAUAAUAAAAAGUGGGAUAGAGAGUUGCACAGGGUGUGAGACAGAAGAUUUGUUGCGCAUUCUAAUUCACCAUUUUUUCUCAGCUGCAAGUGCUCCUGCUCUCCACCAUCGCUUCUACCUCCGCCCUAACAUUUUGCCGCUUUCGCCACCGUUUCCCCCAUCGCUCUUCGUUUCAGCCAUCCCUCUUCCCUUCGCCACUCCUGCCAUGCAUCCACCCAUCACCUUGCCAAUCGCAAGACUAAUCCGAGUGCUCUCUCCUUCCCCCUGCUUAAUUUUCUUGAACUGGGUUCUUCAGUCUUGAAGGUAAUAUCUCCUAAGAAUUUGCACUGAAAUUUGACGUUUUCUUACAAAGCACUGCCUAACUCUUGAGUGCCAGAUAUUAAUUCUAGUAAUGGUUCUUGACUUUGGUUUUACAGCCCAGCAAUGGCUCAGAACCUACAGUUGGAAAGACCCUUCUUGAGGACACAGGUCUAUUUUUUUACAGAAACCUGGUACUUGAUUGGUGUAUGAGCUCUUUUAGCAUUUUCUCUGCUGUUCAAUAUUCUUUUUGUUGAAGUAUUGACAUUUUUAAAGCGUAAGCCCCACGUACAACCUUGUUAUCAUGCAAUUUUGGUUUCUAAUAUACUAUAUAGUAAAGAAGUCCAUGUCUUAAUUCCGUGGUGUCAACUUAACGUCAGCUCUAGGAGAUAAUAAAGCUGUUAUUCUUGAGGAUGAUGAGCAAAACAUGGAUAGACGGCAAGUUGCAUCACAUCCUGGAGGUUUGUGGUCUAUUCAACUCCAGCUUUUUGCAUAUGCAACUCAAAGAUAAAUACUCUGUGUCCCUUGAUAAAAUGAGUUCAGACUUUCGACAAGGUUUGAAACGUGAUAUAUACAUUUUCCCAAAAUCCAAUAUAAAGUUUAGUACUCAAUUAGCACUUAAAUUUAAUGGAUUCUAAAAGCACAAAAGGAGGAAGAAAUAAAGAAUCUAAAAUGCACAAAAGGAGGGGGAAAAUGGAUGGAGAAAGAAUCUACCGACAGAAAGAAAAUGGAGUAAAGAAAAUUGAGGUUAUUGACAUUCAACAAGGGAACUUAUUUCAUCCUAAAGCUGCAUUCCGGUGAUUUAAUUACUACUACUGCUGAAGUCUUUAGUAGUGGAUCGAUGCAAUUUUAGUCAAGUAAAUGAACUUGUAUUUGUCACGGUUGAUGGAUUCAAAUAAGCUGUGGUGUGAUUGUUCUCAACAAGACCACAAUUUCUUCUUUGCAUACUCAACCACAUGCACAUGAUUACUUUUGGGCAUAACUUUUAACAACAAUCAACUAACAUAUAAAAGGGAAUUAGUCAAUUGCUUAUGGAAUCAAGUUGAUUGCUGACACAUUUUCCUUUUCUAUGAUAAAGCUUAAAAUCAUUACUCUCUAACUUAUGUUAACAAUAUGGUGGUUUAAUAUGAUGGCCACAGUCAAUUGCUUAAAAGUUUCAGGUUUUUAUUCUUGUUCACACAUAUCUAGUAUGGCUAAAUCUAAAUCUAAAUCCUCAUUUCUAAGUAAUUUAUGUGGUAAACAGAAAGGUUUAACAAUAUAGAUGGGCUAAAAUAUCUUUGACUCAAGUUGAUCGUUGACUCAACUAAGCAAAGAAUCAACUCUGUUCUAUGUAUCCUAGCUAUGAGAUCUACAGCUUCAACAAAUUGAACCUGGUCAACUUAAAGCACCUUAGCACUUUCUACCGUGAUUGUAGGACUAACAUGUUUUGUUUAAGAAUAGCCUCCAAAAGCUUGGCCGUUAGUCGAACCAGUUUACCUGCUGUUAAUGUAGUUUUUCAAGCAGGGAUCAACAAUUACAUGCUUUAGUUUUCUUUUAACAAAAAAGAAAGAUUUUAAUGUUUGAGCCAUAAGUGAUUUAAUCACAUGUUAGUGCAUUACUAAUCCAAUUAGUGACCUCUGGUUUUAGUUUUUUGAUGCCACAACAUAGUUAUUAUAUUAAAAAAGAGCCCUUAUGAUAAAUAUCACCUAACACAUAUAUUUUGACACAAUAUGUCUUGAUCGUAGGUGCACCACUAACUUUAUUAAGUAUGCUACAAGUGAGUAAUAUUAUAAACUAGAAAUUGAUGAUGAUCAGUCAAUAAGUCUGUCAUUAAGUCUAUAACAUGAAUCUUAUUGUUAGUCACCGUUUACUUACUAUCUAUGAUAACUAUCCUAUUUUGUUUAAAUUGAUCUAUAGCUAUAGCUAAGUUGUGCUGAAACUAGUUAGAAUGAUUAUGGACCUAUAAUAUAAUUUCAUGUGGACACAACAAUAACCCGCUUAUUUCUAUACUAUUAGUCUAUUCUUGUCUAGCUUGAAAAUCAUCUUAUACAUGUAAUUAUCACUAAUUACUAGUUUAUAAACCGAUCAACUUGUCAACAUAAACCCUGAUCUUGUUGGUAUCAAUUUGCAGGAACCAGUCAUGGACUAAAAGCCGCUUCAAAUUGCUUUAUGUUUUCUUGGUGAUUAAUAUGAUAUUCAUCCAUUUCUUUGAAAAAAAGAAAAGUUAUCCAUUUCGUACUAAUACUUGAUAUGGUGAUUCUGAAUUGCAGAAUUUGGAUAUUGACAUGGAUAAAGAAGGAGAUGAGUAAAAAGCAAAAAAGAGAGAAGUGAUAGUUGCAAAUUAUAUGAUAACAGUAACCGCAUUAGUAGUUUGGUGGCAUGAGAAACAUAUAGUAAAGAAGCCUUAUUUUGACUUUAAAGUAGCACCUGAAAUAUAUCAAAUGCGUCUUUACUAUGGAAACAGCAGAGUUUGUGUAGAACAACUUCGACUCAAUAAUUGUUUUACUGUUUUAUGUACAAAUUUAAGAGAGCAUUGUGGGUUGAGGGAUACUAGAAAUAUUAUUGUUGAAGAAGUAGUUGCAAUAUUUCUCUAUGUUCUUGCUCAUAACUUUAAGAAUCGCAUUGUCAAUUUUAAUUUCAUAAGAUCAGGUGAGACAGUUAGUCAAUACUUUAAUAUAGUUCUUAACUUUAAAAAAAGUAUCAAGGCUUUAACUUGAUAAAUAUUAACUACUUUUUAAGUUAGAAUAUAUAAUUAUUUUUUAUUUAAUAUAAUUUAAUUAAGAAAAAAGAAACAAGAAUAAUAUUUUUUUUUGCAGAAAAGGAACUAAUUUUUUUUUCUAAUUAUUUUUUAAAGCUUUAGUAACAAUUAGUUAAAUGCAAGAAAAAAUAAAUUAUUAAAGGCAUUAAUUGGUUUUUUCCUUAAAGCUUUAGUAACAAUUACCUAUAUGUUAAAAAAUUAUUAUAUAGUAAAAAAAAAAGAAAUUUUUUAUGAAAGGAAAUGUUAGUUGGAAACAAUUCUAAUUCUUAACGAAUUCUUCUCCCAUCCAAAUAAAGAAUUUGAAAUUCUGAAUGAAUUCUGUAUCAAUGUUAUGCAUUUCCCAAACAAAAGAAUUCCAAUAUUUUGGAAUUCCAAUUCUGUAGAACCAAACGUACCCUAAAUUUACACAAAAUUCGUAGCAUCGGGGACCACAUUUGCAAAAGUCAAAAGUUUGGGGACUACAUAAGUUAUAAAAUGGAUCGAUUAUAGCGUAAUUUCCAGCAACAUGGGGGUCUUUUGUUUUGUUGGGUGUAGUCCAUUGGGUUGCCCGUGAACCGCGUGGGAAAUUGUUCAAUUAUUUAACCUUUGCAAAUUGGUGGGUGCCCCGCCACCUCUUUCAAUUUUUUUUUUUUAAUAUAAGUAGGAUCCGAAUCUCUAAUUUACAGCUCAAAAGAGAGACUUUAAUCUUUUUUAAAUGGCCACUACCUUUGCAAGUUGGCAAGCUAUCCUGUUUACAUAAAGGUUGGGAUUUUACUGUGGAAUAUGUGUUGGCAGAUCCAGGCGUGAAUAAGUUAUUUAACAGCUGAAUAUUGGAAGAUAACAUUACAAUAGUCAAAAAAAAAUUUACUGCUAUUGUCUAUUGUGCAUCAUCCUGGAAAAUUCAAGCAACUAUUUUAGAAAAUGACUCUCAUAAUUAUGGUCAAGCCAAUCCAACAGUGCUACCAAGCUCGAAAAUACAGCAAAAGGUAAAAUGCUUUGAAACCGGAUCGACAAGUGAAUUGGAUGAGCUUCCUAUUUAUGGCUCAAUCAAUUCAACCUGUUAAACUCCGAUUUAAUGAUUUUAUAAAAUUUUAAUUAUAUUAACGUUAAAUAAUUUGAAUAACAUUAAUGUAUAAAAAAUAAUGAAAAAUCGGUCCAAAGGCCGGUUUUUUAACUGAUCCAAUAGUGCUCCCAAGCUUGAAAAUAUAGCAAAAGGCAAUAUUUUGAAAUUGGGGCCUACAAGUGAACUGGAUGAAUUUUUUAUUCAAUUAAUUUUGCGGUUCAAUCUCUGUUUAGUGAUUUUAUUAUUUUUUUGUUUAUUUUAAAAUUAAAUUUUUUGGAUAAAAUUAAUAUAUGAGCUAGAAAUAAAAUUUUUGUGUAAAACCAGUUCAAAGACCUUUUUUUUUCUUAUCGAUUUUGAUUCAUCUGAUCGAAUUUGAUUGAUUCAAUUGAGUUUCUGGGUUAAAUAUAGAAAAACAAAUUAUUCGGGAAAUCACUAAACCUUUUUAAUAGUCAAGAUUUAGCCACUCAAUUAUUAAUAGUAUGUUGUUUUCCAUUAAACUAUUAAUAAUAUCAAUUUUGUGCCAUUUCAUCUAAUUUCACUAUUGACUCUGUUAGAUCUAAGGGUCUACACAAGAUAUAUUAGUAAUGGUUAAAUCUGGUAGAGUUAAUGACAAAUUAGAUGGAAUGACCUAAAAUUUAAAUUUUUAAUAGUUUAGUGGGUAAAAACUUAGCUGGCCACUGUAUCCCGAGCCCAUGCACCUUCCUGAGUUCUGAGAUAGAGGUUUGGAGGGGGUGCCUAGGCAUCAAAGUGCUCCUUUCUCUUGGUGGAGGGGGUGCCGGGGCAGGGAGAGGACCAAUCCUGGCUUCUCCCGAGGAUGCUCGCGACGUUGCAGCCUACCUCUGGAACAAUUAUUUGGGCGGUCAAUCAAACUCUCGUCCAUUUGGUGAUGCUGUUUUAGAUGGUAUAGAUUUUGACAUCGAAUAUGGAUCGAACCUGUACUGGGAUGAUCUUGCCCGGGACCUCUCGGGAUACAGCAUAGCAGAGAGAAAGGUGUACUUAUCUGCAGCACGACAAUGCUUCUUUCCUGACUAUUAUCUUGAUGCUGCUAUCAGAACUGGCCUCUUUGAUUUCGUCUGGGUGCAGUUUUACAACAAUCCGCCUUGUCAGUAUAGUACAGCCACAGGCAAUGCCAUUUACCUCUUGAACAGUUGGAGUAGUGAUUGGGAUUGCCUGCAGCCCCUGAGGCCGCACGUAGUGGCGGUUACAUCCCACCUGAAGUGCUAAUUAAUCAGAUUCUUCCAUCUUUGCAGGGGUUUUCCAACUAUGGAGGGGUCAUGCUUUGGAGCAGAUACUAUGACCAAAACUACAGUUCAACAAUCAGGCCUUAUGUUAACAGUGAUCCUCUGACUUAUACAACCAAGUCCGUGAAAAAAUCCCAUGCUGUAGCAUGAGUUCCUCUCAUCAUCUGCCGCGAGAUGAAAUGUAGUCCUGGCUGCUUAUGCCAGAGGUCAAUCUACUAAUGAAUAAUGGGCUAUGAGUUCCCAUAUCGAUUAAAAUGUUCUGUAAAUUUCUUCCCGUUUUAAUCGCGCUCUCUCUCUCGAAUGAAGGGGUACAAGAUCUAGUUUGAAGAACCAGUUGCACCUUCUCUUUUUUUUUUUUUUAAUACAACUUCUUCUAGAUAAUGAUUUUUUGAUAAUAUUCAAACCACAUUUAAAUUGAAAAAGAAAAUGUUAAUUUGCAAUUGAAGUUUGAGGAACACUAUUUCCCCUCAUAUUUCAGUGCAUUACAUGGCCAACAACCUCAGAUGAUAUGCAAAUAAAAUCUUGCAUGCUCAUCAAAUUUCAUAUACAAUUUUGUAGCCUACAGAGAAGUUUACACAUGGAUGUUUAAGUAUCAGAUAAGCUUGGGCGAAGACCAAAUUUUGUGUACUAUUGAAACAUGGAACAAGAUUUCAAUCCCAUACAUAACCUCUAAAAUCACAUACAACUAUAAUUUUUGUUUCUUGUUUUUUUUUUUUCCUUGGAUGGUAUUAAAAGGUGUACAAUCUGUCUGCCUCAGAAUCUCUUCCGGUCAGUGCAAGUCACUUUGAGAGUUAUGACAAUUUCACUAACCUCCCAUCAAAUCUAGAAAACAGCAAUUACCUCCCCUCUUCUUAGAUUUGGUCUAAUGAUUUCAAGGUAUUUGGUAUACAUUGCCUUCUCAUGACCCACAACAAAGGGACAACAAUCCAAGGGCUUUCGUUUUUAUUAAUUUUUGUGGAGUACAAAUUAAUUUCUCAUUAGCAUGUUAUGAAGCAUAUGAUAUUCUUGUUCGCAACAAUUUCUUUCUACGAAAAAAAAAAGAACAGAGAGAAGGGGGGAAAAAAGACUCAACUGAUGAACAUAUAAAAUGGAAACUCAUGUCCAUCCAUAAAUUAUGACAAGCUUGGUAUCUUAAAGAGAGGCGUCCUUGGGUUUAUAUUAUUUAACCAAAAUUGGUUAAAGUAAUAAGGUUGGCUUGAUUAAAAUUAUGUUUAUCAUAAUUGGGUCAUUUCUUAAAAUAUUGGCCUUAACAAAGAUGAUCCAUUCUUGAAAUUUGCGUUCUAGUAAAGCCAUUCUUGGGCAGAUGAUGACUAAGUCUCUGUUUUUUGGGCUGAAUGAAACGGACGAUGCUUCAAUUUGAGGGAAAAAAAUAGGCCUUGCAUCAUGAAAUCAGUUUAUUAUUUAGCCACCAAAUAAGUAUAUUGAAUAGUUUGGAUUUUAUAACUAAUUAUAAGUAAUUGUGUCUUAAUUUUAGCUAUAAAAGUCUUUCACUUAGCUAGUUAACUUAGAACACAUAUGAUGACUUCUUACCUUGUCUCUAAAAUUUGUGAAAUUGGGCUCACAAAGAAGAUACUAAAGAAUAACAACGUUCAUUGGGAGCCAAACUGCGUGCAUAACAUUCACAUAUCUGCCAAACUUUAUCUUCCAAUGCCCAAUAAACUACUGGUAUCCAAGUCCAAGAUUGCUCCAAAAUUCUAACCCAAUCAAAGAUUGUUCCCUUUUUUCACAAAAUUCCUGCUUAGCCAAAAUGGAUUCUACACUAUGGUGCAACCACACAAUACAAAGGAAAGUUAGGGGCAAGCUUAUAAUCGAGUGCAUGGUACGGUCUUAAGACUUCAGCCCAGAUAUACUCUUAUGUUAUGUCAUAUGUAAAGGAAAAUAACUCAAAUUUUAGGCUCUGAAUCAUAUGUGAGUAGGCCUGCUUUUCUUUUAGUGCUUUAGUUUUUUUUUUUUUUUGGUUAAAUUAUGGAAAUUACCACCUACUCAAUAUGGUCUUUUCUAGAGCAAUUCAUGGUAAUUAUCGAGUCUGAAACUACAAAAAAUUACUGCUAAAGCUAUGCUUCAUAACCCUAAAAUACACCAAAGUCCAGACGUAUUACUAGGGAACUUUAUAUGUAAAAUUUAUAUAAACAAAAUAAGAUCUUAAAAUGAAGUACUUCAUAGGUAUUAUAAAGUCUUAACUUGUUUCAAUUGAGACAAUUAAGUUGCGAAGUCUUUCACAACAAAUCUCUAUGAGGAUCAGUUUCCCUCCCCUUACCUUAUCUCCUUACCUACUAACCUUCGCACGUUUUACCUUCUGUCCGGAAGAGGGGCAGGAACGGUUGCAGGAUUUGGCCAAGAUUUGGCUAAAAAAAAUUGUACGGUUUAGAUCUCAUAUUGUACCUCAUUUUUAAUAAUAUGUGUGGAAUCCACAAAAUUUUGUUCUAAAAUUACACGUUGUUGAAAGUAAGUUACAUCAUAUGUAAAUAAAGUUAUACCGUGUGCAAAAUGCAUACAACCUUCAAGAACGAUUACUCCUGCCCCUGAUCCCUUCUGUCCCAAGCCUGCCUCGCUCACACUCUCUUUUAGGAGAAUAAAAUUGUUUGAGAGGGAAAGCUCCCAUAUAUCUCGUGCUAAUCAAAAGCCAGUGCUGUUCAAAUGUGUUUACUCUCACCAUCUCCCACAAGAAGUGCGUAUUAAUGCCAAUCACAUGAAUGAUAUGAAUAUGAGAAUGAAGUCCUAAUAUCAUCACAAGUAUUGGGUUGGGGCAGGACAUAUGCAUAGUAGCUUUUGGUAGAUGAUAAAUGUAGCACCUUUACCAUUGUUAUUAUCAUAGUAUAUUUAUUCUUUUUCCUCUCUAUUCGAUAUUUGUUAAUUGUUAUACACUUAACAAACGUCGCAAGUGAGAAAGGGUCAGGCUAGUUUUAGAUAACGUGAAUAAUGUGGUUUACUUUCACUUAGGUUCCAUUUGAUAAAACUGAAUCUGGAUUCUGAAGUCUGAAUUCUGAAAUCUGAAUACUGAAACAAUUAAUUUGCUGAAUUUUAAGCACUAAAAAGAAAAAUAUGAAUGUCUGAAUUUUAAUGCUAAACCUAUUUAUACUAUUUGAUAAAUAUUUAUAACUGAAUGCUUAAUAAGUUAAAUUUGACAAUUUUACCCUUAUAGCUUUUCACCCAAAAAAGAAAUAGAACCUAUGAUUUAAUUAGCUAAAAAUUAGGUAUGAAAAUGACAAUAUUUAUUUUUAAAUCAAAUUAAUAUAAAAGAUGAAUUAUAUUAUAUGAGGAGUAUAGAAAAGAAGUGAAAGUCAUUCAAAAGGAAGAAAAGAUAAAUAGAAAAUCAUUAGAUAGAGAAUAUUAGAUUGUUUAGUUAUAUAAGAAUUUUGAAUAUAAUUAAUAAACAAGGGUAGAUUUGGUAGAUAAGAUAAGGUAAGUGAAGUAAGUCUAUUGAUUAUUAUUAGAAUUAAGCAUUCAGUUAGGAUUCUUAUGCUGAAAAAAAUACACACGAGUUCAGCACUACUUAACAAGUUCAGCAAAUGGAGUUUCAUUUAUCAAACACUCAAAACAUCUGAAUGUCUGAAAAAGUUCAGAUUCAGUAUUUUUUUAUGUUAUCAAACAGACCCUUAAUCACUCAUCUCACUGAUACAAUUAUUGAGACAAAUAAUAAGAGAAACAAAGGACAAGUGUUUUUUUUUUGUAGAACUGACAUUACUCAUAACAUGAAAUUACUCUAUUUAUAGAGUUUAAAUCAACUCCACUAACUCCACUAGCUACUCCACUAAUUUCACUAUUUAUUCCACUAACUCCACUAAUUAGAUAAAAUAAAUAAAUAUGAUUAAUUAACAACGGUAAAUAUUUCUAACACCCACAACUCCUACUUUACCUCCUAUUUUUGUGGUAAUGUUCCCCAAACGUUACUUAUUGAGUAAUAGAUAAAAUUUAAUCACGGCAAGAGCAUGCUAGUGCGAAUAAGUUAGAAAAAUAUUUCUCAACACCCACUAUCCUUAGUGGCUAGCGGUUGAGGCAAGGUCAACUUAGUAGUUCACCAAGAAUUUGAUAACUAACUACCAAGUUAAUAACUAAACAAUAUUACUUAUGAUAAAAUAUUCCAUCUUCACCAAAUUUUUUUUAGAAAGGGUUUUUCUUUGCCUUAGCAUUAGAAGAAACCAGUAUUGAGCCAACCCCUUCGUUUCACCUUUUUAUCUCACAUACAUCAUAUCAAAAAAGUGUUGCAGUAUUUUUUCACAAAAUUAUCUCAAAUAAUUUACUAUCCAAAUUGCUUAUGAUAAAAUAUUCCAUCUUGACCAAUUUUUUUUAGAAAGGGUUUUUCUUUGCCUUAUGACCAGAAGAAAAGAGCUCCAACCUCUUUCUUGCAGGAUCCUAUAAGUCUCAUACUAAUCCCUUAUAGCUGUAAGCUAUUAGCUCCCCUCUCCCUUUACUGGGCAGAUUAUCACUAGCCGCUGGGCGAGGGCCUCACUCUGCUAGUUUUCCACCUAGUAGGGUAUGGAGCUCUAUUCCUCAGAUUCAGUCUCCAAGGCCGCUACGAAGCUCUAGGAGGGCUUUCUAGUGUAUGCCUUGACUAUUUGAACCUCAUAAAACACAAGAAACAACAAGAAGCAAGCGAAAGAAGGAAUCCUUGGGUAAGAAUUCCGAUUGAAGCAAUAAGGAAAGUGCGGCUUUUGUUCACCUAUCAUUCUCCGAUGCAACCAAGCAACUCCCUUAGAAUAUCUUCCCUUCGAACAGCGCGACCCGCCUAUUCAACUAGAAUAUGAAUUACUCUUGCCGUUGUUGCUCUUCUUGCCCCUUUAGUGAGUGAUCCUUAGAUGAGGAGCACGAACGACCCUUAAGAGUGCAUUAGGACUUAGGAGGUCUUGUUGCCUGUGCUCAAGACAUCUUUUAACACACCUACAUUCGAACCAACCUGCUAUGUAUACACACACUAGUAAUUACUAUUUUUUCCUACAUUUAUACACUUUUCCUAAUUAAUCUAUUUGCAUUAAUAAUCUUUUCCUAAUUAAUCUUAUAUUUUUAAAAAUCUAACACGUGAAAUACAUCUUAACAAAUAUCUUAUAUAUACCCAUUAGAUAGACCAUUUUAGAAAAAUAUCUUUGUUAGAAAAUAUUGGCGGGUUUCAAACUAACUAUAUAAUGUAUCCUUAAUUUAUUCUAAUUGAUCCUUCAUGAUGAUAUAUAUAAACACCCACCCACCGCCCCCCCCCCUUCUCCCGGGUUCCUCCUCAAAGCCAAGGCAGUUGCGAAGAAACCAUUUUGAGUUUGUCAAGAAGAUCAUUGAAACGGUUGGGAGGAAGAGGUUUGGUGAAGAUAUCUGCAAGUUGAUCCAUAGAAGAUACAGAGUGGAUGAUCUCGCCGGGGCACUUUACGGGAUAUAGCACAGCAGAUCUAGAGAAAGGUUUACUCAUCUGCAGCACCACAAUGUUUUCUUCUUGACUAUUAUCUUGACGCUGCUAUCAGAACUGGCCUCUUUCAUUAUGUGUGGGU
This 139012-nucleotide long non-coding RNA is filed under the name Coffea arabica (coffee). RNAcentral's name for it is "long non-coding RNA (CARA_LNC003663)". Lineage: Eukaryota; Viridiplantae; Streptophyta; Magnoliopsida; Gentianales; Rubiaceae. The record is from RNAcentral.